RNAcentral lists this long non-coding RNA (92080 nucleotides) under Solanum tuberosum (potato). Its description in RNAcentral is "long non-coding RNA (STUB_LNC006902)". The record is from RNAcentral. Lineage: Eukaryota; Viridiplantae; Streptophyta; Magnoliopsida; Solanales; Solanaceae.
CACCCCCCCCCCCCCCCUUUUUUUUUUUNNNNNNNNNNNNNNNNNNNNNNNNNNNNNNNNNNNNNNNNNNNNNNNNNNNNNNNNNNNNNNNNNNNNNNNNNNNNNNNNNNNNNNNNNNNNNNNNNNNNNNNNNNNNNNNNNNNNNNNNNNNNNNNNNNNNNNNNNNNNNNNNNNNNNNNNNNNNNNNNNNNNNNNNNNNNNNNNNNNNNNNNNNNNNNNNNNNNNNNNNNNNNNNNNNNNNNNNNNNNNNNNNNNNNNNNNNNNNNNNNNNNNNNNNNNNNNNNNNNNNNNNNNNNNNNNNNNNNNNNNNNNNNNNNNNNNNNNNNNNNNNNNNNNNNNNNNNNNNNNNNNNNNNNNNNNNNNNNNNNNNNNNNNNNNNNNNNNNNNNNNNNNNNNNNNNNNNNNNNNNNNNNNNNNNNNNNNNNNNNNNNNNNNNNNNNNNNNNNNNNNNNNNNNNNNNNNNNNNNNNNNNNNNNNNNNNNNNNNNNNNNNNNNNNNNNNNNNNNNNNNNNNNNNUGCCGCUAUGGCCCCCCUCCCCCCCCCCCCCCCCCCCCUCUUGUUUAUUGUUUUCCUGGAAGAAGGGUUACACAAUGGGAUACAUGUUGACAAGAACAAACAUCAAAGUUUAAAAACUUAUGGUAAAUCAUAGGAAACACAGAGUGUAACUGCAUCAGAACAACUCCCGAUUCAACUCUUAUGAAGUCCAACUGUCCAAGUACUGAUCCUUAUCAGGAGAUGAAACUGAUAUGGAGUUUUUCAUCGUGGGGAGAGUAUAGAAACAAAAAUAUGAAAGUAAGAAGGUUAACAAAAAAUACUAAGCAUAGACAAACUGAUGGUAUAUGAUAAUCUGUGCAAUGGUGGACUGGAAGUUUAUUGUUCAACACAUGUUACUUACACUUUCACUGGAGGACGAGAUAUAACAACUAAAACUUGUAGAUCUUCAUGUUCACCAGUGUUCCACACCUGUAAUUACAAAAAUAAAAGCAUACUUCCGGUCACACGUGCAUAGAGAAGAAGCCUAAUUUAAAAAGUUGUAAUACGAUUGACCUAUGAGCUCAGUUGAGGUUUUGUGACUGCAAAAGCAGCACUGGUAUAGGUCUUUAAACACGCUAUAUUAGCAAUUUUGUCUUAACUCAAGGCAUGCAUCUAGGAUGACUAAUGCAAACUACUUGGGCUUUUACCAAUGACAGAUGGCUGGGAGAAGUAGACCAAUUAUCAGAUUCAUCCACCACAAACAGAAAGAGCAUGGAAAGAUGAAGAAAAGCAAGUACAUUAGCCAUGAGGGGGAUAGAGCAUAUCUCACACAUAAAGAAAUUAUGAAGUGGAGACAAAGAUUAUCCUAGAAACCUGGUAAAAUAUUGACCGACUUAAUUCUUAAAUCUUAAAUCCUUUCAACAAUUAAUUAGUCAACUGAUUGAUUAUGAUUCAAGAAGUAAAAGUUAGAAACCCCUGUAAGUGUUUUUAUCUACAAAACUAGAUGCAACAUUAAGAAUGUAUCAGCUCAAAGUUUUCUUUAUCAAGUUAUUGAACUCUAUUUAACAUCUUGCAGGAAUAAUUUUAAGCACAAGUAUGAUAGAGAAAAAAGAGUUCAAGGCAGAAUGAUACCUGGUGAACAUCAUUAACAGGGAUAUGAAAGGUGCUAUUAGGGAAUAUAUGAAACUCCUGUGGGUUUCCUGGGUACUUUGAAUGUGAACUAGGAGCAAGAUAGAGAGUGCCUUGACCCUUCAAGACGACAAAAACUUCUUCACAUGAGUGCCUGUGGAUUGGUGUGCGAGAUCCAGGGGCAAAUGUUUGAAGCCACACCUCUAUCUAUUCAUGAAACAACAGUGAUGAAACCAAAGUAAAUUGCAACAGUCAAAACCAAAUAGUCAAUAUUUACUAUCAAUCAACUUCAUUUCAAUCUCAAAUUAGAUAGAACUGGCUAUAUAAAUCCUUUCUAUCUCUAUUCUAUUCAGGUCAGCGAAUAUCGUCAAAAUUAAGAAACUGCAAGCAGAAUAGCACCUCUUUCAUGCCGUGCAAGACUGAACCUGCAAUUGUAGUGUGAGAUAAACCUGACCUCCCGUAGUUGUGUUGUGGAAGCUCGCUAAUAUUCUUCACGAUUGGUAGUCCUGGAAAAUGAGGAAAAUCACAGCUUCUAUACUCUAACCAGGAUAGAAAAUUUUGCUCAUAAAAUGAAAACGUUAAUUAAUUUCUUUACAGUUCAAAAUAAUUCAGCAUAUUAUCAAUCAAUCAUUGGAAUUUCAGUCAAAGGAACCAAUAACUUGUUUCUUCUAGAAUCAACUAAUCCAAAUCAGCUUCUAAGCUCCCCAGAAUUUCCUCCAAUAGGAAAUUUUCCCUAACUUGAAGGCAGAAGCAUGAUUUUAAAUUAGUGAGAACAGAAUAUCAGUGCAUUGCAUCCACUAAACUACUAGUUAGUGAAAAUUUAUAACAAUACAUAUCAAAUUUUCUCAUACACAUACAGAAGAAAUGAUGAGAAGACUUGCCAUUAAUUGAGCAAGGAGAAGCUUCGGCUGUGGCGAACCACAAAAGAGAAACUAGUAUGACGACGCCAUGGCGGAUCAUUAUCGCGCCAUCAGUCUGAAAACUGGAAACUCCACUUUUCAUCACCGUACCGUCGUUUCGAGAAAACGUCCAGAAAGAUCCACUAGGGAUGAACGGUGAAUUUUACAUUCUAGUUUAUAAGAGAUUCGAGAACUGAUUUUACUGAAAUGUCCCCAUUUAGGUUUUAGUUGGAGUGUUUUUUUAAGUGGAAAAAGGGUUAUAUUUAUUUUUUCAAUCAAAGGUUACUUAUAAUAUUAAAGAUUAGAGUUAAUAACUUUGAUGGUCACUCAAGUAUCAACUCUUUUCACAGAAAGUCACUCAACUUCCAUUUUUAACUCAAAAGUCACUCAACACUUUUUUCACAGAAAGUCACUCAACUUUCAUUUUUAAUUCAAAAGUCACUCAAUUAUGACUUGUUUGCAUAGAAAGUCACUCAGCCUAUUUUAUUAUUAUUUUUCACUAAAAUUUGCUACUAUGGAAUUUUUAUUUUUAACCAAAAUUUUAAAAAUCAAAUACAUAUCCAUUUAAUGACCUGCCUCAUUUAACCCGAUCCGCUAAAAAUAUGAUAUUAAACUUUUUAUUUUAUCAUUAGUUCCCCAAAUCAUUCUAUUGUCUCUUUUUUCUCCUAGCGUUCUUCUUCUCUUUUUUUUUUCUUUUUUUUUUUCAACUUUUUAAAAACUUUAGCUGUCUGUAUAUUUAACAGGCCAUUUUGAGGGCUUGUAUUUGUUUUUAGAGUUUAAAAAAAGUUUUUAAAAAGUAAAAAAAAAGAAAAAUGAGACAAGAGAGAAUGAUUUGGGGAAUUAAUGAUAAAAUAAAAAGUUCAAUAUCAUAUUUUUAGCGGGUCGGAUUAAAUGAGGUGGGUCACUAGAUGGUUUAAAUGGUUAUGUUUUUUAUUUUUAAAAUUUUGGUUAAAAAUAAAAAUUCCAUAUCAACAAAUUUUAGUGAAAAAAAAUAAUAAAAUAGGUUGAGUGACUUUUUAUGCAAAGAAGUCAUAGUUGAGUGACUUUUGAGUUAAAAAUGAAAGUUGAGUGACUUUCUGUGAAAAGAGUUGAUAGUUGAGUGACCAUCAAAAUUAUUAACUCUUAAAGAUUAAUGGGUUCUCCGCCCGCGGACAAUGAUAGGUCAUUAUUACUAAUUUGUGUCACAUUUCGAUCCCGGAUAAUACAAAGUGGUUCAUUACUAACCCUAGUAAAGUUAGUUCCUAGUACAUUCGCAUUUACUUUCUUCUAUGCCUAUAUUUGUGUUGUAGUUAAAAUGGUGGGUUGGUCAAAAACGUCAUUCUUCACUCAAAGCCUAUCUGUCAUUCCAUUUUAUUAACAAUACGUACAUGCUCCGUCUUUGUGAUUUCUAACUUUGCCAUCAAGAACCUGCAUUCAACAAUCAGAUCAUCAUAGAUUAGCAUUUUAAUAGCUUCAGAUGAGCCAAAAUUUAUUUCUAUAAGGCUAAGGUUGUGCUCUACUGGUAGUGCCAUGCCCUUUCGCAUGGCUUGGAGUUCAGCUCUAAUAGGGUUUGUAAGUGGCGUGUGUUCGGUGAAGCCCACCACCCAACUCGAAAAAAGGUUAUAUUUAUUGUUACUCUCAGUGGCAGAGCCAGGAAUUUCACGAAGAGGGUCCAAAAAUUAAACAACAAAAGCUCUUUUUAAAAAGGGAAAAAAAUUGUUCCAAGUCAUGAGAUUUAAACACGCGAGCACUGACUCAUUAAAGAUGUCUAAACACACAUUCAAGACAUCUUAAACCACUAGGCUAUAACAACCUAUUAUGUCAAGAAUGUCCAAAAUAUGUUAUUUAAUCACUUCAUGUAUCAUUUUACUUGUAUAUGCGGUAUUUUUUUCCGACGAAGGAUCUGGCAUACAUGUGCCUACGCCAUUGGUUACUCCUUACACUCUCACAAAAAAAGUUUUAUAUAUGUAUAUAUAUUCUUUUUAGCUUUAGUUGUAUUUUUUAUAUAUAUUUGGCUCCAAUUUUAGAUACAUAUUUAUCGUUGAAUAGUUAAGCUUCAAGUCCUCACUCUUAUUAUUGUAUGUGGCACCUACAUGUAUAUAUAUUUUUUUCCAAUAAAAAAUUGCUCUUAAUUUAAUUCUUCUAUCCAUCUAAUUUUUUAUCCUACCAAUCUAACCCAUUAAUUCAACUCCUAAUAUCAUUUUUCAUCGUCACUUUAAAGAAGAAGAAACAUUGAUAGACGAUAGAGAGAGCUAGUACUGUGUCAUUUUCAAGAUUCACAAAAAUGCAUCCGUCCAGUGAUAAUAAAAUUUGAUAAUGGACGCUGUCAAAACCAUCAAUUUCAAUUUUUUUUUAUGGUUACAUGAAUUCUCAAUCAUUGAAAGUUGUUAUAAUUUUUAUGUAUGUAAAAAAAAAUUAUCACGAUCAAGUUGAUGUUCAGUGCACCACUUAUAAUAUAACUUAUAGUCCUAUACAAUGCAUGAAUAUUAAGAAUAAUUGACGAGGCAAAUAUUCGAGAGAGAAAAAAAUGUGAGAAAAUUUCAAAACGUUAAAUAUAAAAUAGGUGCAAAAUCAAUAUUAUAGUUACUAUAGCGAAAAGGGCUAUAAAAUUUUAAAAAUAGGGCGAAAUUCAUUGUUGACAAAACAAUCACAUUCGAUUAAAUAAUCUCAAGACACUUUUAGUAAGCCCAAAACAACAACUAUAUAAUAAUCAUUUGCAAAGCUAUGUAUGAAGAUUGAUUAAAAAAAAGGGGAUUAAAUUAGAGAAUCCUAAAUUAGUAAGGACCAAGAGCAACUAUAUUUAGUGCAAUAAUAAUCAUUUGCAAAGCGCAUGAUUGGAAAAAAGGGAUUAAAUUAGAGAAUCGUAAAUUAGUAAGGACCAAGAACAACUAUAUUUAGUGCAAUAAUAAUCAUUUGCAAAGCGCAGGAUUGGAAAAAAGGGAUUAAAUUAGACAAUCCUAAAUUAGUAAGGACCCUACUCUGUAAAUUUCAUACGUCUGGGCGACAGAUGCUAUGUAAAAGUAAAACCAAAGCAGGUGUCCAUUUUGGAUAGUUACACAGUCAGUUGCUCGUCGAUUGAUUGCUCUCAGAAAUGGCGAAAGAUUCUCCAAAAACUCCCAAGGUAAAUUUUCGAAUGAACAAUUAAUCUUUAUACUUGUCUGUUGAUUUGCUGUUUUGAAAUUACUUAUAGAAAAAGAUACGGCUAGUUGUAGUUUUUGCAGUAAAAAAAAAUAGAGAUCUGGAAUGUCAUGUCGCCUGAUUUUUUUUGGUAGAAAAAAUUCUGCUUUGUAGAAUGAUUCCGAUGGCUAUUCUAGGUUUUGAUUAGAGAGGUACUUUAUUUUGUGACAGACGUCGUCGUCGAGGUCCGCAACGAAUCCAUCAGUGAGCGUGUGGGCAGCACAAUGUGAAAAAUGCUUGAAAUGGAGGAGGAUUGCGACACAGGAAGAAUUUGAGGAAAUCAGAAGUAGGUUUACUGAAGAACCCUUUAACUGCCACAACCAACCCAAUGCUUCUUGUGAUGACCCUACAGAUAUUGAGUACGAUUCUUCUCGAACUUGGGCUAUUGACAAGCCCAAUCUGCCUAAAACCCCAUCUGGGUUUAAGAGAGAAUUGUACCUGAGGAGAGAUUACUCUAAGAUGGAUGCUUAUUAUUUCACUCCUUCAGGGAAGAAACUCAGAUCCUUUACUGAAGUAACUACUUUUCUUCAACAAAAUCCCGACUUCAGUGACGUUAAACCCUCAGAUUUCAGCUUUACCAGCCCCAAAGUUAUGAUUGAUACCAUACCCUCUACCGCUCUUCUUGCCAACUCUCACAAGAAGGGUGCAGCUAGUAGGUAGCACUAAAUGAGUGCAGUGCGUCCAUGGAUGGAGCUGGAGUUGUUCAUAUGCUUAGUAGAUGCAGUGUUUAGACUUUAGAGUCUUGGUAAUCUUAAAGGCUCAACUUAUUCGCCAUGUAUUUUUGUUAUUUUCCAUCUCUUUUUUAUGCAAAAUACAUCUCUACUGCUCAAUUCACUUUUUGUGGUGAUGGUUUUGAUUUGACCUUAAAGCUGUGAAGAAAGGAAAAUUUGUUAGCCUUCUUUACUUUGAUUUAGCUGCUAACUUGACUUCCCUUUCCUUCCCAUUCGAUUCUAACAUAGGAUAGCAGCUUUGAAGUUUUGCUUAUUUCCUUUCUAUAUAUGCUUGCCCCGUAUAAAAAGUAUAUCUUUGGUUGACCAAAAGAGAAUGCACAUUCAUUUGAUGCUGAUCCUUGUGGAUCAAAUGGCAAACUGGACAGGACCUGCAUGACCGGUCUAUAUGCCAAAGUACCAGUGAAAUAGCGCCCAAUAAUAUGAAUUGCCUCAUGUUGUUGUAAAAUAGAAACUAUGCGUGCUUGUGUUAGCUGUUCAUACCGAUGUAUAGCCUAAAGAGGAUGGAUUUAGGUUGGGGAGUUGGUUUUUGAGUUGCAUAAAUGGGUAUUGCUUCGGGGGUCAAUCCAUUCACAUGGAAUAAAGGAAUGUGUCGGAAUAUGAGGUUGUGUUAGUUAUGAUUCAUUGUUAACCUACCAAUAUAGGGUUUAUAUUUAUUUGUUUGUGACUGGGAUGAAUGAGGUUACCUGGGUAAGAAGAGGAUGAGGUGAUUUUCUCUUCCACGUUGGCAUUUAUAGAAUUUAAAUUAUUAUUAUUAAUCGUUUUAUAAUUAGAAGGGUCAAUUAUCUUAUGAUUUGAUAGUGGAAUGGCCCCUAUGCUAUGUUGUGUGGACUCUUCACUUUUGAUGUUGCACCCGUGUUGGAUUAUCCAAAAAUACACUACUUUUGGAGAAUCCGACACGUACCUGCGGACAUUUUUGAAGAGUUGAGCAACAUAGCCCCUAUGUUAGUAGAUAAAAUUGUAGGGUUCAUAUAUGAAUUACAUACUAAAAUAUUUCAGGCAGUUUUUUGUUCUAUUGUAUGUAGAGUAGGGGUCUCUGAGGUUCCAGUAAGGGCCAAGAUAGGUUUAGUAGGGUCUGGGUAGGCUUUUGGCCCACCGCCAUUAGAGAUAACAGAUCAGAAGAGUUUUUUAAAAUAAUGAUGUCAUUCUGGUGUUAUCAUCGCUGUGCAAGGUCUUGUUCUGAGGUUUUGGAGAAUCAGUAGUAGUAGUUUCGUCAAUCUGGGGUUUGAUAUGUGUUUGUUUGCUUACAAUAUGUUAAGAUUUUAGUUUCUAAGAACUUACAUAUGGUAGCAUGAAAAAGUUUGACGUUUAUAUCUCCAAUUUUCUGAGAGUUGAUAUUUGUCUCCGAUUUAUGGUAUCUCCUUUUGGUGGUAUGUCACGUUGUUCUGUUCUUCUUGUUAAAGGUGACUGUCUGCCAGUCCUCCUUCAGAUUCUGCAUUUCCUGUUGGUCCAUGGACUUGAGGUUAUUUGCUCUGGCUUUUUGGUCUCUAUAUUUUCUCUAUAUGUGCAGUUAUGCUGAGUAUGUCCAAUUCUACCACAGGCAAGGUAGAGUAUGUCUGCCCCUUGAUAAAUUAUCUCUUGUAUAAGUUAUUUAUAGGGACUUUGAUGCAGAUAUGUGCGUGCAUACAUGAAUUUUGACCCAAUUUUUGCCAGAAUUGUAGAGUCGUAGUAUGUAUUCUGUUGGUAGUUCGGUAAUCUAAUCUUAGAUAGGUGAGUAUGUUUUCAUUAGCUACAAAGCUUGGCUGUCAUUUUGUUUUUAAUUAUAGGAAAAUCAAGGCCCAUUUUGAAGGGUUUUAACAUGUCGUAUUAGUAUGAUUUCCACAAAACAGUCAAUCGUCUUUUUAGAUAGAUAUUCAUGGCUCAUCAUUAAUUUGAUAAUGAUCGAAAGGCCCGUGACUAUCUUAUCAUUAGACAAUAAAUAGGAGUAUUAAGCUUCUUUCCUCUGUGAUGUGUAAAUCGGUACCCAAUGGCAGGCAGCAAAUCAGAAUAUUGGUAUACAGUAAAUGGUAUGUUUUUCUGUCUGGGUUAGAAUUUCGGUAGUUAUUUGAUCUAUGACUAUCAUCAUAUAUAUUAUCUAGUGAAUUUCGGUGUUGACUGAUUGAUACUAUUAAUCUUGUUUGAUCAAGACGGAGAUGACCCAUUUUUAAUAGAAUAGAUAUACAUCUUUUAAGUAGUAUAGUAACUUUUGUUAUUUUAUUUUAAUUUAAAAUACUUCUUCAUCUCCAAUACAAAUUGAAAAACAAUUGUAUCCUUUUAGUUUACAAAGAUAUAAUGAGUCUAAUGCAAAUUAUGUUAUGCACUAAGAUAAAAACUUAAUUUAGAUUAAAUAGAACAAAAGCAAAAACAUCAUUAAUAGUUAGAUGCUAGUAAAAAGUCAUAGCAAAUCUUACAACUACUUGUACAAAAACAUAAGUAUGUAACAAUACGAUAUAUUAUGUUAUGGUGAAGAGAAACAUAUAGCAUGACAAUAUGAUAUUAAAAUUGGCCUAACAUUGAAACGAGUUUGAAUUCAUAGUCUAUGUAUUAUUUGCUAGGAUAUUAUUCCUAACUAAUUUCCAAAAUUGUUUGAAUAGACUAUGAUUUUUCCAGUCAAUCAUGACUUUACAAAAUCUCCCACUUACUUCCAACACUAAUAUUUGACCAAAAGUUAUAGAGAAAUUUCCAUAUAUAACGAUAAUUUACUAAAUGUAAUAAUGAUUAGUUCAAAAAUACAGUGGGAUACAUUGUAUUCAAAGGCAAACGAAAUAUAUUAUAUCUAUAUCAUUAUUCAUUAGCUACAAUAUCCCCAAUUAAAAAUCACUUUUUUUUUUGGUCAAUAACUAAGUAAUAUAGGUUAUUGUCUUUAACUCCAUAUAUUUAUUCUAAUAAAAUAAAGUUAAUUAUCCAAUUUUAGUUUCAAUUUGAUUGAUUCUAGCGAAAAAGGAAUUAAAGUAACUCAUAGUUAUUAUUAGGACAAAAAUGGAAUUUCAUUAAUUUGUAUUUUCGUAAUAUAUUAACCAUAAUUUUUGUGCCGAGCAUUGAUUUGGUACAUACUUAUUAAAGUUGUUUGUUUAUUGCAAUUUAAAAUUAGUAUAUGAAAUCUGUAGAUCUGCAAUAAAGUUUGAGUUGGGAGAAGACAACCCCAUCCCACAUCAUGGAAAUAGUAGCCAAGUUGCAGAAACAGUUUAUGGACUUCAUUUCAGCUUUGUACCGUGAGGUGGUUUUCUUUCUUUCUUUUUUUUUACUGAUUAGGGGAUUUUUCUGAUGUGAGUUUCGUUUUGCUUGCUCGUAAAACUCUUUUUUUCUUUUUUCCUUUUCAAAAGAGAUUCUUGGAUGAUCAGUUUCUUCAGCUUCAGAAAUUGCAAGAUGAGAGCAACCCAGAUUUUGUUUUUGAAGUAGUUUCACUUUUCUUUGAAGAUUCAGAAAAACUUAUCAACAAUCUGGCAGCAGCUCUGUGAGAAAUAAAUGUCUUUUUUUACUUUAUUUUGUUGUUUACCUGAAAUUGAAAUAUUGGAUCAUUAGUUUUUUUUUUUUUGGUCAAUUGUAGUCAACAACAGGUUGUAGAUUUUAAGCAAGUUGAUUCCCAUGUCCAUCAGUUCAAGGGUAGCAGUUCCAGGUAUCCAAUUUUCCUUUUUAGGUUUUUGUCAUUGACUAAACUACUUUAAUUGAUGCUUGAAGUUGUAUCUUUUUUGGACUUUUUUGGAUAUUUUGUACACAAGUGAUACAUCUUGAGUGAAUUUAUUGUGAUCAAAGAUUUAACCUACUUAUCUUUUAUGCUAUUCGAAUUUAGGUAAUUGAAUGGAAGUCUUUUAGGAGUUAGUAGUAUCCCGAUUAAUUGGUUGAUCAGAAUCUCUGUUAUAUUUUGCAGCAUAGGUGCACAAAGAGUAAAGAAUGCUUGUAUGGCUUUCAAAACCUUCUGCGAAGAGAAGAACAUUGAAGGGUGGGUAUAGCUUGAUGCUUUUACAAUUUUUGCCUUACUCUAUCUAUCUGUAUAAGGUUUUGGGUUUUCAGAAGAUUUACAUAAAAAGAUUUGACUUUGUAGACAUUUAGAAAAAAUGUUGUUGGAAAUUUUGUUUUUUACCAUGUAAAUCAUAUGUCAUUGUGUUUUUGUUAAUUCAUUGGUGUAUUGCGCAUAGUGAUAAAGGGGUUAAUAGGUAUCAAUGCGUAGAAACAUGAUAUUAGAUUUACAUACAGCCAACAUCCAACGGUGUGUCCUUCUGGUCAAUGAAGUGGGCUAAGAACCAUGAGGUCUCCGGUUAAAAUCCCAGUAGAGACAAAAACACUAGGUGUUUUCUUCCCACCCUAGACUUGAGAAACAUAAGGUCUCAGGUGGCAGACAUCCCGUGGAAUUAGUCGAGGAGCACACAAGUUGGUCUAGACACACGAUUAUAAAAAAUUAAAGAUUUACCUAUGAUCAUGUGGUAUAUUCUUGGUCGCACGCAAAAUACGUCUAUAGGGCAUUUUCUAAGUCUGACGUUAUUUGAUACUAAUAUGGCUCUUCAUUUACGAAGGUACAUGUCUAGAACCUACCAAUUUAUCUUUUUCAGACAUUUCUACUACAUUAGAAUUGCAAUACCAAUGUUGUCGUGUCUUGGUGGCCCCACCUCAAGCAUCCUGAUCUCUUUGUGUUUUGGCUCUCUUUUGGGACACCAUUUACAUAGUUCCAGUAACUAAACAAAAUGAAUCACGCCUUCUUGGAGUUCUAUAUAUAUAGUCACUGCAGAAUAAAGAACAGAGGGAUUUGAGCAGAUGUUUCUGGUUAGUAAAAAAGAUAAAUUGGAGUCUAACAUGCCACUCCAUUCUUGUUCAACUCUUAUGCUUGAAGUUAUCAGAUCACAAUAAUAGACCAGCUUCACUAGUGAGUCUCUAAAUCUUCACAAAAUUAUUGUUGCCCCUUAGGAGGACACCAGUAUGAACUGCCUCUGUGCAGAGAUCUUUUCAAGUAGCAUUUACAUUUUUUUCUGCCUCAAAUCUGCUUAAGUCUGCGUUGUUUUCCUAAGUAUUUUGACUUCUCUUUCUUCACAGUUUGAACAUGAAAGGCCAAUUUAAUUGAAGCAUCUCUUAGUAAAAUCUGGAUUCAUUUUUUUAAUGACCUCACUUAAUUAGCUAGAAAAGAUCUGCCCUAACACUUAAAGAUGACGUGGAUUACCAUACCUGCUGGCAUAUGGUGGAGUAUUUGGAAGGAUAUGAAUAGAAGAUGUGUUGAUGGACACAAGAUCUCAAUCUUGAAAGUCAAAUCUGAUUGUAUUUUUACAGUUUCUUCCUAGUGUAAAAUGGAUAUAAUUGAGGAUGAUGAAACCCUGUUGGCUGUUACAGUUCAUAUAUACUUUUGUGUAGAUAGCAGCCAGGGGUAACCUUUCUUUUGCUCUUUUAUGGAUGUAACCACAGCACUUCCUUAGUGCUAGUUUUGAUAUCAGUUAUACUUUAACAUUUCUUAGUGUUUAUUACUAUUUGUUGCUUCGUUUGUUUUGUAUCCUGUUAUUUUGCAAUCUUAUAUACUUACACUCUGCUGCACUUUUUUUUUUGAUCCGAGUCUUUAUCGGAAACAACCUCCCUACCCCGUAAAGGUAGGAGUAAGGUAUGCAUACAUCAUAUCCUUCCCAUACCCCACUUGUGGGAUUACACUGGUAUGUUGUUGUAUUUCUCCAAAAAAAAAAAAUUGAAAAUCUAGCAUUUCCAGUUGUGUUAUAGUAUUAUAUUGGAUGAACUAUUGUUCUUUUAUACUUGCCAUUCUCAGCCAAAGAAAAAGUAUAUUGGAAAAACUAUUGAAAAUACAUGUAUCAACUGUUGUGUAAAUACAUACGGAAGUAACAUAAGUCAGCUAGUAAGACCAUAUAGCUGUGGCGUGGGUAUCUAGAAUAGUAAUAGGUAUUACUUUUUGAUUAACUUUCCUCAUAGGAACUUUCAAACUCUAUGAGAUAACAUAAAAGCUAAAGCCUUUAAUUUAUUAAUUGCUUUCAAACAUGGAAUAUCUAAUCGGAAAAUGGUAGUAAGAAACAACGAGCCCCAUAUUGCAACCUUGGUUAAUUUGGGAUUCAAGCCUUCAUACUGUCUUGUUAUUGUGUGGUGCAUCUAAGUUUGAUUUUUGAGUUGUACCCAUGAGACUCCACUCUUAUUUAUCUUUGUACAUUAUUUUAUCUCCUAGUGCAGGUGUGUGCAAUGUCUGCAGCAGGUGAAACAUGAAUAUUUUCUUGUGAAGAACAAACUUGAAACCUUGAUGAGGGUAAGUACUCUUCUACAAAUGCUUGGGAUUUCCAAGUCUAAGUACCAUACUGUUGAAGAAAAUGCUACUUAGUACAUGAUGCUUAAAUUUCAAUGAGUCAAGUGUGGGGAUUCUGAUACUCAACCAAUUUAGAUCUUUCACAAAUUAUUUCGCGAUAAAGUUUGACAGGAUGUGUUAUAGGUCAUAGUCAUAGUAUUUGACAAGCAAUACCUAGAGGCUGGUGUUUGAUAAUGAAACAGCCCUCUCAGCAUCUCCUCAUUUGAUUUAACCUUUUCCACUCAAGUAAUGUUGGAGUCCUUAAUUUCCUAGCAAGACAUUUUUUAUGUUUUCUGCUCAUAACUACUUUAAAAAAUAAGUUUUCUUGUCACUUCCUUUUACCUGUUUAAAGCCAGGUUUCUGACAUUGAAUUCUCUUCCAUGAUUAGACUUCAUUAAAAACUUUUUAUUCCCUGAAGUCUUACAUUUUUCCCAAUAAGUUAAAGCUUUUGGCACCUUGUCUUUGACUAUGUCCAAUACAUCAAUAGUUAUUUAAUGAAAAGAUUUUUCUUUUUCUUCCAAAGUCUGUAAAAUCAGCUAAAUUGCAGCUUGUUUAUAAAAUUGCAGCUGGAGAAGCAAAUCUUGGCGGCUGGUGGUAGGAUUCCUGACCUGUCAUAGGUGCUAAUGAUUUGAAAUCCACAUUCUGAGGCAAAGAGAGUAGAGAGAAAAGUUGGCAGUACAGAUGAGUUUCAAGAUUUCAUGAGCUUCUUUGAUUGCUGGAUUCUAAUAGUUGUAGAUGCAAAGAAUUUCCAUGUGAAUAACAGGUCUCCUACAUCAAAAUUCCUUUCACCUUUUAGGUGUUGAACUAUUUAUACUAUUCUAGUUGUUGAACUUUUUUACCCUUCAAUAGUUUAUCUCAAUUCACUUGAUAUGCACUACUGUAGCCAGCCAUUAUUAAGUAGUAGAACUUUUCACCUUGUUACGUAGUAGUAUUAUAUUGUAAAUGACACAUGGAAGUUUGUUUGACUGAUGUGUGUACGUAGUUUCAAUAAAUCAGCUUUCAUAAACAAGUUGUAGCCAACUCGAGUGUCCAAAGGCGGAACCAGACUAGCAGAUUCAGAAUGAAUGAUAUUUUAUUAGAUGUAUAAAAUUUAAAAUCUUUUCGUAUACAUAUACGUGGUUUGAGUGGGAAAACAUCAGAAUUCCCCACAUUGGGUCUCAUCUUGGUGUGUCAUCCAUCUUUUGAAAUCGAGUUAAGCUCAAGGUCCAUUAUCACUCAUUUUAGUUCUUGGUGUUGGACCUCCAUGUUAUGUUAGUACGAGUGUGCAAGAGAUGUCGAUCAGAGCUUCCAACAUUUAUUAUCAAUUUGAUUUUGAAUAAUGUUGACUGAUUUUUGAGAUUGAGUUAAGAUGUGUUGAGUAAUGAAUUCAGUUGCGCUCGCGGUGCCGUAUAGUUGGAUGAAAGAGACGUGAGAUGUGUAAGUUCCAUAAAUGCGCACAUUCUGUUUUGUCUUGCUUUACACUCUGUUUGGUGUCUGUACAUAGUAGUAGUAGUAGGCAGAAUUGGUCAUCUUAAAUUUAAUUUACUGCAAAAACGCCCACGGUUGUUGGGGUUGGUGCAAUCUUAAUUCUUAACACACAUUAUAUAUUUUGAAAAUGAAUGAAGGGUAUGGUAACAUGAAUCAUCAUAUAAUAUGCAACUUUUCGAUACGAGUCAAGCAUCUCUUUUAACAAUCAUCCUCUAUAAUAACACUUCAAUAAAGGGCCAAGUUUUUUUAUUUUCUAAAAUAUAUUUUCAAGUCAUGUUCUCUAUACCAACUUUCAUUUGUUCAUUUAGGUAACACCAUUAUGUAAUGAUGGGAAAAUUAAGUGGGUGGCCUUCGUAUAUAAUACUCCACUACAUUAUAUUUGUUGAAACUUAAAGAUGACUACUCCAUCAAUAACACAACAUUUUCUGAUAGAAAUACUCAUUCACAAUCGACCAAAUGAUUUCCUAUACCUAAAAUCAUCAUACAAAAUAUUAGAAUGUGUUUUCUUCAGAGUUAGUACCUCAGAUGGUCACUUAACUAUGCACUAUUCUCUCAAAAAGUCACUCAACUUUCAAUUUUAACUCAAAAGUCACUAAACUAUGCAUUUCUCUCUCAAUAAGUCACUCAACUUUGAAUUUUAACUCAAAAGUCACUCAAUUAUCCACUCUUCUCUCAGAAAGUCACUCAAUCUAUUUAAUUGUUUUAUUAAUUAAAAUUUGAUGAUAUUAAUUGUUUAUAUAACAAACCAAAAUUUAAAAAAAAUAAAAAAUACCAUUUAAACCAUUUAGUGAUCCACCCACCUAACCCGACCCAUUAAAAAAUAUAAUAUAACCAAUUUUAUUUUACCCUUAAUCCUAAAUUAUUCCCUCUCUUUCUCCUCAACAUAAAUUAUUUACCCGUCUUUCAUUUCUUUUUGAAAAAUAAAAAUUAGAAAUAAGGCAAAGAAACACAUCUAAGUUAUGAUGAAAUUAUCGACUACACACUUGAAUUAUGCAGGUGGUCUAUAAUCCGUUGAACUUAUAAUUUUUCGUAUUUUUUUACCUCUUCAAUUAAUUACCUUAGUAAAGAAAAAAAGGGUACGACACAAUUAGUGUAACACACACUUACAAUCUUAUUGUUUGGUGCAAUCUUAAUAGAAAUGUAUUUGAUCAUCUCCAUAACUGUGUAAACCUUACAGAUAUUCAUGCUCUAGUUGCUGAACUUGUUAUUUAACUGCUCAUAAAAUAGAGGGAAUAAUUUAAGAUUAAGGGCAAAAUAAAAUGGGUCAUAUUAUAUUUUUUAAUGGGUCGGGUUAGGUGGGUGGAUCACUAAAUGAUUUAAAUGAUAUUUUUUAUUUUUUAAAAUUUUGGUUGUUAUAUAAACAAUUAAUAUCAGCAAAUUUUAAUUAAAAAAACAAUUAUAUAGAUUGAGCGACUUUUUGAGGAAAGAGUGGAUAGUUGAGUGACUUUUGAGUUAAAAUUCAAAGCUGAGUGACUUUAUGAGAAAGAAGUGCAUAGUUGAGUGACUUUUGAGUUAAAAUUGAAAGUUGAGUGACUUUCUGAGAGAAUAGUGCAUAGUUGAGUGACCAUCUGAGGUAUUAACUCGUUUUAUUCAUGUAUUCAUUUUAGGGUUCAGGGUUAUAGGACAAAGAUAUUAAGUAAUUUGUAAUUAAUGGACUAUAAAAUCAUAUAUUCCAUUUAUGUACUAUUUAUUAAUUCUCUUAGUUUUUUCAUGCAUGUGUUUUUAAUUCUUCUUAAUGAAAAUUCUAAUUUUGUCAUGGACAUUAAUAUUAUGUGAAAUACACUCUCUUUACGAUACAAAUAAAAAUAGCGGGGUUGAUCAUCAAAGAAAAUAAAUUUGGUAAAGGUAAUAAUCUCUUUGCGAUCAGCAAAAGGAAAUGCAAUAUUGUGUAUGUUACGUAUUUCUUUUUCUUUUUUUCUUGUAAAGCAUAAGCAAUAUANNNNNNNNNNNNNNNNNNNNNNNNNNNNNNNNNNNNNNNNNNNNNNNNNNNNNNNNNNNNNNNNNNNNNNNNNNNNNNNNNNNNNNNNNNNNNNNNNNNNNNNNNNNNNNNNNNNNNNNNNNNNNNNNNNNNNNNNNNNNNNNNNNNNNNNNNNNNNNNNNNNNNNNNNNNNNNNNNNNNNNNNNNNNNNNNNNNNNNNNNNNNNNNNNNNNNNNNNNNNNNNNNNNNNNNNNNNNNNNNNNNNNNNNNNNNNNNNNNNNNNNNNNNNNNNNNNNNNNNNNNNNNNNNNNNNNNNNNNNNNNNNNNNNNNNNNNNNNNNNNNNNNNNNNNNNNNNNNNNNNNNNNNNNNNNNNNNNNNNNNNNNNNNNNNNNNNNNNNNNNNNNNNNNNNNNNNNNNNNNNNNNNNNNNNNNNNNNNNNNNNNNNNNNNNNNNNNNNNNNNNNNNNNNNNNNNNNNNNNNNNNNNNNNNNNNNNNNNNNNNNNNNNNNNNNNNNNNNNNNNNNNNNNNNNNNNNNNNNNNNNNNNNNNNNNNNNNNNNNNNNNNNNNNNNNNNNNNNNNNNNNNNNNNNNNNNNNNNNNNNNNNNNNNNNNNNNNNNNNNNNNNNNNNNNNNNNNNNNNNNNNNNNNNNNNNNNNNNNNNNNNNNNNNNNNNNNNNNNNNNNNNNNNNNNNNNNNNNNNNNNNNNNNNNNNNNNNNNNNNNNNNNNNNNNNNNNNNNNNNNNNNNNNNNNNNNNNNNNNNNNNNNNNNNNNNNNNNNNNNNNNNNNNNNNNNNNNNNNNNNNNNNNNNNNNNNNNNNNNNNNNNNNNNNNNNNNNNNNNNNNNNNNNNNNNNNNNNNNNNNNNNNNNNNNNNNNNNNNNNNNNNNNNNNNNNNNNNNNNNNNNNNNNNNNNNNNNNNNNNNNNNNNNNNNNNNNNNNNNNNNNNNNNNNNNNNNNNNNNNNNNNNNNNNNNNNNNNNNNNNNNNNNNNNNNNNNNNNNNNNNNNNNNNNNNNNNNNNNNNNNNNNNNNNNNNNNNNNNNNNNNNNNNNNNNNNNNNNNNNNNNNNNNNNNNNNNNNNNNNNNNNNNNNNNNNNNNNNNNNNNNNNNNNNNNNNNNNNNNNNNNNNNNNNNNNNNNNNNNNNNNNNNNNNNNNNNNNNNNNNNNNNNNNNNNNNNNNNNNNNNNNNNNNNNNNNNNNNNNNNNNNNNNNNNNNNNNNNNNNNNNNNNNNNNNNNNNNNNNNNNNNNNNNNNNNNNNNNNNNNNNNNNNNNNNNNNNNNNNNNNNNNNNNNNNNNNNNNNNNNNNNNNNNNNNNNNNNNNNNNNNNNNNNNNNNNNNNNNNNNNNNNNNNNNNNNNNNNNNNNNNNNNNNNNNNNNNNNNNNNNNNNNNNNNNNNNNNNNNNNNNNNNNNNNNNNNNNNNNNNNNNNNNNNNNNNNNNNNNNNNNNNNNNNNNNNNNNNNNNNNNNNNNNNNNNNNNNNNNNNNNNNNNNNNNNNNNNNNNNNNNNNNNNNNNNNNNNNNNNNNNNNNNNNNNNNNNNNNNNNNNNNNNNNNNNNNNNNNNNNNNNNNNNNNNNNNNNNNNNNNNNUUUUUAUAUUUAAAAAUUGCGUAAAAAUACUAUAAAUCAUGAUAAUUGACAACAUAAAAUAUUUCAAAAAUGUUGUAUGUGGGUAGUCUUAUUAUGCCUUAAAUAGCGUUAAAGAAAGUACAGGUUUGUGAUAAAAAAAUUUAUUCCUUUAUCCACGCAAACAAUCGCUUCAAAAAUUCGAUUAUUAGCCCCAAAACAUAUCAUUUAUAUUAUUGGGCCCGUGCAUAGCACGGGCAACAUUAUCUAGUGUGUAUAUAUAUAUAUUCGUGAGUAGUGUCUAUUCUUUUUCUCUUCCUUUAUUUCAGUGUGAGUUAUCUGCAAAUCUUGGGCAUCUUUUGGCUUUUGUUAAAAGCAAAUGUCUGAUCAUCUCAAUAAUUAUAGAAUUAGGCAUCAAUUAUUAUUCAAUGACAUAUAUAGUUGCAAAUUGGGACAUAUUCAUCAUGUAAUUAUAUGUAUCAGCCACCAUUUGUUAGCGACCUUUAUACUUUCUUCGUUUUUUUGGGGAAGAAAAAGAGGCUUUUGUUUAAUUUAAGAAUAUUGGAACAAGACGUUUUUACUCUUUUUGUGAUACAAAAAAGAAUCAUUUUGGUAACUACUACUACUUUGCUUUGGCUUUAAACAUUACUUAAAAGGAAAUGGUGGGGAAUGGGAACCAAUAAUAUCAUAACAACUUCUACUCACUGGAGUAUUAUGAAGAGUGAAAGUAUCAUGUCUUGUGAAAAGCAAAUAUGAUUACUCUAUAUAUAAUAAUAUAUAUGUAUAUAUAAUUAACUCAUUAUUAGCCACUUCAUAAUCUUUUUGUUGUCACUCUCAAGUCUCAACCUAUCAACAUUACUCUUUGUCAAAGAAGAUGGAUCCCAAAUUUAAAUUUAAUCAUAAUAUAUUUGAUUUAAGAUCUAUUAUUUAUAUUAAUUUAACAAAUUAUUUAAUGCAUAAUGUUUUUGAGUUCAGAUGAAUCUACAAUUUUAAUACUAACCGUCCAUGUUUGUUAAUUAUUGAACUAUGACUCCCCAGUCUACCAAUCUACAUGUUUGUAUUACCUAAAUGGAUUUUGGAACUCUCUUUAACAAUUAACUUAAUUCAGCACAAAAUAAUAUUGAAAUCACAGUGAAUAUUAAUAUUAAUAUCAAGAGUGAAAUGAUAUCCAAUAUAAUAAAGUGAUAUUGAGUUUUAUGUUUGAACGAAUAUAAUGUAGGUAAAUUAUUAUCCUUAUUUUUAAAGAAUUGUAUAAAUAUAGAGUGUGAGAUAGGUAGAUAAAAGAUUAGAUUAUUACAUACAAAAUUUUAAAUGAGAGUUUUAGAUGGUAAUAUAGAAAAUAAAAUGAUAGGCAAAGGGCAGGAUCUGACGUGGAAGGCCGUAGGGCCCAUUUGGGAUUGGGCCCCAAAGAGUAAAGUCCAUACAUAACAAAGAAAAUAGGAAGAAGAUGAUUGGCAGCUAGCACUGUAUUUUGCUUUUUCCUCCCACAGUUCCUCCGUGUGUGUGUGUGUGUGUGUGUGUGUGUGUGUGUGUGUGUGUGUGUGUGUGUGUGUUGUUCACUCUACCUCUAACUUAUUGCAUUGCCAAUAAAUCACAAUCCUCAAAUUUAUCUGUAUAUUAAUCAUGAGAAAGCUGUGAAUUUAUUAUGUAUCUAUUGAUUUGAUGAAAAUUUAGGCUUGGUGGAGACAUGGAAUAUUAGUUUCAUCUAAUUUGGGUAAACAUCCCAAUUAAAAAUAUAUCCUUUACUUUUAUGGCCACUAUCACUAGAAAAAUAAAUAUCUCUCUUUUUCAGCUUUAAGUAUGACGAUAAGAGCGCAACUAAACAUUUAUUUGGAGGAUAGUGAUAAUAUUACCAUAAAUGUGAAAUAGCCAUCUCAUUAUCCCAAUUUUAUGUUUGGAACUCUACUUCUAGUACUCUAUGCAAAGAGAAAGGAGGCUGUGGAAUUAUGACUAAUUUAAUGUAAAUCAAGUAAGUUUAAGUUGGACAAAUACGUAAAAUCAAAUAGUUCCCAAAUUAAAGUUGACUACACAUGUAACAUUUUGCUAAACAAAGAAUUAAUAUGAAAACUUCUGGAAAGCUAGUCAUUCCGCAGAAAUUUAAGACAUCAAAAUAUUCAAUUGACUAAAAUAAAUUGUAUCUCGCUAGUCCACAAAUUUAUUUAAAUUUCAAUUUUGUUUAUUGAAAACGAAAUAAACAUUUCGUUAAUAGUAAACUUUGUACAAGGAGGUUAAAAGAUAAAUGAGUUAAAAUUGAGUAAUUUCAUUUACACUAGAGGGAUGAAUCAAUAUAGAAAUAUAAUCUACUAGAAGGGAAGGGCAAGAGGAUAAGUUGGAUCUUCAAAGAGCCUUUUUUUUAUAGGCCACAAAGGUAAAUUGUCGCCUUAAUGUGAAAUAACGGAAUAUUUGGAAUUGAAAAGACUAUGUUAUAAUAUGUGCAUAUGCUCUAAUACUUUGAUUGAAGUAGGUGGAUGUGCAACUCAAGAUUGAUUGUUGAACUCCUAAGGAUUAUUAUUAUUAUGGACGUUUCUAGGUGUAAGAAAAUAUUCUCUCUGAUGAAGCCCCUACAAAAUGUCUGAUUGUGUGAUAAACAAGCGUCGAGGCACCUCAUGACCUACCGAGGGCGAUUUCUCCCAAUUUCCCAUGAUCAUAGGAAGUAUCUUCAAUCUUGAUUUCUGUCACGCCCCAAACUCGAGGGCCGCAACUGGCUCCUAAUGUCAAAACUCAAGCCCGAGCCGACCCUGCUGAACAAUUUUCUACUAGCGCAUGGCAGCCACACGCAAUCAAGAAAACAAACAAGUAUAUCUAUAAUAUGUGCAUAUGCUCUAAUACUUUGAUUGAAGUAGGUGGAUGUGCAACUCAAGAUUGAUUGUUGAACUCCUAAGGAUUAUUAUUAUUAUGGACGUUUCUAGGUGUAAGAAAAUAUUCUCUCUGAUGAAGCCCCUACAAAAUGUCUGAUUGUGUGAUAAACAAGCGUCGAGGCACCUCAUGACCUACCGAGGGCGAUUUCUCCCAAUUUCCCAUGAUCAUAGGAAGUAUCUUCAAUCUUGAUUUCUGUCACGCCCCAAACUCGAGGGCCGCAACUGGCUCCUAAUGUCAAAACUCAAGCCCGAGCCGACCCUGCUGAACAAUUUUCUACUAGCGCAUGGCAGCCACACGCAAUCAAGAAAACAAACAAGUAUAUCUAUAAUAUGUGCAUAUGCUCUAAUACUUUGAUUGAAGUAGGUGGAUGUGCAACUCAAGAUUGAUUGUUGAACUCCUAAGGAUUAUUAUUAUUAUGGACGUUUCUAGGUGUAAGAAAAUAUUCUCUCUGAUGAAGCCCCUACAAAAUGUCUGAUUGUGUGAUAAACAAGCGUCGAGGCACCUCAUGACCUACCGAGGGCGAUUUCUCCCAAUUUCCCAUGAUCAUAGGAAGUAUCUUCAAUCUUGAUUUCUGUCACGCCCCAAACUCGAGGGCCGCAACUGGCUCCUAAUGUCAAAACUCAAGCCCGAGCCGACCCUGCUGAACAAUUUUCUACUAGCGCAUGGCAGCCACACGCAAUCAAGAAAACAAACAAGUAUAUCUAUAAUAUGUGCUGGGGCGUCAGUAUAAAAUAAUGUACAGAGUAUGAAAGGCAAUAGACUAUGAUGAGGUAUCCUGAUAUACUGGAAUAAUCUGAUAAAUAAAUCAAGGAUAAGAUAAGUGUACUGACCUGCUCCUAAAUCUAAACUUAUCAAAAAUAAUAAAACAACAACCUAACCAAGCCUCCAUAAGCUCGGCAGGUACAAACAACACACAAGACCACCUACUCAAGGCCCCAUAAGCCCGGAAGGUGCCAAUCAGUCUAUAUACCACUAUCGAUAGUCCCCUAGCCCCGUAUGCAGUCACAUAGCCCUCUUAGGCAUUACUAUAACCCCGUAGGUAAUACAUAGCUCUCUUAGGCAUCAACAUAGCUUAUAGACAACUCAUAGCCCUAAGGGACAGGGCUCCAGCCUACCCAUAAAGAUAUAUACAACUAAAAGGUAACAAACCUCCCAAUUUUGGCAGCUCCGGAGGAAAGGGGCUAGCCAACCGGAUAAAAGUCAAUCCUGCUUCUGAGGAGGUCUACUCGAUCGUCUGUCAGGACCUGCAUGCAUGAAUGCAACGCCCCCAAGGCAAUGGGGCGUCAGUACAAAAUAAUGUACAGAGUAUGAAAGGCAAUAGACUGUGAUGAGGUAUCCUGAUAUACAGGAAUAAUCUGAUAAAUAAAUCAAGGAUAAGAUAAGUGUACUGAUCCGCUCCUAAAAUCUAAACUUAAUCAAAAAAUAAUAAAACAACAACCUAACCAAGCCCACAUAAGAUCGGCAGGUACAAACAGCACACAAAACCACCUACUCAGGCCCCCAUAAGCCCGGAAGGUGCCAAUCAGCCUAUAUACCCCUAUUGGUAGUCCCCUAGCCCCGUAGGCAGUCACAUAGCCCUCUUAGGCAUUACUAUAACCCCGUAGGUAAUACAUAGCUCUCUUAGGCAUCAACAUAGCUUAUAGACAACUCAUAGCCCUAAGAGGCAACAACAUGGCCCUGUAGGAAGCAUAUAGCCUUCUUAGGCGUCAAUAUAGCCAUGUAAGCAACUCAUAGCCCUUCUGGGCAUCAAUAUAGCCCCAUAGGUAACUCAUAGCCCUUUUAGGCAUCCAUAUAGCCCUUCUAGACAUAGAUCACAUUCGUGCAGCUAACCACAAUAGCCCCAAGGGCAACAAUAACAAUCCAAUCACUAAAAGUGAGCAAUUUAGUUAUAAGCAACCUAUACAAAUAGCCUCUAAGUCGUGUCCAACAUAGGGAUGUUACUAACUGAAUAAGAAUCCCGACAAGGAAGGAUUAUAUCAACUCGAGCAACCAACAAUCAACAAUCACGGCUACAAGUAUAUCAAGGACAACAACUCAAAUACAUUGCUUCUAAGUUUUAAGGAAACAUGCCGUAAGUAGGGGAUAGCCUUACCAUACCUUUUUCGAUGAAUUCACAUGUCCUAAUAACUUUAAUCACAACCCCCCUUGAUACUACAACAAGGCAGGAUCAUAAUCAACACAAAAGAAUAGAAGAUACAACGAAAAUUCGAUAAAAGAUAUGUAUUUUCGUCGCAAAUUGCUAUUUACGACUUAUCAAAGGUAGAGUCGAUGAAAGAAGGGUAUUACCUUGAUUAUAAGUUUGUAAUACACCUCAAAACUUUAAAAUAUUCCCAAACCCCUGCUGUCCACACACCAAAGUACGAUAUGCUAGGAAAUUGAUAAAACAAAUUAUACCAUGUUGACAAGCUCAGCGCGUAGAACAACUUUUGUCAAGGACUUAAGUCACGAAAAUCAGUAACUUGGCUUGUCCUAGAAGUGGGUUUUGUAGGUUUUGUGAGUUUUAUGGUUCUUCACUAAGGAAAAUGAAGGAAAAAUGAAAGAAAAGUCGAAGAAGAUGAUAUAUAUAAAGUUUCACCGACCUAGGGGACCCACCUCACCUGCCUGCUUGCGUAGUCUUGCAAAAACACUAAUAUCUCUCCAUUCUGAAGUCGUAUGAACAAAUGGGUUGAUGCGUUGGAAACUAGACUCGUAGACCUUCGAUUUCAUCGGUCGCUGGGACCAUAACUCUUAAUAUUGGGAGAAAACGUCCGAGACAUUUGACCCAAAUUUUAGACAAAUCUUUAAAAAGGAAUUUACGGUAACUUUCGCCAACUUUUAUUUUGCCACUCACCUAACUUCAAAACUUGAGAUACAACACUUGAACACUUAAAAUAUCACAUCAUUCUUAAUUUAUUACCCACCCUCUUAGUUUUUCCACGAAGAUACGAGUCAAUUUAUACGUUUCGAAAAGUCGGGGUGUUACAAUUUCACCACGUUGGUUAGUUGUCAUGAUUCGACUAGUUCCUUUUACUAGCUUGAUCCCAUUUUCCACCAUAGAAAUUUCAAAUAUUUUUAUUUUACUUUAAUCCAAUUAUUGUCCAAACGCAUAGUUGAGAAAUGUUUUAACUAUAUUAGUAGAGAAAACUAUAUUAAUUAAUACAAAGACACAAGAAAUUAAAAACAUACACUAAUAAAGAGAGUAGAAAAUAGAGAUUGAUGAUAGUGCAAGCUCAAAAGUCACGUGGAGCUGGUCUGAAUCUGCUCAAUGCCCCGAACCUGCUGAUCUGUCACUCCAAAGUUAAGGCUCGUGGUAUCCAGGUAGGCUCGUACAACCGUUUGGCCUUAGGAACCUGUUCCCGAUAAACAAAUAAAACACAACAUUAAGUAUAACCAAAAAACAAUAACUCUGUACCUCCUGUCUUGUAAAGAGAAGAAAGUGACCGUAGAACUAUCUAUCUAUCUGCUACUCACUCAAUUCAUCCAUCUUCUUCUUCUCUCCUAAACCAUUAAUUUCUUAUACCAAAUUUGUUUCAGCCAUUACCAAAAAAGCUUUUGCUUUCUUGUGAAGCUACUUUUUUUUUGCCUUUGCUUUUGGUUUCCAUUAAAGACCCCAUUUGAUGACCUGUUGCUUCUCACGGAAAAGAAAACCAAAAAAGUUCCAUUUUUUUUACCUUAUAUAAGCCUGCACUGCCUUUUCUAUCAUUCUUCUCUUCAGCUAUACGGUAAUUAUGAUACCAUUCUUUGUAUUCUUUUUUCUUCUUCUGCAGAAUAGUUUCGCCAUUUUAGACCCAAUUGAUUUCUUAGCUUUACAAGCGAUUCGAAAAGGCUUGGAUGAUUUGCCCGGUUCCAACUAUUUUGCUUCCUGGGAUUUCACUUCUGAGCCGUGUAACUUCGCCGGAGUUUACUGCGAUGGAGAUAAAGUGAUCGCCUUGAAUCUCGGUGAUCCCAGAGCUGGAUCACCGGGUUUGACCGGAAACUUGGAUCCUUCUAUUGGGAAACUCUCUGCUCUUGCUGAGUUCACGGUGGUUCCGGGUCGGAUAACCGGUGCCUUGCCGGAAAGUUUUUCUCAGUUGAAGAGCCUGAGAUUUCUAGGAGUUAGCCGGAACUUUCUCUCCGGUGAUAUUCCGGCGUCAUUAGGCCUGCUCCGGGAGCUACAAACUCUUGAUCUUAGUUUCAAUCAGCUGACCGGGAGUAUCCCUUGGGCUAUUGGAGCUCUUCCGGCAUUGUCCAACAUUAUACUCUGUCACAACCAUUUGUCCGGUUCGAUCCCACCAUUCGUAUCCCAAAGAUUGACCCGUUUAGACCUUAAGCACAACUCACUUUCAGGUACCCUUUUGCCUAAUUCACUUCCUUCAUCGCUUCAAUACUUGUCAUUGUCAUGGAACCAGUUAACCGGUCCAGUAGAUUAUCUGUUGAGUCGGCUGAACCAGUUGAAUUACCUCGAUCUUAGCUUGAACCGGUUCAACGGCUGCAUUCCGGGAAUCUUAUUCACUUUCCCACUCACAAAUCUUCAGCUACAAAGGAAUCUAUUUUCGGGUCCGGUUUUACCCAUUUCAGAGGUGACAAUUCCGACGGUGGACAUUAGCUUUAACAGGUUUUUCGGGGAGAUAUCUCCAUUGUUGUGUAAUGUGGAGAAUUUGUAUCUGAACAAUAACCGGUUCACGGGUCAGGUGCCGGCGGUGUUGGUGGACCGGUUAUUAUCUGCCGGAAUACAAGUUUUAUAUUUACAGCAUAAUUUUCUGACGGGGAUUGAGAUAAAUCCGAGGGUGGAAAUUCCGGUGAGCAGUUCAUUGUGUUUGCAGUAUAAUUGCAUGAUUCCGCCGGUUGAGACGGCUUGUCCGUUGAAAGCCGGGAAGCAGAAGAGUAGGCCUACAAAUCAGUGUGUGGAGUGGAAGGGGCAAAAGAGUGAAAAAACAAACAAUAAUAAUAUUACUACUAUUAUGGCUUAAUUUUUCUAGAUUCUUUCAUUGAUUAAUCCAUUUCAUUUUCCUUCCUGAUUAUGAUGGACUAAGUAAUACUAGUAAAAAAGAGUAAAUGUGCAUAAUAAAGGAGAGAAAAAUAGAGUAAAAGGGUGUACGAGUCAUGGCCAUCCAUCCUAUUGUUUUUCUUUUGUAUUAAGCCAAAACAAUUUUGGCAUUUCUUUUUGUAAUUAGGUAUGUACUAUAAUAAUAUAUUCAAUUACUUGGAUUUACGGAUCUCAAGUUGAAAGAAAUUAUGCCUUUCUCUCCUUUUUACAGUAGUUUUGUUGAUGACAUGCAAUGCUGUUCCUUGUGAUCAAUACUGAUUGUUUUUGUGUACUCAUUGCUUUGAAGAAUUGUCUUUUAUAUGAUUCAAGUUACAAACAACAAACAAGCUAAGAUGGGAUAUUAUGUAGGUUUUCUCUGAUUUUGCAUAAAUUUGAAGCUUGGUGCCUGAGGUGUACUGUAUGCUAUCGAUGUCACCUUUUUCCUGUUUAGAGCAACAAGGAUGCUUUUUCUGGACUUAUGUUUGUUCGGGAUGCUCUUUCAACUGACACACAGACAAAGUAAAGUAUACGUUACAAGUCUACAUACUAAAAAAACAUUAUUUAUUUCCCCUUCUUCCCGUUUGGGUGAAGUUAGAGUUUGAUGGAUUAGUAUAAGUUACAAUACAUUUAAAGGGCAUCAUUAAUACAUUACAUGCACGAUAGGAAUUAAUCAGAGUCACGCAAAGCCAUAAAUGCACCAACUUGAGCUGUAAAUUCCAUAACUAUCUAUCUUUUCAACAAUUAUAUAUGUCACUCAAUUUCAAUUGGAAAAAUAAUAAUAAUGAUGAUCCGAUCUUAAUUAUUUCUCUAUCUGAUACAAGAUUAUUAGCUGGAUGCUUUCUUCUUUUAUCGAUAUCCAAAUUAAAACUUUUCUUCAAAGAACAAGUUUGGGACAUGAGUGUGUUCAGAUUUUAUGAGUGGGCUUUGGUAGUAGUAAUACUUGCAUACAAAUAAAUCCCAACCUGCUUUAUACUCUAGUCCAGUCUAGGAGUAAAAACAUGUACUCCACAGGUAACAGGUUGCCAUGUCAUUGGGCUUUACAUACACGAAUCUAUAUAUGUUUAUAAAGCUGAAUAAAAUCACACUGAUGUGGCAUGCUUCAAUGAUCAGUAUUACUAUUUCUUAAAAUUUUGAUUUUUUUCUCUCAUUUUUUGUUCAAAAACCUUUUAAAAUAAUUAUUCACUUUCCUUAUUAUUAGCCUUUACUACAUUUAACUCUUCCUUCCAAAAGGAAAUACUCCCUCCGUCCACAAUUGUUUGGCAGGUAUACUAAAAAUAGAUGUCCAAGAUUAAUUGUCAAUUUAAACAAUCAAGAAAUAAUUAGUCACUUUUUUUCCAAUUCUUGCUCUUAAUGAUAGUGUAGUUCAAUUGAAAAGUUAUGUGGACUUUUGGUAUUCUUGGUAUAGUAGGGUUAUAUUAGUCAAAUUACACCUUAUAUAAAAAAUUUCCUUGAGGGAUGUGCAUGACCUUACCCUGACAAACAAUUGUAGACAGAGGGAGUAUGUAACAACUAAUUACAUAAUGGAGCAAUUAAUGUGCAUUAUCACGCAUGUUUUCCUAUUAAAUCAUUGCUUCAACCCACGUACUAUCAGUUUUUUGUAAUCCUUAAUCACCUAUAAUUAAUUAGACAAUUCAUUCCCCUAUUUAUUCAUACCUUCUUAGACCUUUUCCUUUGGGGUUUCAUGUAAGUAUUUUUUUCAUAUCUUCUUAUACCUUUUUAGGGGUUUCAUGUGGUUUUUUGUUCUUCUCUUUCAUCUUCAUCCUUUUAUUUUAUCCAUCCUUGAUAGCAUCAUUUUAAACAGGAUAAUUACUAUGAAGCUUUUUUGAUAUGAAGAGCAGAAGAGGAAAGCCAAGAGUUGAUUGUAUCCAUUCUUGAUUUUAUUUUUAACGUAUGUAUAUAUGUUACCAUCCUUUGAAAAGGAUAUUACUAUGAAGCUUUUGAUAUAAGCCAAGAGUUUUAUUAUUAUUAUUAUUAUUUUAUCAAUAUCAAUGUUAUUUAAAUUUGUUUAAAGAUUUUAUUUUAGUUUUAGGAAGUUAAAGUUCUAAUUCUAUUCAAUAUGUCUCUUUCCCUAAAUCCAAAUCUGUAUAGUAUAAGACUAAAGCUAAGUAUACACAAUGUAAUAUUAAAGUGAUGUGACAUCUCUCUAUAUUUAUCAAAUUUAAUUAUGUUUUUAUUUGAAUUUUUUAAAUAUUUACUAUUGUAAUAAAUUGUCAAUGAAAAAGUGUAGAGAAAACUGAACAUUUACAUCAAUAUAUAUACUCCGGUGAUGUGGCGCUCUCUAAGGCCACAAUUCUUUUUACAAUAGUAAAUAUUUUUAAAAAUUCAAAUAAAAUAAUGUGAUGUUUAAAUUUGUAACUGGUAAUGUCUCAAAAACAAAAGAUGGCUUGUGGUUGGUAUGAUUUUGAUGUUAGAUGAGGUUAAGGCUUAAUUUGGACAUGGAUGAUGAUUUUAUAGCUAUGAAAGUAGUUGUGUCGUGUUUUAAAAAAAAAACUCAAACACAUAUAUACACACACGUGUUUAUUCUUUUAUUUUAUUUAUUUGUGUUUUUCUCCUUUAUUUGUUUUUAAAGUUUCACCUUCAUGACUCAUAAGUCAUACAAGAAAUAUAUAUAUUAAAUAUUGGAAUACAUUCUUUUAAUUGUAUAAAGAAUUAUUUAUAUUUUCUUUAAAGAUUCCUCCAUUUUAUUUACAUAAAUUCAUAAUUUAUUAUUUCAUGAGACCCUACUCAAGAUUAUCCUUUUUAUUUCAUAUUUGAAGUUAUAUUUUUCUUAUAUUACUAUUAUAUAUAAAUAAUUUUGGUUAAUAAACACAUUAUUAAAGGAAAAAUCUUUUAAAGAGAAAAGACUCGUAAAUAAUUCAAAAUUGUAAAAUUCAUAAUUUAUUGUUUCAUAAGACCCCUACUCAAGAAUAUACUUUUUAUUUCAUAUUUGAAAUUAUAUUUUUCUUAUAUUACUAUUAUAUAUAAAUAAUUUUGGUUAUUAAACACAUUAUUUAAGGAAAAAUCUUCCAAAGAAUAAAGACCCAUAAAUAAUUUAAAAUUGUAAAAAUCAUAAAAUUUGAGUAGGAAUAAUAAAUUGAACUAAGACUCUUAGUAUAAUUUUUUAGCACUCAAUAUUUCAAAAAAUAUAUAUUUUAUAAAUUUAAUGAGGUAUUUCAAAAUCGCGCGAAGCGCGACCAAAUUCACUAGUAUAUAUAUAUAUGCCAUCCUCGCAAAUGUUACACUCGCUGCCACGUCAAAUUUUAUAAUUUCUUAUAUUCAUUUUCUUUUCUUUUCUUUAUUAAUUAACUUUCUUUAGGGGGCAAUUUAUGCCUUUUCCCUAAUAUAUAUAUAUACACCUCAACUUCAAUUUCUCCAAAAAUAAUAUUCUAUCAUCGAGGAUAUAUAUGUAGAGAUAUUUAUCACAAAUGUAUACCAGAGAUAUUCUUUCAAUCUUUUUAACUUGAACAAUAAAUACAGUUGAAUACUUUUCAUGAAAAAGACAUAAGAAAAUACAAACUUGUGAAAUGAUAUAUUCGGACAAGCAAAAUAAUCCCAUUUUGUCAAAAUUAAUACUAAACAAAAACACCUUUUCAUGACAAUGACUUCUCAGUUUCUUUAAACAUCCAGUUGUUAAUUACUUAUAUCCCUCACAAGUCAUAAGUCACAACAAUAUUGAACCAUGUCUCACACCCUACAUUUUUCCUUUUCCAACAAGAAUAAUUAUAAUUAAAAUGCUCAUCUAUUAAUUAUUUUCCAUUUUAUACUGCUAUCUUGUUUUCUACCUUCAUUUUUUAUUUUCAUUUGAACUUCAACAACAUAUUCUCUUAUUUAGAAGUGAGAGUUGGAAAGGACNNNNNNNNNNNNNNNNNNNNNNNNNNNNNNNNNNNNNNNNNNNNNNNNNNNNNNNNNNNNNNNNNNNNNNNNNNNNNNNNNNNNNNNNNNNNNNNNNNNNGGCCCCGUGCUGGCACGGGGUCCUAUAUCUAGUCUUAUUACAUGGCAAUGCCAUGUUUAAACUCCGUUCUAUGCUAGCUCUAAACAUUUUUUCAAACUAGAUACUAAUAAAUUUUAAAUCGCAACACAUAUUUUAUUAGAUCAAUCCUUAGGUUUCAAAAUAUUUUUUUCAUACAAAAUGAUAUAGAGCAUUAGUGAUUCCAAAAAUUUUACUAACGAAAAUCAAAAUGCAUAUAAGUAAAAAUAAUAAUUUAUUUCGCAUCUUUAAUUUAAAAUCAUAAGAUUUAAAAGUUUUUUUUAAACUCGGUAUCAAGACGAAAUAAGACAAACAAAUUGAGUAUUAAUGUGAGAUCAGUGGCAGAGUCCGGAUCUCCGUAAAGGGGGUUCGAAGUAUAAAGUAGUAAAUUUUUUAUGUAUAUGGAAUACAUGAGGUCAAAAUUAGAUGUAACUUGUUUAAGAUACAUUGUAUCAAAGUGGAUUCACAUGUAUUUGGAUACAAAGAAAAUCUCGCUCACCUCGUUCACCACUGUCCCAUGUACCUAUUAUCCCAUAAACAUGCGAACCACUCCGAAUAAAUACAAAUACAUGUAUCUAAUAUGUAUUUAGUGUGAUUCACAUGUAUUUAAGAUACAUACGAAUCUUGUUCGCCUCUCUCCCUAAUUUUCACAUUGGGUUUUCGUGUUUAAGGAAUUUGAAAGUAGUAAACUAGUCAAAAACAAAAACAUAAUUAGUAAAAAUAUCCAUACUUUAUAAAUAUUAGUAAAAAUGUCAAAAAUAUCAUUAUUUUAAAAAACUUUAUGUAUCCUAAUUUUCUUCCUACUUUAUCUCCCAUUGACACGUUUUCAAUUAAUUAUCUCUCCUAUUUUAUUUUUUUAAAUUCUUCUCUCUCAAAUUUAUCUUUUCAGAUUCUUAAUUCUCUCUCUUAUUUUAAAAAAAAAAUCCCUCUCUCAUCUUGAUCUUUUCAAAUUAUCCUCCAACAUUCAAGUUGCCCAUAUAUCUCUUCCGUAAAUUUUGGUAGUUUUUUUCAGAAAUUAAAUCAACAACAAUCACUUUGAUUAAGGUAUUAAUCUUUAUCCUAUUUUUAGAUUUCUUUUCUGAUUUUAUUUUUGUUUAAAUCUUUAAAGAUUGUUGUUUGUAGUUGAAAUUUCGGUUAGGGUUCACUCUCCAAUGGCUGAAUCCAAGAGGCUUACUAGAUCCUUGGGUAGAUCUUUGCAGGCAAAAGCAUUUUCCUGAGUAAAAUUAGAUUUGUAAGAAAAAAUAUUUAACUUGGCAAGCAUAUAAAUAUAUAAAUUAUGCCAUAAUGUAACUUAUAAACUACAUCACAUAAAAACAAAUUUAUACAAUAAUGUAACUUAUAAAUCAAACCUGACAUAUACAAUAAUAAUUAUGAUUUAAUGAAUACACCAAUUAUGGAGUAAUGAAUACAAAACAAUGAAACAAAAGUGCAUGAGUACAAUGAAUACAUUUAAUAUGUAUCUUUACUUAACUUAGAAAAAAAUCAAAUGGCAUUACUAUUUGUUAAAAAACAAAUACUCCCCAUAUUUUCUUUGUAUUCAAACUAAAAAAAAUUAAAUACCCAAGUCAUUAACAAAUACAGAAUUAUAGAUGUUAACAGUUUUUUGUAUCCAAGUUAAAAAUGUAUGUAUUUACAAUAGUCCUUGCAUCAAGUAAAAAAUAAAUAUUGAAACAUUAAAAACAAAUUUGAACAAAACCGUAUUAUGCAUAUUUCACUGAAGUCUGCCAACAUAUAUGUAUACAAAACAAAUAUUGAACCAUUAAAAAACAAACAGCCGAUCAAAAAAUCUUCAAACAAUCCAUUAACAUUUUUCAUAAUCAACAACCACAAAAAAUUAAACAAAUCCACCAAAACUAAUUUUUCUUAUGUUGUUCACAGUACAUACAAUUUACAAUGAAAACAGAUAAAGUUUACAAUUAUUUACAAACUUUCAUAUCAAAAUUUUAUAAUCACUUUGAAAAAGAUUAAGGAUGAAGCAAUUAACUAAUACAUGGUCCAAUUUGUAUUCAACCAAUUUGAUCGAACUCCUAGUAAUAAAAUCCUUCUCCACAGUUGUUUGUCAAUGAUUUUGUUGUACUAUUUCGUUAAAAUAAUUCUCAACAAACAGAAAAAGAAGAAGAUUUCAAUCAAAAUAUAUUGAAAAUCGAUAACGAUAGAACUCAUCAGCUAUGGAGAAGACCGAUUAGUAUUUAGUUUUGAAAUUUUGAGACUUUUAAGCAAUUGUUCCUUUUUAAAAAAAUUCUCUCCCCUAAAUUUCUCCUUUUUGUUAUUUAACAAUUGUAUUCUUUCAAUUAAAACAAAUAAUAAAAACUUAAAUAAGAUACAUAAUAAAUUAAAAAUUUGACAUUUUUACUAAAUAUUGAAAGUGUUGACAUUGGAUCCUAUUAAAUGUCAAAAUAUUGACAUUUUGAAAAAUUUCUCUUAUGUACAAUUAAUUCAUUUUCUAUAAACACAUAGUAUAUUUUUAAGAAAAUAACAAUAGAGUAUAUCUUUGUUCUGUACUACUAUAACUAAAGCAGACUAUUUAAAUGUAACAUAUUUGUAAUUUCUCUGCAUGUCCGUCCGACUUAUUUUUCUGUGUUUAGAAACAUAGUCCAGUCCUACUUGGAAAAAUACUUACCCGCACAACUAUUUUUCAUCAAGCAAAUAAAAACAAAGAUUGUGCCUUUUAUAACUAUGUAUACUCUUUGAUGUUAAUAAUGAAUUUUUACCAGCAUUUUUAGACGUAUCAUUUGCCUCUGACACAGAGUUUACAUAUUACUGUAGUAUUUUUUUUGUUCCACUGCCAUACAUAAAAAAUACGGUAGUAAGCUUAAAAUUCAAAUUCUAAAGUAGUGAUAUUUUGGCGGCAAUCAAAUGAAAAGUGAAGCGGCAAAACUAAAAUAGAGCAAAUUUAACGAUCCCAGUGAAACUGAAUAUCCAAUAGAAUAACAACACGUUGGCGAUCCGCGUGAAGCCGAAAUGGACUCACCCAUUUCUAUAUAAACCAAUUUUAUUUUUCAACAAGAACAUCAGUCUCUCAUUAUUUCGAAUUCAAAUUGUCGAAAAGGAAAAAAAAAAAUGAGUUCUACAGUUGAAGCAAAGUCCGCUGGUGGUCGAGGAAAGGCCAAAGGUUCAAAAAAAUCAGUGUCCAGAUCUCAAAAGGCAGGUCUCCAAUUCCCUGUUGGCCGUAUUGCUAGGUAUCUGAAGAAGGGUCGUUAUGCUCAGCGUCUUGGCUCUGGUUCACCUAUCUAUCUCUCUGCAGUUCUUGAAUAUCUUGCUGCUGAGGUCCGUCCGUUUUAUUUAGUUUUUGUUUAUUAGUACUCUUCUCGUCUCGUGCUUGGCUGAUGUUUCGAAAUUUCCAGGUUCUAGAGCUUGCUGGGAAUGCAGCUAGAGAUAAUAAGAAGAACAGGAUUAUUCCAAGGCAUAUACAAUUGGCUGUCAGGAAUGAUGAGGAACUUAGCAAGCUGUUGGGGUCGGUGACAAUUGCUAAUGGUGGAGUUCUGCCCAAUAUUCACUCAAAUUUGUUACCCAAGAAGAAUGGCAAGGGGAAAGUGGAAUCUGCAUCUCAAUCUCAAGAGUUUUAAAUGUGAUGUCAGGAUUAAGAGGAAUUGGUUGGAUGUGGUGUUGUUUUUUGAUAUAUGUGAAUGACAUGUUUGCUUCAUUUAUUGAUUUGCUAUUCGAUCAUACAUCAACAAUGAAUUAUGACUUGAUCUAAAAGACUAUUGAAGACGCGCACGGCUGAGCAUUUUCAAUAUUAUAAUUUAUAACAAGUCUAAAAUUGACAUUUAAGAUCUAAGUUGUUACCAAAUAUGAAAAAAAUGUAAUUCCAUUUCCACCAUAUCCCCCUUGCAUUUGGUAGUGGUGUAUUUUGCCCUGGUAUCCAUUUUUCUUUCUUCUGUGAGUGUCUAUUGGAAUUUGGAACAACAACAAAUAAUUCUUAUUGCGGCGAAUGGACAUUGUUAACCGCAAAGUAGGAAAAGGAUUGUCUUUUAGACCGUCUCGUGUUUUUGUUGGCAGGAGGCAACAUAGAUUAAGUAUUUGAGGUAAAUCAUGUCAUCCUCUAUACUAUUAACCACGCAAAUGCAUUUUGUGAUUUGUAUAUAAGCAAGUGAUUCAUUAAUCUCGUUUCAUAUAUAUGUACACAUUAGUUCAUAGUAAAGUUAGCAAUGAGUUCAACAAAGGCUCCAAAUCGACAUCCAGAACUCACAAGGCAUGCCUCCAAUUCCCCGUUUUGUCUAAGCGGGCCCAACGUGUUGGUGCUGGUCCCCCGGUUUAUCUCGCUGCUGUAGUAGAAUAUUUAGCUGCCGAGGUAAUUCAUGGAGUAAUUUAAAAGGUAUAAUCAAAUGGAAUAGUAGUGUUUUUAUAGGUUUUGGAAGUUGCAGCAAGACACAAUAACACAACUUGCGGUGAGAAAUGAUGAGGAUGAGCAAGCAUGUCACCAUUGCAGAUGGAGGUGUUUUACCCUACAUUCACCAGACUUUGUUACCAAACCCAGAGAUGACAUUGCUUGUUAGUUUUCUUUUUCAAACUUAAUUUACGAUUACAUAUUCUAGUGCAAAGCUUGUUAUUGAAUGAUAAUUACAUCUGUUUUUUCCAUUCACUAGUUUGCUUUUUUGCACAAACAAAUAGAUGUUUAAGAAGAAUAAUCAUGUGUGCAUUUAUCAUUCUUGAGCCUAAUUUUCUUGGAAGGGUUUCCAAUGAUAAUGCCAGUCGCGACUUGUCAAUUAAUUAUUUUUCCCUAAUGUACAAUAGAAAUGUCUUUUAACCGAUCCUACAUACAACAUAUUCUAGUUUCAAUAUUUUAUUACAUCAUACUACUGUGAGCGAGCUUCAAAACACUGCAACUGUUAAUUAGAAUUAUAUAUGGUUUCUUCAGCCGAAAAUUUAUGAUAAGACGAUAGAACAAAUAAUAUCCCACCAAAUCAAAACUAAAACAUCUUUUAUGAGAGUCAUACCGGUAAACAAACAUAACAUAUGAAGAAUUUAACUUCAACCAAUUAUAUUAAAGCAAGUAUAAUUUAACAAAAGUAUCCAAACAACACAUUGGUGGUAAAUAUAACAUUAGGAGGAUUUCUGCACUGCAACACAUGUAAUGUCAUCACUGGAUCCUUUGUUGAUGCAGUACCUGAUGACUGUUGGUCUCAUUAAACGGUGAUGCUGCUCAAGAGGCACUAGCCAUGGAUUCUAUAAGGAGCUUGUAACCUUCUGGGACAGCUGACUGUGUAAGCACGCAUUCUGCCAAUGCAGGAACAUCUGCAUUAAUGUCCAGAAACUUGGCCAGCAACAGUAGCAGAUGGAAAUCCGAGAUUCGCUUCACAAAAGAAAGACUCUUUGUUCUAUUGAAAUGAUCCUUCAAUGCAUUCAUGCUCACUGGAAUAAUCCUGUUUUCAAUGGGAAAUGAUGAAGAAAGUGGACCCUGCACAUGAGAUGAGACCAAAUAAGAACAAGCGAUCCAAAUAAAUAUCACCAGGAUGAAAGCAAACGACACAAGACAAAGGGAGAAAGAGGUCGAAGGAACCUCUUAAGCAUCCAUCCAACAAUUUGUAAUGAUGGCACACGCACAUAUGUGCCAAAAAAUAUCAAAAAGGAAAGGAAAAGAAAAAUGAUAAAAUAACAGGUAUCUUCAUGAAACUGUCAAAGGACAUUCAGCAAGGUUUGAUCUAUUCCAAAACCACUAGGCAGGAACCUAUUCCUAAGCCUUUUUGCAUCUCUUCCAGCUCCAGUUUUACAUUAAUAUAUAUAUAUAUAUAUAUAUCAAAACUGAAACUUCCACCAAGUCCUAGACUUUGAAAACUGGUAAAGCUGCCCUAUUCCAAAUCUCGUCGACAUUGGAUGUCACAUACUAGAAUUCUCUUUCAAAAUUAUUUUGGCUUCAAUACAGAAAAGAGAAACAAAAGGAACAUCACCCAGCACUACUGCUUCAUCCUAACUCAAAUUAGGUUGCAUAUUGUUUCUCUCACUAACUAAAUCUUAUCCUAGUUCAUCCAUCAAUUAUAUCAGGUGAUAAAGCGAAGUCACUAUUUUUCUCACUAUAUCCUAAAAGAAACUGAGGAUCACUCAGGCACUCAAACUCCACUGAAGUCAACGAUUGAUGCAACAUUAACAAACACAAACUCCACUGAAGUCAACGAUUGAUGCAACAUUAACAAACACAAACUCCACUGAAGUCAACGAUUGAUGCAACAUUAACAAACACAAACUCCACUGAAGUCAACGAUUGAUGCAACAUUAACAAACACAAACUCCACUGAAGUCAACGAUUGAUGCAACAUUAACAAACACAAACUCCACUGAAGUCAACGAUUGAUGCAACAUUAACAAACACAAACUCCACUGAAGUCAACGAUUGAUGCAACAUUAACAAACACAAACUCCACUGAAGUCAACGAUUGAUGCAACAUUAACAAACACAAACUCCACUGAAGUCAACGAUUGAUGCAACAUUAACAAACACAAACUCCACUGAAGUCAACGAUUGAUGCAACAUUAACAAACACAAACUCCACUGAAGUCAACGAUUGAUGCAACAUUAACAAACACAAACUCCACUGAAGUCAACGAUUGAUGCAACAUUAACAAACACAAACUCCACUGAAGUCAACGAUUGAUGCAACAUUAACAAACACAAACUCCACUGAAGUCAACGAUUGAUGCAACAUUAACAAACACAAACUCCACUGAAGUCAACGAUUGAUGCAACAUUAACAAACACAAACUCCACUGAAGUCAACGAUUGAUGCAACAUUAACAAACACAAACUCCACUGAAGUCAACGAUUGAUGCAACAUUAACAAACACAAACUCCACUGAAGUCAACGAUUGAUGCAACAUUAACAAACACAAACUCCACUGAAGUCAACGAUUGAUGCAACAUUAACAAACACAAACUCCACUGAAGUCAACGAUUGAUGCAACAUUAACAAACACAAACUCCACUGAAGUCAACGAUUGAUGCAACAUUAACAAGAGGCCAUCUGAACAAACAGAGGAAGAAAUUUGGAAUAUUUUGAAUUACAGUUUGGAAUACAUCAAAAUAUGCAAGUUUCAUGUUGAGCACAUACUACCACACCUCAAAGCAAGUGUACUACUCCCUCUGUCCCAAUUAAUGUGGUACCACUUUCAUUUUUAGUCCAUCCCAAAAAGAAUGUAAUAUUUCUAUAAUAAUAGAGAUAAUUUAGACUACAAAUUUCAAAUGUCUUCCUUUUUUCUUAAAAUUCAUGUCAAGUUAAACGGUGCAACAUAAAUUGAGACAGGGUGUACAAGCAUAUUGUAAUCUCUGUCCAAAGUCUCAUGGCAAGACACUUGAAGUAAUUUUACGAAGAACCUCUCACUUGAAAAUAUAUCCCAGCCGGUUAGAACCACAGUCAAUAGCAACAACAGCUAGCACACUGCUGUACUCCAUCACCCACGCUAUGGGUGACAUCAAUACCUCAACCAACUUAUUUAUCACAUGAUUGACAUCAAGCGAGAGGGGAUAUAAUUAGUGAAUGAAAACUGAAUGAAGAAGAAUGUAGAAUAACUCCUCAAUGGAAAGAUUUGAUGCUAUUGUUCCGUGGUAAUUUUCCAGGUCAAUCAUGCUCAAGCCUAAACAUUGAACAGUCCAAUGACCUUAGGGUAAGUUCCCUAAUUUCACACUUGAACCUAUCCCUAGAAAUAUUCUUUUGACAUUACAAAAAUAAGCAUAGAUAAAUGAGUUCAUGUCUGCAGAACCAUGCUUCAUGUGAAGCAAAGAAAGUGGAAAAAAGAAAACAAAGCAGAGUUCUCCCACCGGGGUAACUAAUACAGCUAACAGUAUGAUGACAAGCUGAAAGCAAAUAAGAGAAAAAUAUAUGAUGAAACAUGCUAAAUCACCUACUGAGGGGGAAGGCAAACUACAUUACCCAAAAAUCUUCAAAAGGUUUGCAACUUUAGGAAGUGAACCACCAAAAAGGUUACGAAUCAAAAAGGAUGAGUUAGAUGAUCUAAAAGAUGAGGAAAGUGAUUAGGUCAAUUGAGCUUCCGGAUCCUUCUGAUCUGCCUACUUCUUAUGAUGUUCUCAAACUACACAAGAAACCAUAGAGUAUUAGGUUCUAUCAUCACCGCCUAACAGGUUCUAAUUGUAGGAUGAAGCAUAUGGCAACAAAUGUCUACUUGGGGGCUUUGACCAACAGCCUAUUUGCUAAAACUACCUAAAACAUACAGCUACUGAAAUUAAGCAUGUGUUUUAAUGCCGUAGUAAGGUUUCUCUAUUCUCAGCAGUUCCAACCAGAGACCAUUAAAAAGGCAUCUUUUAAUCAAUACUUAGAUGUUCUACCGCCAAUUCUUACCAAUAGUGUAGUAUUUCUUCUGUUCAGUUCUUUUUGUCACUGCCUUCAUUUUUCUCCUCAUAGUAUGAUUAUAAAGUUACUCACUUUAUGCAAUUUAAGGAAAGCAAACAAAUGUAAUUCAUAAUUAAAUUCAAGCAACUAAUGGACACAAUAUGCAGCACACAAAAAAGAUUCAAAGAAAAAGAUAUGCAAUAAAUCCAACGCACCUGGUGAUCAGCAAUCUUGACAACAACCAAGAAGAAGUCGUUAUCAACUUCUCUUGUGUCCUUGACUCCUACCACCACAUCUUUCUUCAUCUUAGAAAGCUUUGGAUCAAUCUCAUCCUUAACAUCUGUCUCAAACCACCCUUCCUUGAACAAUCUAACACACAUAUCACUCAUCUGAAAAGCCUCAAAAUGUACAUCGGCAGCGCCAUCCUCAUUCACCUCAAGCUUCACUAUAGCGGUCACCCACUCCUUCAAAUCACCCUCCGAAUGUAACUCAGCUGCCUGUAAGACUUCUGCAGUUGACAUUGUGUAAUCCUUCUUAUCCUGACUAAUUGUCUGAGUAAAUAUAAACCCUACUUUCCUCAUCCCUAAUCCAAUAGCUAUAGCAUCCACCAAUUUCUCCUCAUCAGGAUCGCGUAAAAGUAACAAAUUUUCCUCGGUCCCUUGCUGGGGCGGCUCAUAAAUAAAAUCGACUUCCACUUUGCCCUCAGGCGAUACCGUACCAUACAUAAAACCACCCCUUUUGACAGCAAAGGCGAGUGUUUCAUUGACAUAAUGUUGAAAGGCAUUGGCGGCAUCACGAUCGAAGGAAACCAGCUCGCAGUGAGGGUUCUCUUGUCUUGUAACUCGCAUUUGUUUGGCAAUUAGGUCGUCCAUGGUCAUCUUUCUACCGAAUGAACCGGCGGGCUGGACGGCCGGACCGGCAAUGGUGCGUUCACCCUCGUAAGCGAGAUAGAGCAUGGAACCGUGAGUAAGGUUCAAAGAGGAGAUGGGUGUAUGAGGGUUGGCCAUAUCAGUGAAGCGAGACCAAUCAUCUGGGGUUUUAGCGAGCAAAAGGUUCUGAUUUGCAGAUAGGGUUUGAGAUUGAACUGGAACUCGAAGUUGGGAUUCGAUUUGGGACUUGAGUUGGGAAAUUGUGGCAUGUGGGUUGUCAAUUGUGACUCGCUCUAACCCAUCUCUGCUUCUGAUUCUGAUCAUCAUCUUGGCUGGCGACUGACUUAGAUAGAAGAAGAAGAAAAAAAACUUGUUGUUUAUCUUUGUACAGCAAGCAAGAGAGAUUACUAUAAUAUGGUGAUUUUAAUAAAUAUGUAGUGCAUCAGCAAGAGGUGAGAAUCUGUAUGGAAGUUGGACCGACGAAGAAGAAAGGAAGUAGGAACUUAGCUUUGGCUUGUAGAAUCGUCCAUUAAUAUAUAUACUACUCCAUAAACAAAGCAUAAAUUCGUCUCCUAUUCUGUUUCGGAUUUCUAUUUCUAUUCGACCCGUCCUCAUUAGACUUGGGCUCGGACAAGUUUUGGGCUGGACUUUGUAAAUUACUCCUAAUUUGAUUUGGUUGGAAAGAUAAAUUGUCUUUUUUAAAAUUCGGGACAAGUUCAUGUGUCACUUUGUCUUUUCUCUUAAAAAAAUUACGCAUAAUACCAUUUUUAAUAUUUAUACCAUAUAUUUUAAAAGAUUUAAUUAGAUACACAAAUCUCUUAAAUAUGGUAUUGAAUAAUUAUCUUAAAAUUUAAACUCCUUAAUUAUGGUACAUUAGCAAUUCAAAUUAUUUACUCAUUACCCUAAUGUUCACCUCCACCCCCACGUACUUCACAUCCACCCUAUCUCUCUCUCUCUCUUCCUUAACUAAAUCCUGAUAAUCAACAUCAUACAAACUCAUAUUCAUUAUCGUCAUGGUCCAUACAUCUUUUCUAUGAAUUAGUCAUUAACUAGCUUCUUUCAGAUGAUCAAUAUUAUCCGAAAGAAGUUCAAGGUUUCUUCUACAUAACUGUUGUAUCAAUGAGGUAAAUUAUUAUUAAUUUUCAUUAUUCUCAGGUAUCUUGGUUUACAUUCCAUUCAUGUACAUGAAAUAGAGUUUAUAUUGGUGUAAAAUUUGAUUUUAUAAACUUUUGCAAAUUAGAUUUUUGUCAUUGCAGCGUCUUCAUCCGCCAACAUCCAAGCCGAAAAUUUAAGAUACAAAGGAAGAAAUUGAUGAAGAAGAUGAAGUGUACAAUUACAGAAUUAUUAUGAUUUAUGAUUUCAUUAUUUUAGGAACACUUGUUAGAGUUGAUACACAAGGGUCUUGUAAAUCUGUUUGGUUUGUUAAUUAUUCAUCAAUCAAUGAAAUAAGUUACACCCCUUUAAUUCAAAGUAAUAAAUCGUGUAUCUAGACUUUUAAAAUCGAUGGAUACAUGUAUCUCACGAAAAAUGAUACAUGUAUCUCAAGGCCGAAAUAUUCAAAAAUUUAAGAUACAAAAGAAGGAGAUAAUGAAGAAGAUGAAGUUUACAAUUUUAUAAUUACUACUCCCUUUGUCCCAAAUUAUAUGACUCACUUUCCUUUUUAGUGCCACGCCCCGAGCCUACACCCUGGGUGGGACCGGCACUCGGAGACCAUUGCUGGCCCCAAGCGAACCCUUGGCCUGGCUUUCUUAACUCAACGGAAACCUAACUCAACAGAAUAACUUAAUGCCAUGCAAAGACAUAAAACAACUAACUGAUGCAUAACUUGCCAAAAGGCAGCUCGAGUCUCAAAAUAGAAUAUUUACAUAAAUACAUAAAUGAGAGACUCAAUACUGACUGACUGACUGUCUAUGAAGCCUCUACAAUACUGAGAUGGAUGUUGGGACAGGCCCCACAACAUCCUAUUAAAACAAACUUAAGAUCACAAAAUAACUGAGUCCUCUGGAAAGCAAGGAGGCUCACACCUGACUCUGGAAUGCUCAGCUGGAUCAACGGCGUGCUGGAUGCUGAUCCUGGGUACCUGCGUUUGCAUCAUAAUAAGAUGCAUGCCAACUGGCAUCAGUACAUGAAAUGUACGAGUAUGCGAGCUGGAACUAAGCAACAAAGGCUAGCAGGAGAUCUGGAAGACAACUGAAAAAGCUUAACCUGGCUCAACUCAACUCAACCUGACUGACUUCUUUCAAUAUAAGGCAAUUUAAAACAAAUGUGAUAUAAAGAAAGACUGUUUAAAAACCUGCUAUAAACUCUGUGUGUAUACAAAGAUACAAUAAGCCUGAUAUGUAUAUAGAAAUACAAAUGAACUGAUGUAUAUAAAAAUACAAUACUUUUUGUGUAUGAAAAUACAAUAACUGCUGUGGGAGUUUCUCUAAUCGACAACCAUCACAUAAGAGCUAUAGUGAUGAUACAACGAUAGACCUCACGCUGCCAGAGCAUUCUAUUCCCGGCCAAAGGUAUAGGACCUGAACUGCCUAAUGGAUCCACUAGUCUGAUUUGAAAAGGAUUCAUCUAAAAAGUAUGAUCCUUUUCUACCCAUGGUGGCUAACAUAGUUCUAUGGGGGCUAUGGGUUCUUUGAACACUCCCCCAACUCGGUGCUCGAUACUACUCCCAAAAAUGUACUAGCUCUUAUGUUUUUAAAACAUAUGUCUUCCUGCUGAUUGAGAUAAUUACUCAAAAACUAGCCUAAAGGCUCCUUUGGAAAAUCUCAGUUUCCUCUCUUUCUUUAUGAAAACUAGCCCUAAGGCUCUUUUGGAAAUCUCAGUUUCCAACCUUGUUUAAAUGUAAAAACAUUUCUUUAAAACUUAUUUGGGAAUACAUAGUUCCCUAAUAACUUUUGAGAAAUGAACUCAACUUUAAACUCUUGACUCAACUUGAAACUUGAUACCUCUUUCUUAGCUUGAAACUCUAAGCUCUUUACUUGACUUGAAACUAGAGUCUAAAAAUGAAGUUAAAACGUUCAAUAAAGACUCUUGAACAGCUUUAAGAACUUGCUUGACUUGCUUCUUUAACUUUUGAACUUAACUUUUGACUUCUAACUAACUCUCCUUGAAUUGGAUUUAUGGAUUCAAGGUGUUUGAUCACAUGUUACAGAUGAGUCCGGGAGGUUUAAAUGUACCUUAGAGAGUUGGAAACAACCAUACAACAUAGGUACAAUACCAAGGAACAUGCAUGAGAAGGUGGGGAAUGAAUGGGGAAACUCGGCGUCCUUGGCGCUCUGCAAGGCGCGAGCGCCAGACCCAAAACUUCAGAGGGGGCCUGCUGGCGCUCUGAGAGGCACGCCGCCACAAGGGGGAAACUUUAGAAUCCCUUUUGGAGCGCGCUGGCAGGCGCGACGCGUCAAUCCCCUUGCCCAGAAACUCGACUUUUCUCCCUCGUUUUGCCAACUCUAAACAACCCUUGCUUCAACGGCUUCAACCCCAAACACUAAGGAUCAUCAUAUCCCUCAACAUACCAUGGAUUACAACUCAAAACACAACCGGAAACAAGUCCCAAAUCAACAAGAAUCUCAACAUCAAAAUCAACAACAAUACCAACAAUAAUUUCAACAACUUCAACAACUUCAACAACAAAUCCAAUCUUUUCUCAAAUCAUAAAAAUGAGCUUGGUGUGUGGGAGAAAUGAUCAACCCACACAAAGAACUCACAUACCUCAAUAGGGAUCACCCCCGACGAUUUCCACGACGGAAACUUGCUUGAUCACCUCUUUCUCUUCUUCUUCUCCUCUUCUUCUCUUCUUCUUCUCUUCUUCUUCUCUUCUCCUUCUCAAACCCUAGCUCUAACUCUUUUAAAAAUGGAACAAAAAUGAUCCACAAUAAGCCUAACACCACAAUAUAACGCCAAAAUAAAAUAGCUAGGGAAAAGACCAAAAUGCCCUUAAAUUUCCGGACAGAUUUCCCUGCCAACUGCCCAACUUCAAAAGGGAAUAACUCGCUCAUACGAACUCGGAAUUGAGUAAAUUCGGUGGCGUUGGAAAGAUCGUUCCACGAACUUCGCAACCAUAACUGGAACUCCACCUAACUCAUCCUGAGAUAGAAUUUAUGGCUGUUCAAAGUUGGCCAAAAACUCACCUUUUUCCACACUUAGCCAAAUUCCAGAUUUUCAAAUUCCUUCCAAAAUGCCUAUUUCCGAUUCUAAGCCUCUUCAAAGCUAUUUCAAAUUGUCGGAUGUUACAUUUAGUCAGUCCCAAAAAGAAUGACACAUUUCUAUAUAAAGUAACAAUCUAACUAUAAAAUAUCUAUUUUACCAUUAAUGAAAUGAUUUACAGCCACACAAAUUUCUAUCAUUCAUUUUGGACCACAAAUUUUAAAAGGUUUCCUUUCUUUCUUAAACUCCGUGCCGAGUCAAAGUACCUCAUAUAAAAUGGGACGGAGGGAGUAUGAUUUAUGAUUUCAUUAUUUUAGGAAAGCUUGUUAAAGUUGAUAAGCAAGGAUCGUGUAAAUCAAUUUUGAUUGUUAAUUAUUCAUUCAUUAAUCCUUUAAUUAAGGAAAUAAGUUAUACCUCUUUAAUUCAAAGUUAUAAAUCAUGUAUCUUGACUUUUAAAAUUGAUGGAUACAUGUAUCUCGCGAGUAAUGAUACAUGUAUCUCAAUUACUCUUCUAAUUAAGGAAAUCACGAUUUUAAAAGUCGGCAGAUACAUGUAUCUCGCGUAUUCAGACUCGUGUAUCUUAAGCACGAAAUAUGGUACAUAAAGUAAUAUUUAAAACUAUUGGGAAUCUUAGUAAUUAAGACCUAAACUAGUGGGAUUUAUGUAGUUUACCCAAAACUUGUCAUAAAACUUGCAACUUUUGAUAAAAGUCACAAUUCGUCAUAAAACUUGUAUUUUUUUUAUAAAAAUCACAACUCGUCAUAAAAGUCACAAUUCUUCAUUUUCUAUUCACACCUUUAAAAAACCCAACACCAACAAAUUGUUUUAAACCUGUAAAUCUCUUUUUCCAUUAUGUCAUAUCUUUUUGUAAAAUCUAUGCGAAUUCUAAUAAUUAUAGGUCUUUUUAAAUAUCGCCUCUUUAUACAGUUUUUAGAAAUACGUUUGAACGAAUUUUAACUUCUUUGAGCUAAAUAAGGAAAACAAAUAUAUUUUUUUGAAUUAAUUUUAACUGAUUGACUAAAAAGGAAAACAAAUAUUCCUAUUUUGUUUUGAAUCCCCUAAAUUUAUGGCAUUAGUAAUUAUCCUUAAUGUAUUCAAAUUAAUGACAUAUCCGCUUUUUUCUUUUUAUGAUUUUAAAAAAAAAAACGUUUUUUACUAUUAUUUUAAUUUUUUUAAUAAAAUGUUACAACCUGAAAGUUUUUAUUGUUACAACUUGAAAGUUUUAUUAUACUGUCAUAACUUGAAAAUAUUAGUCUUGUAAUUUUAGUAGUAGUAAUACACAUAUGUAUUGAUUUUUUGAAUCACACUCUGGUCAUAUUUCCUAUAAUUCUGUUUAUUGCAAAAAUGUUUGUUAAAAAAAAAAUACAAAGGUAGAUAAAAAAUGUAUAAAGAGGCGAUAUUUAAAAAGACCUAUAAUUAGUGAAAAUUUAAUAAAUGACAUAUACAAGACUAAUAUUUUCAAGUUAUGACAGUAUAAUAAAACUUUCAAGUUGUAACAAUAAAAACUUUCAGGUUGUAACAUUUUAUUAAAAAAAUUAAAAUAAUAGUAAAAAACGUUUUUUUUUAAAAUCAUAAAAAGAAAAAGCGGAUAUGUCAUUAAUUUGAAUACAUUAAGGAUAAUUAAUAAUGCUAUAAAUUUAGGGGAUUCAAAACAAAAUAGGAAUAUUUGUUUUCCUUUUUACUCAAUCAGUUAAAAUUAAAAUACUUAUCCUAACCACUUUUUUGCUUUUUUUUGAAAUUGGAUUUCCGAGUCCUCCUUCCUUGUUGUUCUUCUUGUUGAUUUGUUUUGAAGACUGACCAAUUUCGACAUUUGUUGCUUUUUUUUUUUUUUUUUCUUUUUAAUCUCACUUACGAAAUCUGAAUCCGAAACAAAAUGAGUCACUUCUACAAUUUUCACCUUCCUCUUAUUUCCCUUUUGAUUUGCAUGACUAACUGUUUUCUUUGCUUGACUAAUCUUCGACUGAGAAAAAACAUCUUUUACCGGAAUUUCAUUAUUUGUUGGCAUGCAACACUUAUCUCUAGUUCAAGAGCAGAAACCUUGGCCAACGCCUCUUCUCGAGCUGCCUGCUACCGACAACAAAAGAGUUGAUAGAGAGAACAAAAAAUCAGAAUUCAUAUCUGACAUUCUUUCCUGCACAUAUAAUUUUUAAAACAUGUGCUAAUUUUAAAACAAAUACAGAUCCACUUCUAGUGGGGAACAAGUAAGCAUUCGCUUCUUCCAAUUAUCAAACAUAACAAAAAAUUCAUACAGAAAGGAAAGUAUGUUAUCUUAUUUUUUUCCUUCCACAUCCAUGGGGCUCAAUCGUGAGUUCUGUUGUUUUUUUUUUAAUGAAGAAGACAAACGUUGAAGAUGGUGAGAGAGAAAAAAAUAGUUCUAUGUAAAAGAGGAACGUGGGGGUGGGGAUGUGAAAACUGGAAAAACAAUCUCUAAAAUGGUGUAAGAGAUAAUGUCAAUUGAUUCUCUAUUAAUGUUAUCCCUAAAAUGGUGUAAGAGAUAAUGACAAUUGAUUAUCUUAUUUCUCUUACUUAUUAAUUGUAAGGUAAUUAUAAAAAUAAUAACUAAUUAAUUAAAUCCAAUAAAUUAAAUUAUAUAUUAAAACUAAUAUGUUAAUACUUGUAAUUAAAUUGUUAUAAGUAGUAAUAUAAAAAAAGUACAUCUAAAGAUUGUAAUAUUAAGCCUUAAAUAGAUAUGUGGGGUGAAAUUUUCAUUAAUAAACAAAAAGUAUUUGAAUAGUAAUCAAUAUUUAUCUUGGGAAUAAUAAAAUAAUCAAAAUAAAAAUCAACUAAUUAGGAGAAUAUCAAGGGAAAAAUUUAUCUUGUCAUUACUAUAUUUAUGGAAAAGAUAUUUUGAGUUUGAUCCUUUUGGGUGCACACAGGGUAAAACCUCCACUCCUAUGCAAUAGCUCGCAAACCACAUAGGAGAGGUAACCCGCACUAGGCAAUCCCGGUGUGACGAGCUUGACCCAGAAGGCAAACCCCUUGCUUUUGCUGGCAAGGGGUUUCGAACUUGAGACCUCCAACAUGGAAGUCCCAAGCCCAAACCAUUGGGCCACCCUGAAGGGUACAUUAUAUAAUACAUAUUAGUUAAUAAUAUAUAAUUAAUUAAUUUAUAAAUUAAAACUAAUAUGUUAAUACUUGUAAUUAAAAUGUUAUAAAUAGUAAUAUAAAAAAAGUAGAUCUAAAAGUUGUAAUUACGAGGAUCACUAAACCCCGUUGACUAUAUAGUACAUCUACAACUACUAAUUUUAAUACAAAUAUUUGAUUUGACUAAAUAAAGGUUUACAAAAUAAAGAUAAAAAAAAAAAAAAAACACCUAAUUAUUAGAACGCAAAAAGGGACAUCAGACCUACUUAUCCUCAUGUGUGAACCCAAUUCUAAUGAAAAAAAGGGAAAAAAAGGAAAGAAAGGCGUGCGAAUUAAAUCUGAGCUUAUACUGUCAGAAAAAAAUAGAGAGAAAAAAAUAAUAAGACAUAUAUAUAAUUCGAACUCUCAAGUUUACAAGGACACCUAAUAGUUCUAUGAUUCUUUGAGCAGCACCUGUAGCAUGAAUUCAUGUGAACGGACACACUUCUAUUUAGAAGUAAGUUGUAUGUCUAAGAGACAUUUUUAUAGAAUUGAGGUGAAUUUGAAGUUGAAAUAUGUUUAAAAGCUAUAUUAUGUGAUAUACGAUAGCCCCAAAUAAAUAGGAGCCAAAAGCCCAAAACUGAUUGAGAUGUUGUCAAUGCAUGAUUGACGAUUCUAGUCAAGUUUUUGAUGGUCCCACUUCCAUUAGCUUUGUUGUUAAUAUAGUCUUUUUAUUUGCAUUUUUAGAGAAAUAAAAGGACAAAAGUAGUAAACGAUCAAAUACUUUAUAGAUAGCGAAAGUUGGCAUAACAUUUUGAAUUUGAAAAUGAGCCCAAAACUGUGGGGACCACUUAAUGGCCCAUUCCCAAAGACUUUGGAUUUUACUCUCUUAAUUAGCCCAGCCCAGCCCAGCCCAGCCCGUAAUACAAGAUAAAACUUGUAGCCGUUGUUACUCCUUUUUAAUUCUACUUUUACACUUCUCCUACUUAUACUUGUAUUAACAAGAUUAGGAUUAGGAUUAGCAAAGAAAGAAAGGGGAUUGAUGAUUAUAUAAUUUUGGUUGAAUUUCCAUCUAAAUAGUAUAACGUGGAGUAAUAAGUAGUAAAUCAUAUCAAUAUUCAAAAGAUUUGUUAUUCUGUUAAUUUAUUGUACCUCAAAAAACACAACAAUUAAAUUGUAAAUUGGCCAAUGUUUUUCUUGCAAAUUGGUGUGGUUUAAUAAUUCAUAACUAAACUGCAUUACAUGUGUAAAUAAAGGGACAAAGAUCUCAAAUCAUUAUGGGAAAAGCUGCACAUUGUGCAUUUGGAAUCCACCAACGGUCGGUCUGCAACUAGAAUCUCUCUUUUUUCUAUAAAUCAAACUCUACAAUUCUAGCUCAAAAUAUUAGCAAAAAUAACAUUUCUACUCCCCCAUAAAUAAUGUCCAAGCUAGUGCACGAUUAUUUACUUGUUAACUAUCUAUAUCCUUAACAAAGUGAUUGAUUUAGGCUUCAUACAUGACACUUGUAAAGAAAAGAAAUUAAUUAGAUGUCAUAUUAAAUAAGUAAAGAUCGCAUGAAAUUAUGAAUCAAACCAUAUAUUUUAUAUAUCUAGUUGACAAAAUUAUUUAAUUUGUACUAAUAAUAUAAGUGAAAUGCACACAAUCUAUCUUUUAACUUAUACGUUUCAUCUCAUUGGUCUUUUGAUUUUUAUCUCAUUGAUAAAUAUUUUUUCUUUUAAAGCAUAAUAAGUACACAUUUACCGUACAAAGAUUUAUUGACGGACAAGUAGAUGUCAUUAAUCAUAAAUAUACACCUUGAUUAAUUUAGUUAGUUGAAAAUGUUUGGGUACGUAAUAGUAGUAGGAAUUGAGUGUAGGAGAAUAAUUUACUUCAAAAUCAUAGGUUAAAAAUAAGUUAAGUUAAUUAUAUAUAUAUAGAGUUGCAUUGAUUAGUGAACAAACUUGCUGAAAAGCAGAAAGUGUAGAAAAAGAGUGGCACUAUUGAAAUUGUUAAGUAAUGAAAAGGGCUUUCUUGUCAUCGGACAAGAGAAAUUUGAAACGAGUGGCCGUUUGAACCGCAUUAAAACUUGGUCUCUUGAAUGCUCUUGUAAUUACUAAAAAAAAAAAGAGCAACUCUAUCUAUCUCUUCCAAUUUCACUCCAAACCCAGUUCAUAGAGAGAGAAAGAGAAAGAGAAAUGACGGGGUUGGUAAUGGUGACAAGGGGAGGUGGCUGUGGAAAUGGGAAGAACAGUUCAAAGGCGGCAGCUGCUGAAAUGCAAAAUCAGCAGCAGUUGUCUUUGGUGGAUUUCAUAUUAGCAGCUCUAAGGAAAUCAAUGGUGUCUUGUCGUGUAGAUCGACAAGAAGAUGUUGUUUCUGCUGUGGAAAUAGGGUUCCCCACCAAUGUCCAGCAUCUCACUCAUGUCACUUUCGAUCGAUUUCAUGGCUUUCUGGGUCUUCCUCUUGAGUUUCAAGUUGAAAUCCCAUGUAGAGUACCAAGUGCCAGGUUUCUUCUAAAUCUCAAAACUUUCUUUUCUUGUUUCUGAUUACUAAUGCUUAUGACUGACAUAAAGCUCAGACUUUAAGGACUAAAAAUUGACUUGUCAACUUUUUCAUGUUUAAAAAAGUUUUAUCUCUUUUUUUUCUAUGUGCUCCUUAAAGGAGAGAGAUUAAGUUGUGUGAAUUUGCAAUGUACACUCUGAUUUGUGUAAUAGCUUUUUAGGCUGAGAAGUCUUUAAUUUUACUGUGAAUGCCAAAGCUAAUUGAGGAGUCAAUACUUCCAUAAAUGCAUGUAGUAUCUACUUUCAAAAUCUUUUCCAUUUCCAGGAGGACUGGAACUAGGUCAUUUGAUCCUUUUUGAGGUCCCCUUCCUAUUGUGGAGUGAGUUAUACUUGACCAAUAAAAAAUGAAGGUCUACUAAUUCGUCAUUUUCUAGUUAAUGAUCCUUAAUUACACUGCAUUAAAGUGAGUUGGUUGGCACCUUGAGGGACUAAUAAAUGAUUUGUUUGCAUUUGAGCAGCUAAUUCUUUAUUGCUGUGAAUUACAAGUGUUUUUUUUUUUAGAGAAACUGUAUAGUUUAGGAUGUCAACAGGGAAAAUUUUCAUGCACAAUUUUACAACUCAAGUAGUACCUUUGGAUAAAUAGUGGUAUUUUUGUGACUCAAUACCUGCACUCAUGUUUAGGUAUUUGGUCUCUGGCAUUACAAUGGAAAUACACGAAUCCGAUGAUGACUUGAUUACUUAAAUUUAUUAUCAUACUGAAUAAAGAAAUGGUCAAGUUGCUAAGCUCACCAGCUCGAUAAUUUAAGAAAGGGCCUCCGUUCAGGAACCAGAAUCUAGUGAAUUGAAUUAAGAUAUUCAAGUGGUAUGCAUGGUAAACACAAAGCAAGAAUGAAGAGCAGUCCCGGUUCCUGUUUGUUUACGGGUUUUCUCAUGCUGGUGAUUAUACUGUAUUAGGCAGUCCCAGUUCACUCCCAAAUCAUCUUUCUGUAGCAUUUUGUGUUCUAUUGAAGUUAUUUUUCAGAAACCAAUAGUUGUCAAUUACAAAUUCAAAGCAUAAGUUGAUUUCUGUGUCUAUCUUCCGCAGAGGUCAUUCUUCAGCAAACAAUAGCUGCAGUAAUUUGCUUUUAAAGCUCCAAACCUAUCUAUUCAAUAUAUCCGCUGAAUUUGUAACCAUUUAUUUUGCAGCGUCAGUGUGUUUGGUGUAUCUGCAGAAUCAAUGCAGUGUUCUUAUGAUACAAGGGGCAACAGUGUCCCAACUAUUCUCUUGUUAAUGCAAGAACGGCUAUACUCACAAAAUGGUCUUAAGGUAAAACAAAUUUUAUCUCAUUUCUGAUGGAUGGAAUUUUUGUCCACCAUGUUAUGUUAUUGCCAACAAUUUUCUGACUAAUUAUAUCUGGAUGAACCUUUUAGGCUGAAGGAAUCUUCCGAAUUAACCCAGAGAAUAGCCAGGAGGAGCAUGUAAGGGACCAGCUAAAUAGAGGCAUCGUGCCUGAAGACAUCGAUGUUCAUUGUUUGGCUGGUCUCAUCAAAGCCUGGUUCCGAGAACUGCCAUCAGGUGUGCUUGAUGGGCUUUCACCAGAACAGGUUUUGCAAUGCAACACCGAGGAAGAAUUCGUUGAGCUUGUGAAACAGCUUAAACCAACCGAGACUGCAUUGCUCAACUGGGCAAUUGAUCUUAUGGCUGAUGUUGUUGAACAAGAGGAAUCCAACAAAAUGAAUGCCAGAAAUAUUGCAAUGGUUUUUGCUCCAAACAUGACCCAGGUAAAUGAAUAUAUACUAUAGCAGUUGGUUGUAUAAAGUAUUAACAUUUCUUAUAUUGGUAAGGAGUUGAAGCAUUUCAUUUUUUUUUUCUGGAAUCAGAUGUCUGAUCCAUUAACAGCUCUCAUGCACGCUGUUCAAGUGAUGAACUUGCUGAAGACCCUGAUCAUGAAAACAUUACGAGAGCGUGGAGAAGCAGAAGAUGGAGAUUAUUCACCCAUGUCAUCUCGUUCUUCUGGUAGACAAACUGAUGAGGAAUUCGACUCCCAACAAGAGAUGGACACUAGCUGUGAAUCAGCAGGACCAGCAUCAGAUGAUGACGAUGCUGAUGAGCAACAUCGCUAUAGCUACAGCAGUGAAGAGAGAGAUGAAGUCGAGUCAUUGAGUGAGAUAGAAGAAAGCUUCUUGCGACAGUUGGACGAGAAUGAGCAUGCAAAAAAUGACUUCAGGAAACAGUUGGAAGGAAUUUUGUGCAGAGAAGAUGUUAUUUCCACAACUGCAUCUACCGAAAAUGGAGAUUCUUCUGUUUCAUUUUCUGACAGUAAAAUGGAGACUUCUGGCUUGAGCACUAGCGAUGGUGAAGACUCAAGAUACACUUGUGUUACUCUGGAAGAUAAAGUGGAGUUGAAGAGAUCAAGUGGAAGCAUGGAGGAUGUCGAUAUGGUAGAGGUAAACAUGGUAGAAUCUGCUGUUCCUGUGCAGUAGGUUAAUGACUGCUAUUGAAUCUUGCAAUUUUAGGAGUCGUGGAUUUCUCUGUUGUUAAUGGUCUGACGGUUGUUUAUGUAAAAAGUGUUUGUAGGACAGAAAAUGGUUUGCUUGUGAAUCACUGUGUUCAGCAUUGGCUGAACUCGUGCUUGAUUGAUUUCUUUGUUUUGCUAGCUAGCUAUAAGGAUCUCUAACAUUGACCAACAUCAAUGGUGUACGAAAAAAGGUUUGUUUAUGAAGAUUGAAAAAGAAAGGUGGAUUUGCUUUAUCAGAAAAGCAUAGUCCUUGAUUUCAGAUACUAAUCCUUGACUAAUGAUUUAGUUAACAGAGAAUAAAUAGUAGUGAAAAUGGACCGUUAUCCCUAAUUAAUGAUUUGACAGAGAAUAGUAGUGAACAUUUUUAGCAAGUUCUUUGGACUUUGUUGAAGUGACAAAGAUGUAUUUUAUUCUAAUCAAGUACUCCCUCCGUCCCUAUUUACUUGUCCAUAUUUCCUUUUUUAGUUGUCCAUUUUGACAAAUCAAGAAAGGACAACAAAUUUUUUCCAAUUAUACCCUUAUUUACACUUCUUGAAAAUUGUAAAAGUGUAUGUUGUUUUCCUCCAAUUUAUUUCACUUGAAUUCAAAUAAGUGGUUGUAAAUUUGAAGUGAAAAGUUGUCAUAAGGAUAAAAUUGUAACUUUACUGUGCUAAUCAUUGUUGCCUUAAUCUGUGUGCCAUUUCUAAAGUGGACAACUAAAAAGGGACGGAGGGAGUAAUAGUGAUAGGGAAUCCAAGAAAAUGGAAAUAGUAACUAGUAAUUUUUGUCUUCUCUCACUGUUUAAGUUGCUAUAAAAAUAGAAAAUAUUUGGAUGUGGUUUGAAGUAUUGCUGCUUUACGUGUUUGAUUCUGUCUACCCAUUCUUGCUGCAUGUAAUAAGAAAAACAGUAGGAAGCCACGUCUUUUUGGUUCUUCAACACAACGUUUUUCAACUACAUCAUCAUUAUGAAUGUUAAAGUUGGACAACUAUUAUAAGUUGAAGAUCAUCAAGUGUUGCAAUAGAAGAAAACAAGGAGCUGAAAUUGACUAAGAAGUAAGAAGCGACAGGUUCAUCGUGUUAAGAUAUAAAAAUGAUAUCAUGGAUAAUAAUGACAUUGUGGUGGUGGCUUCUACAACUACAAGUCAAUCUCACGGGACUUGGUGGUGUAAUAACAAUAUGGAAAUUUACUCUAUUUAGCCCCCAUUAGUCCCCUAUGCUAUCACAUAAAGGUGACCAAGUCCAUGUCAAUUGUCAGGCCAACAUCAAAGUUGAUCUCACAUCACCUGGGUAGAAAAUGCACUCCAACUUUGUCCGACUUCAUUACAUCAAUUUGUAGCUUGAGCUAAAGUAAGUGGUGAGCAUAGAUAGAGGUGCACAAGGGAAAACAAACUAUAUACUUAAUGACAAUCAUAUCAAUUAGAAGAAUCAAUGAAUUUACAAAUGUUACAGAUUAUAGUGGUACAAGGGAACUACAAUUAACAUUCAGUUGCUAUGUCACUGCUAAAUGUUUACAAUCACCUCCCACUGGCUGUUAAUGUAGCAACUCCAUAGUGGCUUAAAAUGGGACCCACUGAUGCAAAGAAUCAGUUUCCUUCCACUCAUCACCUUUUAUAUAUAUCAAAAUAAGGUUUGUUCUGUUUAUUUUCUCUUUUAAGCUGAACCUUCAAUUUUUUCCCGUCUAGUUGGAAACCAUUCAUCAUUUUGAUUGCAGAUUGUGCAGCGUCUGGAGAGUCGUAACUUACAAAUCCUGCAGAAACAAGUUCAAUCAUAACAUCAAGACUGAAAUACUCUUUAUGGUUGAUACAUCAGAAAGUCUAAGGUUCAUACCAAAACAUUUACUAACACCACUAGCUUUGUCCACAAAAACUUUGGCACUCAAGACCGUCCCAAAUUCUCGAAAUGUGUUUGCAAGCUCCUGAUCACCAAAUUCUUGAGGAAUGUGGUAAAUAAAUAAAUUAGCACCACCUGGACCUGUAACGACAUGAUUUCUCUUUCAUAAGUAAGCAAAAGUUAAUUACAAGCAAUUCAAGUUAACAUGCACAACUUGUCUAUGUCAACAAGUUGGAAGACUGUCAAUGCUGGGAAAAUAGCUAAUUAAAUAAUGCAAAGACGAAAAAAAUAAUAGCUGAAGCUCUCUACACUCUUUGAUAAUUGCUGAAACUAAUGACAUAAUUGACAAUAAUUUACUUGCAAUUCCAGUGGGUUCAUCAAAAACUAAGCCAAACUAUAUAUCACCAGACACCAGUGAGUCUGAAUAAGUACUUUCUACAUCUCUCACAAAGGCCUUGAGAAGAACUCAGUUAUAUUGCAAAUCUGAUUUCUUCUUCUGUUUCUUCUAUUAGCUGUUACCUUUUAAAAACGGAUAGGUGUAAAAUUACCAUCUCAGAUAUCUGGUAAUCAUUAACAAUAUGGAACAGAAGCUCAGGAAAACAAUAAACCAAGAAAUAAAACAUAGCCUCAUUCAGAUAGAUGCACCGAUCUACUUCAAGUUAACAAGUAUUACUAAGUCUCAAAAUAAAAUUUUGACAACCUUCAACUUGACUCCCUGUAUUUGAACCGGCACUUGAAGAUUCUGCAGAAUGCCUGUUUGCGGUAUAAGGAGGUAGAUAGCCAGUAAUGCCUCCAGGAUAGUGUGUGGGAUAUUGAAGCCCUUGUGCAGCCCUGUAAGCAGAUGCCAGAUAGCUUCCAGGUGACAUGGCAUAAUUUCUUUGGGUAGUUCCAGGUGUUAGACCAGGUGCAACUCCACGUGGAGUACCUCCUUGGUUUAUAGAUGGAACCAUAUUCUGCACUGACGGUUGACGGUACUGCAUGAGCCCAUAUGUCCCAGGAGUCUGCAAAAUAGCAUGUUAACUUGAACUGCCCCUUAAAUUGAUCACUGGAGCAAGAAUGAUAGAAAUGUAAUGAAAAAGAAAUGAACCACAAAAGGAACAUGCAAACUCAAUAUCACUGCCAGAGCAAGGAAACCAAGAAUUUUACUUGACACCCAAAUUUACUGCUGAAUACAAUUCAACCCACCUGAUAAGCAUAGCCAUUAUAUGGCGUCAUAUAACCCAUGGAUAGAGAUCCAUAUAUAGAUGGAUGCUGUCCAGAGUUGGAAGCAUUAGAUGCCUGAGAUAAAGCUUUCUGAGCCCUCCUAGCUUGCCUUUCCCUUUCCGUAUCAGCCCACUUGACUACCAAAGGGACAGUUGCACCCUGAACGGACAGUAUAAUAAGAAAAUUCUAUCUAAACAACCAGCAAAUGUAAGUCUUGGAUGAGUAAAACUUGACAUGAGAAUGUAAAAUUGAUAAAAGGAUUUAAUCAAUGUGCUUAAACCUUCAUUGUGAAUUUUCUUUUGCAAAUAAACGUGUGCAGUUGUAGGUCCCUUAUCCCAUAUAAACUAAAAUUUCAAAUUUUGGAUUACUAGGAAAUGAGAUGCCUAGUGAUUCAGAUCAUCACUACUCUUACAAAUUUUAAGCAAAGUAAUAAAGCCAGAAUCAAAUUUCUGGAAAAUGACUUGGUACAUAGAAAGAAAAUAGGAAAGCAAUAACCAGCACUUACUCAGGUAUCCUAACGAUAAAAACUUCACACAGGGUUAGACUUGGACACUACAAUAAAAUAAUUCUAUGUUUUAAAAUUUUCUCCUAAUUUCCCCAUUUUGAAUUUUAAUUUCUGAACUUGUUAGGUAGGUAUAAGUGAACAUCCACCUCCUGAUCAAUAGGCUUAGGACUAAUAAGUUCCUCUAGAACACAUGACCUUUGAAGGGAUCAAAUACAUAUGUCAUAGCACAAAUUUUGAUUUUGCUUCUUAGAAAUUACUAUUUCAACCUGAAGAAUAAAAAUUUCCAGUAAACUAACAUCCAUCUAUUCAGUCUGGUCUUUAAGGAAGAUGAUAAAAAUGUCUAAAAUGCCUGAAUGCAGUGCCAUGUUGACAUAUCCUAGAAAAGAAAUCAGCAGCUAUUGUCUUUGGAAUCCUCUGAACACAAAGUGUUAGCAUUUAGGCUAUUCUGUUGGCCCUGCUACAAAGAGGCAACUUAUAAGAAGCCACCUCCACUAAUUGACCCCAAUUUAAAGCCAAAACUGGCACUUCCAGGAAUGAGGAGAAUAUAGUUACUCCUACAAGGAGUAAUGAUUACAUAACUAAUGCAACGGACCGAAGGUAACUCAAUAUUUAAAAUAUUUGAACUUACCAAAAAAAUCUGAAUAUUUGACCAUUACUGCAGCUCAAGAGAAUGGAUAAUAACCGGAUCAAUCACUUAACGAAAGUUACACACAAUGCAAAUCUCAAAUACCCACAAAUUUCAAAGGUUUCACAGGAGUGACCUAACAGGCUAACAUGCAGAUAGAAACAAACCUCCAUGAUAUGCUUUCCAUUAAGGGCCUCUACUGCUGCAACUGCUUGCUCUUUUUUCUCAUACUUCAGAAAAGCAUAUCCUAACAGAAAGAAAGACAAAUUUUUGUGAUGAAUUGAUUUUGUUCGCACGAAAAGUUUAAGUGAAAGAUUAUUAGACAAUGUUUGCUGUACCUCUACUAGUUUGCUGAGAACCUCUGAGAAUUUGCAAAUCUGUAAUGGUCCCAUAUUCAGAGAAUAAUGAGGAGACUUUGGGGUCAGAGACAUUCUUUGGCAACAUACCCACAAAAAGCUUGUGCUCUGAAUUUCAGAUUAAGAGAAAUGACAAAAAGAAAGAGAAGGAUAGAAAAAGUUACCAACUAUGCACAGCAUCACAUAAACAAAACUAUGAUAUACAGCAAGGACAACUUUUUCUUUUUGGGUAAGUAUUGUAACAACAGAUUACAAGGUCAAAAAGCUAAGAGGGUAAAGCAAGGAGAAGUAAACAAUGGGAAACUAGAAUCAUGUGAAUCAAAUAACCAUGUAAAAACAAAUACUCCCUCCGUCCACUUUUAUUUGUCAUGUUGCGCUUUUCGAAAGUCAAUUUGACUAAUUUUCAUUUGAUUACAUUAAUUUGAUAUUUUAAACAAAAAAUUUAGAUAUUCAAAAACUAUAUGAAAAGUACUAUAAAUUGCAAUUUUUUGCAUAUCAAUAUGAUUAAAAAAUACAUAGUAAAAUAUUAGUCAAAGUUUUUAUAGUUUGACUCUAAAAAAGGAAACUAUGACAAUUAAAAGUGGACAUAGGUAGUAUCAUAAGACAAGAAUUUAAAUUAUAGUACACCUAGCCUUUCCAACUCGCCAUCAGCAUACUUCACUUGCAACGGACUAGAAGCCUGAAUUGGACACAGAGAAGAGGACACCUUUAUUAUCAUAAGACAUGCAUAUCAUGCCAAUAUAAAAGAGCAGCAAAUCACAAAUAAACUUAAUAAGCUUAAUAUUCAGAAUAGAUAUGCUCUUACAUCCACCCUCUUCUCCUUUUUUUUUCUUUUUUUUUUUGUGAUAAGAGUUGCCAUAGAUUCCCAAAUAUUUUUUGGCAAAUAUUAUUUGGGUGAAAUUUCACCAUGUGUUUGGUCAUUGAUAUUUGGAAAACAUAUUUCACUUUUUUAAAAAUUAUCAAAACUAACCCUAAGUUUGUAUUACAUAGCAAGAUAGAAACGUCAAUGUAACAAGAUUCAUGACUUCCACAACAAGUCAAUUGGAUCUUCGUUGUAGCAAAUAACUAGUGUCCAUGACACUGGAGCAAUGUGGUAGUUCGGGGUGAGUGCAACAAGCAUCAUGCCAUACAUCGUGAAGUAGAUGAAACACAUGACUUUAUUACCCUGAGCCGAUUGUUAGUCAUAAUAAUCAACAACCAUAUCAUCACUUUCAAAUUCACUGAAUAUUUCAUCACUGCUCUGGUGUUCACGUAAAAAAUUAUGUAAUACAGCCCAAACAACUACUAUGUUUGUAAAAAUAUAAAAGUUUGGUGUAGAAUUUGAACUUUUAAAAGCUCCCAAAUAAUGAGAUUUGACCCAAAUACUAGUUUUUUCUAUUAUUUGGGAAUUUGGGUUAUUUGUCAAAAAUAUGUGCCAAAUAAUAGCAAAUUAUAUGGACAAACACUAUUUGCCAAUUUUUUCCCCAAAUUUUACUUGGGAAAUCUAUGGCCAAACGGGUCCUUAGAGAGCGAAAUGAUACUUAGAUGCAUUAAUAUACCAAUGUACCAAUAAUCAAAUACCCUACCACUUCAAUACACUAUGUGAAACUCUGGAUGUGCGACCUGGAAGUAAAUGUGUAAAACUAAAGCAUAAAUACAGCUCAAUAGACCAGUCUGGAACCAUCUGUAUAAAUUCAUCAACUAUGAUUAAAUUUUGGGCGAAACCAUAAUAGCAACACCUUUAGAUUAGCUGCUUUCACCACUAGUAUGUGUUAAGGGUCAUUAGAUGCUCUGACAAAGAUCAACUGCCAAUUGCCUCAGCCAACCAUGAGAUUUUUAAGAAACCAAAUUACUCUAGAGAAGAUGUUAAUCAUACUUUUUUUGAAAAAUAGGUAAGUGAAAUGGACCUUCAACAAUAACAUACCCAGUGUAAUCCCACACAUGGGGUCUUGGGAGGGUAAGAUGUUCAUAGACCUUGCCCCAACCAAUUGUUGGGUAGAGAGGUUGUUUAAAAAAUAAUCUUUUUGCUUGAUGACACAAGAAACUAGCACGGAGUGUUGAAAACUGAAAAGCAUGAAACCUGAUAUUGAUCAGUCCUAGUUCACAAUGUUGCGUGACUCAGAUUAAUUUUCUUUUUCCCCGAGCAUCCCCUUCUCUCCUCCUCCCACCAACACCAAAAAGAAUGGGAAGCUAUUAUCCACAGUAUAGUGCAUCCUUCCUUCUUUUCCAACUUUCUCACAAGCUUCUAUUUUCUCCUAAACAGCUGCUUCAUUUUCCUUAACAGUCUUGUAGCUGCAAUAUACUGUCAGUAAGUGUGCAGCGUACCCCAGACAAGGCUCUGCUAUUAAUGUACAUAUCCUGUAACAGCCUAGGGGAACUAGAUACUAUUACUUUUGCUGCUACUUCUCUCCCAGUCACCCUUAGGCUCUCCUAGCUAAGCUUUCUCUUCAUUGCACACUCUUAUUAUGCACAUUCCACUAGUAGUCUAUAGAAACACGUACUAAGUUGUCUAGUCAGUUAAGACUUCAAGGGAACAAUGAUGUUCUUUUCUGUUUACUACAAUUCAUAAACAUUAGAGGACGGGACGUGCAGCUUGAAUCCAGAAUUGAAGUCUUGGUAAAGACAACUCACCAGGUGGAACAGCCUUUAUCUCCCUAGUUCAGGAGGUUACAGACAUUCUCCAUUAUUACAUCAAGACAGUAGUGUUGGUUAGAAAAACAUCCAAUCACGGUACAUUAUUUUGGCUUCUUACUAUGCUGAAAACAGAUAGUGCUAUUCUAUAUUCCUGGUGUUGAAACAUGAGACAAUGCCAAAACAUUUCUCUUGAGGAUAGUUAAUUAACUAGCUGAAAUCGACAUAGAACUUUACUAUGACUCUAUUGAACAAGAAAGACUAAAUUCAGAAACUUGAACAAAUGGCAGAUUCCACAUAUCUUGUUUAGUUAAUGAAAUAAAGUAUAUCUAAUGCAUGUCCCUGGAUUGAUUGACAACAAUAUAGAAAAAGACUGACUGACCCCAGGAAGCGUCUGUUUAUUGUGACAAGCAGUUAUAGCCUUGUCCGCUUCUUCUCUGGACGGGCAAAUCAGAAAAGAGCACCCUGGAAACAUGCAAAGGGUUUGUUUAGAAAUUCCUUGAAUCGCACAUUGUAAUCAAAGGCGAAAACUGAAGAGUGAACCUCGAGAAGCUCGAGUAGUCUUGUCUUUGAUGAUGUUGACUUGAUCAAUAACUGCGAACUCUUUGAACAUAUCCAGAAGCUGUUGUUCCGUCAUUAGUUUCGGCACUUGACCUACGAACAGCUUCACGCUCUCCUCGCUGUACUCACGCGUCCUCUCCUCCUCCGCCAUUAAUGCCACCAAUCUCUCUCUGAGACUGAAACUGAAGUGUGUGUUGUUCAAUCGUCAAGUCCUGUUUUUAGGAAAUUAGAAAGUUUUUAGAUGGCAAAAAAGGAAUUUCAUUCGUAGUUGGAGAUUACAUAAAUGACCUUGGUUUGGCAAGAAAGUUGGCUUCUGUGACAGUUGAGGAGUCGUGGACGACUUGGAACAACUUGCUUCCCUAAUUAUCUUUUGUUAUACACUACAAAAGUAGAUAGUUAGUAACCAGAUUUUAUCUAAAUUUGUAUAAUAAUUCACCAUGUUUAUAAUAAAUCUAUUCAUUUCGAAAGUUUGGUUUUAUCAAUAAAUUCAAUAUGAAGUUGUGUCAAGGUUAAUACAUAUACAAAUUAAUAGAUGUCUAAAAAAGAUAUCCUAUACUAGUUUUUUCUCACUUUUCCACAGGUUUACGAAGAGAAAAUGGCAUUCUCUGUACUCCAACACCACUUCUCUCUCCCACACAACAUUCACCUUUAUCAAUUUCAUAAUUACGUCCACCUAAAAAUCAUCAGGAACCAGAAUAAAAAAGAGGGGCGUUCCGAGAAUCGAACUCGGGACCUCUCGCACCCAAAGCGAGAAUCAUACCACUAGACCAAACGCCCUCAUUGCUCUCACUCUUUCUAAAUUUGAUUUAAGAAUUCAUAGAUAAAGAAUAACUAUGCCAUUGUUGUAUCCACGUGUCAGUCCAGCUGAACCUGGAUUUACACUGUUUACCUAAUUUGUUUUGAGGGUGUAUUACAAUGUGCCCUAAUUUUAUUGUCAUGGUAUAUAUAUAUAUAUAUAUAUAUUAUUGGGUAGGGAACUUAAUUAGCGCAUGUGUUAACAAAUCCACUAAAUAAUUAGUAUAAAUUUAAAAUUCCCACUACAUUAUAUCUAGAUGACGGAAUUUGAAUUUAAUCCUUUAAGGUUAAAAUCUUGAAUUUGCUUGGUUGGUCGAAUGAAGAAGAAUAUUACUUGUAGGUAGGAUCAAAUAUAUAUGUAGUUGGUUGAAAGGGUAUUUUCCCUUAUUCUGAGAAGACAAAAUAAUUAUGAAGAAGUGAUAUCAAAGUUAGAUUCUGAUUGAGUGGUCGAACUCGAUCAUUAUCAGUUAGCUAGCUUUCUUUCUAUCUUAGGUUCAUAUCGAAAUAUAUAUAUAUUGGAAAUUAUAAUCAUCAAGAUGCGUCAACGAAUUGUUGAACUUUUAUUAAAAUGAAAAAAACGUGUAUAAUGAGAACAUGAGUUGGCACAUGGCUUUCAGAAUUAAGAAACAACUUGUAGUUGUAGUUGUUCGACAAUUUAUACAGAAGGUUGAACUACAUUUCGACAUUAUAUAUAUUCCUUUAACUGCAACAACACCCAUGAAAGUAAUUAUAAUAAUAAAGGCAUGCAUGAAUUCUCUCUAUUGAGUGUAGAUCGAUGUUGUUGUUACUAAAUUAAUUCAGUCUUACUACUAUUAUACUUGUCAGUUCUCUCUCAAUAAAGAAGAUGCUGAGGAUAAGAUCCCUCCUCGCGUAAACCUUUUUUUUCUUUUAUCAACAACUGCUUCAUUAUAUUCAACUAUAAAAUAAUUUUGACUAGCUGCAAUGCAUGGUUUAUGUAUUUAUGAUUUUCUUCUACUACGUAUACUCUAUAUGAUCAAGUUUUAUGGCACAGUCCAUACUAGUUUUUGUUUUCAUUUCCCAUCAAUUAGUAAUCCUCCACAUCAUUGCUUCUUCAAACCUCCAGCUGUAACAAGUUUUCUUAGAAAGGUACUGUGUAUUCAUUUACUUAAAUAAUAUUAUAGUAGAGAGGAUCGGAGUCCAAUCCAACAUUCUUUAUAGGUAAAAUUAUGUUUGUGUAAUAUAAAAAUCCAGGAAACUACAAGCUAGGGAAGGCAGCUCGGCCAAGAAACGGCAUGUCUGAGUAUAGUGGACACUGACCAUCGAUCAAUGUCCGAGGCGUAAUGGCAGGGAUCAAACACACUGCUCGGGUGAUGGCGUUACUGGGAGGACUAGCAUGCACAACCUACUUAUUAAACUACCAAAUCAUGCGUUCAUAGGAAUGAUCAAGUCCAUGACAGAGAAUGGAAUAAGAAUAAUUUCUCCAUUUGCUAUUCCAACACCCUUUUCCUUGGAUGACAUGAAAGACUACUUCCCUGGAGUGGAACCUUGCUAAAAUGCGAGUGAGCAUAUUGUGAACCGCCAAUGCUGCUCUUUUCUUGCCUAGUACGUACGUACGUACUGAAGAUGCCAAUAGUAUAUAUAUAUAUAUUAGUGGCCAAAAUCUGCUGGUAAUUUCAGUUUAAACUUUUCCCAUCAAGUACAAGAACGUUCCACAGAAAUUUAAGAAUGAAUUUCAUUCUCGUUCUUUCAAAUGCAUCAGAGUGCACAAAAAGGGAUUGAUUCAUGAUAGUAUAUAUUAACUAUCAAGGGGAAAGGGAACUGUAUAUAUGAAUCAUGUUCCAAUAAGAGGCCAAUUGUCCAAUUUUGCUCUAAUCAAAUUUGUAUGUCUUAUUUUUAUGAUCUAAAAAUGGACAGCUAACACUGGUGCCAGAUAACAAGUAUAUAUCUCGAAAGAAUGCUCAACUGUUCCAGGCUAGGCAAAUUUUUGUUACUGCUUAUAAACCACCUUUCUGGGAUAAAGACAUGUUUCCUGACAUAAUUACCUUCCUAUUAUUACAAUCAUAGGAAGAAAAAGUAAACUACUUUUACGGUAUUUGAUAUAUCCUUCGUCCCAUGUAAAUCAAUUUGGCAUUUGGAAGCAUCAAUAUGAAUUUCAGAAACCUCUUCUAUUGAGUUGGCAAAUAUGAUCCUGGUUUUAGCUAGCACUGCCUGAUUUCAGAAACUAUAUCUUUCUUCUAAAAGAAUCAAAAUUGCUCAUACACAAUCCUCCGCAUAAAAUCUACUGGUGCUGCAGAAAAACACAAGUAGAAAGAGUUAACACUAUUGCUUUCUAAGAGCACGAUACUUUAAGACAUGAGUAGGUUUUGCUCCUGCUUUAUAGUUCCUCAUUUCCAGGAGUUAUGUUUUUUUCCGUCCUAUUCUCCUAUUCUUUGGUGAUAAAAAGCUAUCAGAUUACAUGAAGUCUUCCGCAGGGAAUUAAAGCAUACUAAUUGGGAGUAAGAAGCCCUUAUGGAAGAGAUUAAGAAUCACCAAAGUUAAGCAUAGCUAAAUUUUGCCCCACUGCUUACUGCAUAAUAGAACUUUAGUUAUGUUCACUGCUGCCCCCAGCCCAGGAUAAAUGGGGCAAAGGAGACAGAAGGUUCUACGACAACAACAACAUACCCAGUGCAUGCACAAAGUGGGGUCUGGGGAGGGUAGAGGGUACGCAAACCUUACUCAGCUCAAGGGGAAAAAUUAACAGUCCAAAGCAGUACAAAAAAAUAAACAACAGACAGAAGGUUCUUAGAAUUUUUAUGUAAAAAAUUAUAGGGAGGAGAGAAAAGCUACCUAAUCCAUUGGUGAACAAUUUAAACUGCCCAAGUGCCUGCCUGACAAACAUCUCAACCCCACUCACCACUGUAGCUCCAACCUCUGUAGCCUCCUGCAAUAACCGUGUAUUUCUAGGUGUGUAAACUGCAUCAAAUACUAGUUCGUAUGAUCUCAAGGCCUCCUGAAACAAUAGCAAAAUUGCGGAAAAGUUCAGAAUGUUUGCAUUUUCUCAUGCAAACAGAGAACAGGUUGCUUUUGUCAAAGACUAUGCAAGAAAGACAACCUUGGAGAUAGGAGUUUGAUCAGACUUUGGCUGCAUGCCCACAGCAGAAGCAUUUGCAAGAAUCAUUCCCUUCUCAGGGCAGAAAUCGUUCAGAUGUUCAUAUGGCAAAGCUUCACAGGAUACUGCUGCAGCCAGAGCUUUUGCUCUCUCUUUUCAAAGACAAAAUUGCAAUAAAUGGAAGGAGACAUAUAAUGAAUAAAGAGCAAAAGAUCACAUAUCCAUAAUCCUUAGGGAGAUAGGAGGUAUUACCAUAUUUGCGGUUGAAUAUUACAACCCUUGCCCCUCUGCUUUUGGCACCAAAAGCAAUAGCUCGCCCUGCACCACCUGCCCCAACUAAUACGAACAAUUUUCCAGCAAUUGGAGAAACAUUUGAUGCACAGCCAUUGGUCUUUUGUCUCUCUGUUUACACACAAAAUUUAACUCCUCGUGUAAUUUGGAUUGAAAAGUUCUUGAAAUGUUUUACGAAGAAGGUUUCAACCUUUUCUUAUGGGAGGGUACAUGCCAAGGAGAUGGGGGGGGGGGGGCUCAANNNNNNNNNNNNNNNNNNNNNNNNNNNNNNNNNNNNNNNNNNNNNNNNNNNNNNNNNNNNNNNNNNNNNNNNNNNNNNNNNNNNNNNNNNNNNNNNNNNNNNNNNNNNNNNNNNNNNNNNNNNNNNNNNNNNNNNNNNNNNNNNNNNNNNNNNNNNNNNNNNNNNNNNNNNNNNNNNNNNNNNNNNNNNNNNNNNNNNNNNNNNNNNNNNNNNNNNNNNNNNNNNNNNNNNNNNNNNNNNNNNNNNNNNNNNNNNNNNNNNNNNNNNNNNNNNNNNNNNNNNNNNNNNNNNNNNNNNNNNNNNNNNNNNNNNNNNNNNNNNNNNNNNNNNNNNNNNNNNNNNNNNNNNNNNNNNNNNNNNNNNNNNNNNNNNNNNNNNNNNNNNNNNNNNNNNNNNNNNNCGCGAGGGGGGGGGGGGGGGGGGGGGACUAAGAUAUUGAAAACAGUGACGGUAGUAUUCUUGUUAUCAAAUAUGUAAUCCAAUUGAAGCCAGUAACUAAGCAAGACUAUCUCUACCUUCUCCUGCAGACACACUAAAUUAUGCUUUAUCAGGUGGGUAGGGGGGAUGGAGAGGAGAGACCAGGCCCAUUUUUAACAAUCAGCAUUGUCUCAAGUAAAAGUUAAAGAUAUGUAAUUAUCAGAAUUCUGGGAAAAAAUGGCCUUGAAAAGAAUUACAUAAUAGACCACUAAACUACAUUGAUUAGGAUUUUCACUUGUACCUUUCUAGUAAGAGUAUUAGAAAAGUUUUAACUUCCAAACGAAGAAUAAGCAGUACCUCUAAGUGCAUCUUCAAUUGCCGUCACACAAGCCUCACAAUCUGUAUUAUAACCAAUGAGCUUGCCGUCAGAAGGCCUCCUUAUAAUUGUGUUUACAGCUCCUAUAGACUGAUUCCGAAGCAUGAUACAGUUAGAAAGUUUAAAAACAAGACAACAAACACUGUAAUAUAAUUUAGCCACAAAAUGUUCUGGAAUGGUUAAACAAAAAGAACUAUUAUGGCAUCUGAACUUUCAAGAUACAGAGCCAAUCUAUAUAACAAAUUCUGCUUCCAUGCAAGGACAAUAGCAUUCUAGUCCAUGUGAACUGCAAUCACAUAAGAAAGAAUUGUCAUGUUGAGAAUAUAUGGAAGAGAAACACAACUUGUUUUCUUUUCAUAAGUUGAUGCUGCUAGACCUAUUUAUUACCCAACCAGGGUAAUAUCUCUACUUAGGCUUCCUUCAACAUUGACCCGUGGUGGACUAAGGCUAGUUAUUCAUUAGUCGAUUCAUGGAAAAUAAAACUGAUAAUAUUGUGCCUAAUAUUCUAGGGUGAUUCAAGCACAUAAAGAAGGUAAGCUUUCGUUUCCUAUGUGUAUAUGCAGGUGGCCUCUGUACACAUAUAUAAACAAAGUUGUCAUUAUAUAAGAAGUAUUGAUGCUGAACUAGCUUCAGCAAAGACAUUCCGAAAAGUUUGUGCUUUUUCGGGUUCUUUAACUCCCAAAACCCGAAGGUAAGUUACACAACAUAUGCACUCAUCAAACAUGGAGCUAAUCAAACCUUAGCAAGUGGAUCAACUUCAUCACAGCAGCGUACUGCUGCUUCCUUAUGUGGGAUACCAACACUACAGGUUCCAUCAAAAGGAAGAAGAUUCUGCGUUAGAUAGUUUUCUACAUGAAGCAAAUAUAAUUUUAGAAAAAACAAUACUUAGUGCAGAAGGAGGUAGCGUACCUGAAACCAGCAUAGUCAUUACAUGAGAAAACGCGAAAAAAUUCCUUGACAUUGUCAACUAGUAGUGGGACAUAUAUUCCAUUGUAUCCUGUAUGCCUAAAGGCAGGGUUGUGCAGAAGGGGGCCCUUGCUAUGGCCAACAGGAUUUGAGAUUACACCAAAAACUCUAGUAUCUGGGUUGACAUAUUGGAGUUUAUAAACCUGUUUAAUGCUGGUCAAAGGAGGCAAGCCAGGGGUGGAUUUGCCUGCCAAAGAUCCACAAACAAAGAAAGCACCGUAUUUUGGACCCAAUAGUUGGCUUAUAAGACCUCUAUCCCCUGCUGCCCUAGCAAUUAGAGGGAGCUGAGAAUGUGUAAGCAUAUGGAAAACUGGUGCAACAUCUGUAAUAUAAGCUACAUCAAUGACAAGUUUGAUGAUAUCUGCUCCUGUGGACUGCAGGUUUAUGAUGGAAUUACAAAGUGCGUCUUUAGUAGGAGGGUUUCCAGCAUUAAUGACAUACGUAGAAGCAAUUAUCUUGCUAUUUGAUCGGCUGCUCAUCAAUUCAGCAACCACUUGAUGGGAAACAACCUAAACAAACAAACAAACAACAACGGAUCGUUACGUAUGGAGAUAUGGAACUAAUUAAUUGUAUUUUAACAGCUUAAUUUAAUAAAUGAUGACCUCAGUGUCGACUUCGACGAACUCAACGUCCAAUUCAACAGCUAAUUUGAGAACUUGGAUACAUGUUUUCUUCCAGUCAGAAUUUAUCGCAGAGUUUGGCCUGACAUAUAUAUAACAGUUUCAAGCUUUUUAGACAAAGUUAGUGGGUGCAUGCAUACUAGUCUGAAUUAAUAUUUGUCGAUAGACAUGGAUGUUACUAAUUAAAAUGAAUACUCUAGUCUGACAAGUCGUAUCUUAUGGUAGGAGUAGCCUAAUUAAUAUCAUCUCUUCCCUAGAUUAGACAUACAUACUAGUGUUCUCUCUCUCCACGAGCACUCUAUGGUUCACCUACCCCACCACCUCAGUCGUUUUCACGUGCCUUGAUAUUAUUUUGUGAGGAAAUUAAGAAUCAAACAAAAAAGGCAAGUACUGACUCAGUCACUCUCCUCCUCACAUCUAUCUCAGCUAAACCCACCCACCCACCCACCAUUUCUGGAUCGAACACACACAAGACUUGAGGUACAUAAUAUAAUUACCUACCUGAAAGAAACGAUGGAUGGUAAACUUCUUUGUUUGAGUAGUAGUUCAAGUUGUGAAAUGUGAGAGAAAGUGAAGUCAUCAAUGCAAAGCUCCACCAGAUCUGCUCCUUCUUCUUUAGCUUUGUGCAUAGAAGCUGCCAUUUCCUCACAGCUUUCACACUCUAGUCUUGUGUACACCACCAAGUCAUGCUUCAAACCCAUAAUAAUGUUCCGAGAGCUACGACUCUCUUAUUCUUAUAUAGGGGACGGAAGACAAUACAUGUGCGCUUAGCAAAUUCUUUUGGUGUUUGAAUGAGUGGUAUGCUAGUAUUAAAAACGGAAAUGGUAAUAUAUAUAUAUAAAAAUGUGGCAACUCUUAAAUAAAAGUAUAAUAGUAAUUGAGCAAGUGAGUUGUCAUCUGUUGUCUUUGUUAGAAAAAGAGAUCCCAAGUUUAUGACAUGUGAAAAAGAACAAAAGACAUAUAGAGGGAGGGAAAAUAGUAUGUAUGAUUGAAACACGAAUUUUAAUCCAAGGGGCCAAAGUUUAUUGUCAUGAUAUCACAAUUAUUGAAUUAGUAAAUUUUCUUUGACAACAAUUUACGAUGUGAUUUUGGAGCCCACUUAUUUUUGUGGUUAUUGUUACAAAUCCCACUUUUCAAAAGGAGUACAAGAGUUAGGUAGGAUGAAGCUAAGGCUGCCACCACCUACCCCUAGUAUUUUGGAAGAUAUUUUUCAAACUAAAUACUCCCUCCGUCCCUAUUUAGUUGUCCAUAUUUCCUCUUUUAGUUGUCCCUAUUUAGUUGUCCAUUUUGACAAAUUAAGAAAGGACAACAAAAUUUUUCCUAUUAUACCCUUAUUUAAAUAAAGUUGUCAUAAAUAAAGUAAAUAAACUUAUUAACUUCCUAGCAUUGAUUAGUUAUCUUGAGUGAAUUUAUUUUGGAAUUGUAAAUUGUAUUAUAAGGGUAAAAUUGUAACUUCACUAUGCUAAUUAUUAUUGCCUUAAUCUGUGUGUCAUUUCUAAAGUGGACAACUAAAUAGGGACGGAGGGAGUAAAAUAUAAAAGAUUAUCAAUGCAUAUAUAAUAAUUAAUAUAUACUAGACAACAAGUUCGAUCCUCCAGCCUCGUGAUAUGAUUGAUACCCAAGUUGAAAAAUUGCUCUGAUGAUCAGAACAACAAUUAAUGUGAUGUCCUACAAAUAUCGAUGGAUCAAAUCAUUUUUAAAAAAAAAAGUGAUAUGCUUAAUAUAAGUAUCUAUUAUAUUCAUGGAAAAGAGCUGAUUCAAUUGACAAGUCGGGAAGAGCUUCCCAAAAUCCUAUCGGAACGACAACAACUCCUGACACAUUCAAGUGCAACAUUAUUUUUAUACUAGAUUCUUAAGGCCCGUGAUACGGGCCCAAUAUAAUUAAUUAUUAAUCGUUAUUUGACAAAUAUUAAAAGGUAUUUCUAUAGCAUUCUGAUCAACAUUAAUUAAUAUUGAUCCUAGGUAAAAAAAUUUAGUAUAAAAAAAUAUCAAAAAAUAACCAUCAAAGAAUAUAGUGCAUUAAAUGGUGUUUCUCCUUCCUUAAUUAAAUAUCUUAAUUUUGAGUUUUGAAUAUGAAAAAAUUUCUUAAUAGGGAGCUCUAUAUCCGAAUGGGCCCUAUUUCAGAGCACAUAAGAAAUAAUUGAACUCCAAUAUAAAUAUCGAAUACUGAAUAAAAAAUAUUAAAUUAAAUUAACCCAGUAAUAUUUUAAAGUAUAAUUGAUAUUAGCUAUGGGUAGAUUCAUUUUUUUAAGUUGUAAAACUCUCAAGUAUAAUAUUCAAUUUAUUUAUUUAUUACUACAAGACACAAAUUUAGUAGGAUUCAGAGGUAAUAUGUCUGUUAGAUUGGAUUAUAUCUUAUAUAAAAAUCAUGAAUCAUUAUGUAUUAUCAUCUUGAAAUCUAUCAUAUUCAUUCCAAUUAAUCUGUCAUAUUUUUCUUUAUAAUCUAUUAAAAAGUAAUGUCCCUUUCUUUUCUUAGUUCCAACUCCACAUAACAUAUUUAAGAUCACAAGAUUAAAAAGCAUUUACUAUAUUUCACAUAUUUAAAAUUUAAAAUCAUAAGAUUCAAAAAUCUUCUUUAAUUUCUUAAACUUCAUGCCAAAUUAAUAUAAAACAAACACAUUGAAACAAAGAGAUUAAUAUUUUUUAUUUAUCACUCAUACAUAAACUUUAGAACUAAGAAGCAUGUUUCACUAUCACAUGAAUUCUAUAUAUGCAUAAUUUAUGUUAAUGAACAUAAUUUUUUUAGCAUGAUACAGAUGUGUUUUUGGUUCUCGUUUUUCAUGCACAAUAACUUAUAGGAACAAGUAUUUUUGUUAUUUUUAUCAGUUUAGUGAAAAAAUUUAAACAAUCUCAAAACAUAAAUGUAUUUUCUCUGUUUUAAAAAAAUCUAUUUAGAAUUAAAUGCUAAAUUAACAUGAUAUUUUUUUAUGACAAGGAAAACCCACAGCCGCUACCCUUUGGGUGCGCACAGGGUAAAACCCACUCCUAUACAAUAGCUCUCAAACCACAUAGGAGAGAUAACCCGCACUAGGCAAGCCCGAUGCGACGAGCUCAACCCAGAAGGCAAACCCCUUACUUUCGCUAGCAAGGGGUUUCGAACUUGAGACCUCCAACAUGGAAGUCCCAAGCCCAACAUGAUAUUUUGAUACAUAUAUCAUUACAUAUCGUAUUGAUUUCCUCAUCCAGAUAUUUUAUCUUAUUUCAAAAUUUAUUCAAAUUUUUUAAAAUUACUAUUAAUCAUUUGCUAUUUUUGUCAUCUCUUUCUAAAUAUUAAUCUACUUAAUUUACUUCUCUAAUUAAUGUAUUGAUUUUUCAUGUGUUCCGAUUCUUAACUUCUUAUUUCAAACAAAAGAAUAGCAAUAUUAAGUAAAUAAAGUAAAUAGUCUACUAUAAUUAAUUAAAUAUUAAUCUGAAUAAUCUUAAAAUUUAAAAUAUUCUAUUAUCAAAAUAUUCUUAUCAUUAAUGUAUGUAAAUUGAACAUGAAGAAUACUUAUUAUUUCUCUUCAAUAUUUGAUUCGCAAAAUUUUAAAACUAUUUAUUUAAAACCAUUUUUAUUUAUUAAUUUUUAUUUUUAUGCUCCCUAAUUAAAAUAUUUUUAUUUUUUAAUACAUUUUAAAUCAUGUUUGUUUCUUUUUAUAUUUAUUUUAGUGCAUAAAAGUGUUAAUGUAAUAUAAAUUGAUUUAAUAAAUGAGUCCCACCAUUUUUAGAUACUACGGCUACUUAUGAUAUUUUUUAUGCUUUUCAUGAUAAAAAGUACACGUGACCAUCAUAAUAAUAACAACUUGGUUGGGUUAUUUGGGAAAUUCAAUAAUUUUGCAGCAGAAAGUACAACUGUUUUAAGCUGAUAAUUUUGGUAAAAUGACAAAAGUGCCCUUGGUCGUCCUCCUCAUCACAUUUCUAUGUAAUAGAAAUUUCAUAUGUCAUCCAUCUUUAAUUUCUGCCUAAUUUUUACUCUAUCCUUGUAAUUUUACUAUACUCUCUUUUUAGUCAUGUGCACAUAUUAAUUAUUCUUGAUAAUUUGAUAUGCAUAUGCCAAUAAUAAUAACUACCUGUCAAUUCUAAGUUAAUACCAUAUUAUUCUGUUUGGAUUCAUUAAUAGUUAAAAUAGUACAUUAUAUAUAUAUAUAGGAGCAAUAAUUGCUACAUAUACUACUAUAAUAGAGUAAUUUUUAUGUUCCAAAAUACUUAGUUGUUAUGUUUCACCUUUUUAGAAUUAAAGGGUUAGUUUGAGAGCUAAGGGGAGAAUAAUCCGUAUUCCUCCUUUAUUAUAAUGAUAAUGAUAAUGGCGUUAUAGUUUAAUGAUUCAAGUGGAAUGAGACGUAUGUUUAAUUAUUUAUAUCUAAUUCUAGGCACACCUUUCUAAGUUCUAAGACCUUCCAUCAAUUAUUGCUUUUAAAUCUUGAAAUGUAGACUCUAGGACAGACAUCCCCUCCCUCCACGUGCCACAAAUCUUCAAAUCCUACCUAUACUCUAUAUGCCAUUCAAUCAUAAACAUUGACGUCAAAACUAACACUUCCUUCCUUUCUAUUUAUAAAAUUAAUAUAUAAAUAAUAGUAUUAUAAUUUAUAUUUUAUUUUUGAGAGUUAUUAACUUUGAAAAUAUGAAUUUGAUCAAUAUAAUUUUUUUUUUUGGAGUAAUUCAGUUCAUUGGUCAAUUUAAUUAAUCAAAAUAAAUUAUUUUUAUUUAUUUAUUGAGAACUUGACGUAAAAAAAAACAUUAAGUAAGAAUACAAUGACAUAUAAAUAAAAGCAAAGAUAUAAUCUUGGUAUUACUAGUUUCUCCUGUCACGUACGUUUUGGAAAACGAGGUGAGUGAGUGAAUCUUAAUUUCAAUGCAGACUGCAGUGCCAAAUGUGAUCCAACAAACAAAUUCCAAAUUGUCCCCAAUCAGUGUAUAUAUUUGACAUCCUCUAUUAUAUUCUAUUUCUCUAAUUAAUUGUCCAUUUUUUCUCUUUUAGUUGUUCCUAAUUAAUUAUCCAUUUUGACAAAUCAAAAAAGGAUAAAAUAUUUUUUCCUAUUAUAUCCUCAAUUAAUUACUUUGAAAAAUGUAUAACUUCUUAAAAGUCUUAAGUUAUUAAUCCAUCCACUUCAUAAUUAAUAGGGGUAAAAUGGUAAAUUCACUAUGCCAAUAAUUAUUUUCAUAAUAGAUAUGUCAAUUCAAAAGUGAACAAUCAAUUAGGGACAGAGGGAGUACAUGUUAUUACAUCACUAUAUUAAUUAUUACUCCCUCCGUUUCAAAAAGAUUGGUCUGGUUUGACUUGACAUGAAGUUUAAGAAAUUAAAGAAGACUUUUGAAUCUUGUGGUCCUAAAUUAAAGUUAUGUCAAAUGUACAAAAUUGCCCUCAAUCUUGUGGUCUUAAACAUGUCACGUGGAAAGCAAAAAGUAAAAUGUUACCAAAAAAGGAAAGAGGUCAUUUUUUUGAAACUGACUAAAAAGGAAAGGAGGUCAUUCUUUGUGAAAUGGAGGGAGUAUCUUUUUAAUAGGUGUGAUAAGUUAAAAAUUUGACAAGUACUUCUUCCAUUCUUAUUUAUAUGUCGUCUUUACUAAAAAUAAAUGUUCUUAAUAUUUGUUAAUUCACAAAAUCAAUGCAUAAAUAACAUUAUUCUUCUUAUUUUACCCUUGUGAGUUAUUAGCAUUUAAAAUAUACAUUUGACCUACAUAGAAAAACUAAUUAAAUAACUCAUGUCCAUUGGUCAAAUUAAUUAAUUAAGGGAUCAUUUGAUGUGAAAGAUAAUACCAAAUAGUCUCGGGAUUAAAUUAUAGUACCACUUAAUUUGUUGUUUGGUUGGCAAGUCCGGGAUAACUUAUCUCGGGAUUAAUAAUUAGUACCGGGAUAAGUUAUCCCUCCCCUUGGGUGGUAUAGUAAUCCUGGGAUAAAAUAGGUAAAUGACAAAAAUGUCUCUUUCAACCAUUUUGUUACAUCACUUUUUACAUUCAUGAAGGACAUAUUUGUAAACAAAUAAAUUGUCCUUAAACUUUAUUAUUUUGAAUACAACAAACCAAACACUCAAAAAAAAAUAAUCCCAUCAUAACUUGAAUUCAAACCAAGCGACCCCUAAGAUUUUAAUUCAUGUUUGUUGAUUGAAAACUUGAUUUAAAAUAGAGAUUUGGUUAGAAACGGAGAGUAUUGCAAUUUAUCUAUCUAUCAUCAUUAAUUCAUUGGCCUGUCCGCCGCUGUCCAUGGCCAUAAAAAAGGCAAGACUACCUCAAAAGAUAUGGAUCAGUUCAAGGUAUUAUUACUCAUUUCAAAUGAAAAGCACCAAGUAGAUACUAAUGAUAAUGAUAAUGGCGUUAGAGUUUAAUGAUUCAAGUGGACGUAUGUUUAAUUAUUUGUAUCUAAUUGUAGGCACACCCUUCUAAGACCUUCCAUCAAUUAUUGCUUUUAAAUCUUGAAAUGAAGAUUGUAGACAGACAUCUCCUCCCUCCACGUGCCACAAAUCUUUAAAUCCUACCUAAUACUACUGUAUAUGCCAUUCAAUCAUAAACAUUAAUUGACGUCGUCUUUACUAAAAUCAAUAUAUAAAUAAUAUUAGCUCAGUUUAACCUUUCAAUCAGUGGCGGUUCACUAAUGAAAAAACUUGUUUUCAAGAUGAUACUCAUAAUAACUUGUUUUGAGAUGACUAACACACAUCUUAACAUACACCAUUGGCUCAUACUUAACAUUCUAAAAAUCAAAUUAUUAAGCCAUAGGCCUUUAUAACCUUCUUCUCCCCCCCAAUAUAAUCCCCUACUAACCUUAUUGGUGUAAUUAUGUUUCUCUUAAUCAUAAUGUACUUACUAUACACUAUAAAAGGAUAAUUCUAAAUGCAAGUCAAAGAAAAAUUUAAGUCUAAGAGUUCCAAACUUUUUAGUGAGGCCAAUCAUGAUUAGUACUGUUCAAGCCGUUGGAUUAUGAGAUUCACUGCUGCAUUUGCUGAUGAGAAUGCUCCAUGAAAGCUUUCUUGAUAGGAUACGGAUUCCAAAUCUCCAGCCAUCGUUAACAGUAUCUCACCUAUGUCACUUUUAUUUUCCAGUAAUGAUCUGUAGAAUGAACUUGCAGCAAUUUUGCUAAUCUCAAUAUUUGUUUCCUCUGGACAAUAUUCAUCAUCCAACCACUUGUUAAGAGCAGUUUGCAACCAUUCAGAUUCCUGUUAAAUGCUACAAGUUCUUGAGCCAUGAAUUUCAAUAGACAAUAUGCUAAUUGUAUACCUUCAGCCUUACUCUGUGCAUAUUUAUGCAGAUCAGAAAUCUCUGCAUUAUUAUUCUAACUGAUAAGGUAGAGGGAGCCAAAAAUAAUAAGCAAGAGAAAGACGUAAAAAGGUUGAACUCAUAUCUAGGAUUAUGAGUUUCAAAACAUGUGCAGACGCAGAAGAAAGGAUCCUGAAUACAAUGCAAUAGGAGAGGAUAUGAAUUAUAUCCCUUUUGCUUCAAUGGGAGUAGAAAGGAUCAUAUCACAGCCAGCUAUAUCAAGAUUUUGCAAGAUGUUUGCAACAUCACAACAUUAGCAAGCCAUUCUGAGAUGGAAAUUCCAUCAUGGAAUACACGCCAAGCUAUAUAGCAUAAGACAACAUCCACAACUUAGGUUCAGCACUAAAGCUAACUGAAAUGGCAUCUUAAAGGUAUUCAGUAAAUAGAUUUUCCACCCUAAAUAAAACUUGCCAGAUCAUUAUUAGAAAAGAAAAGCAGCUCAAUUUAAGGACACCUUAUAGCAUGUGAAGGAAGCCCUACUCCUCUUACAAAUGUUCCCAGGGUAAAAUCAGCUAAGAUAUAUAUUGAAGACACAAACUAAAGAUAAGAUGGACAAAAUAUCAAACUUCAGAGGAAUUUUAAGCAUAUUUUGUUCAAAUCUCAUCUUGGCUCAUCUACUCAAACAAUUGUACCGGCAAAAUCACCACUUGAAAUAGUCGAUAUGCAGGAAGUUAGAAGAGACAGGUUCCCACAAUAUACCUUAUCCUACAGAGCACUUAGGAUUUUAAACCCGACAACCAUGCCACAUAUGUACAAAAGAUCUAAAAUGACAAUUCACCCUCGUGUAAUGGAUAAAGCUAACUGAGCGAGCAUCAAAAGCAAUCACUAAUUGUUUCAUGAUAGAGUGCAAGACCUUUAUAGUUGACUUGCAGAUCAUGUCGUCCUUCUUAGUAAUGACUAUCCUUCAUUAGAUGUAAAACAAAUAUAAUAACUAACAUAUUGCUGAAUGUAAAUGUCUGAACUACCAUUUCAUGCAGUUUGCCUCUCACUAAAUGUCUUGAAGAGAUCUCUCUAAAUUGAUUAAUUUUUGUGAAACACUUUUAGUGAUUGUAAUUAGAAUAUUAAACUUGUUCAAAAAGAACAUACUAAACACGGUUAAGAAGGCAUAAGAAAUGAUUUUUCAAGAAACACUUUGCAUAGUCACAGCAGAGAAGAAUACAGAACUUAUGGAAGAUGAUUUAGGUCAUAAUUCUGUAAUUUCAUAAUGCCUUAGUGUAACACCUCGGAAAUUUGAACUUGGAAUGGAAAAGAGAAAAGGGCAGUCCACGGAGGGGUUCACGGGCCGUGAAGAGGUCCACGACCCAUCACCCAACCUGUGAAAUUGAACCCAGGACUCUGGAAGGUUCACGGACACUUGGAAGGUCUGUGAAGCAUUGCGCGGACUGUGAAGUCAUCCAUGAAAGGAACCCAUCAUCUUUCAUGUUUUGGAUCAACUUCAACUAUCAUAUCUCUCAUCACAUAAUGUAUUAUGUGGCCUAUGACCUAUCAAAUGAAAGGUCUUUGAUUCCUCUUUUCAACGCCACCAAGUUUGCCUCAUUUCGUGUUUGGAGUAAAACGUUAUGUCUGUUUAUGUGAAUCCAUGUUUGGUAGGUGAAGUUUCAUGACCGGCAAUAUGGCCCUUGAAGUGUUUCACGGACCGUGAAGCCUUAAAUGGUCCGUUAAACCUCCCUUUUAAGGCACUUUGACAGUUUUAAAGCUGAGGUCAUUUUGGUCUUUCCCCUAUGCAUUGGGUACUUAUAAUACCUUAGACAGUCCGUGAAGUCGUCCAUGAAAGGGACUCAUCAACUUUUCAGUUUUGGGUCAACUUCAAACGAUCAUAUCUCUCCGCACAAAAUCAAUUAGGUGGCAGGGCAACAUGACGACCCACUGGAUGGGCCGUGAUGCUUUAAACGGCCCGUGAAGUAGUAGACGGCUCAUGAGACUGGCUGUUUUGGGCACAUUUUCAGCUUUAAAAGUUGAGGUCGUUUUGGUCUUUCCCCCUAUGCGUUUGGUACUUAAACUAUGUUGUUUUUACUUCGUCUAAGCCUAAUUAAUUAGUCAAAAACUACCUAAAACAUUCAUUCUCCUAAAAAUCAUCAGAAUUAGAAAGAAAAGAAGAGAAAGAGGCGACAGUUUUCUCUCCAGAACAAGCAGAGCUCUCCUUCAAGUUCAGCCCCUAAAUCCAAAGGAUUUCUCCGUAGUUAUCUUCACCAGAUAUGUGGGAUUUCACUAGUGGGUUCUUCCACCCAUUAGGUCCCUAGAAUUCAGUCAGUUCUUCGGCUUCUCCAUAAAUUGUUUAGACCUAGGGUUCCUAAACCUUAGGGAUUCAUUGUAAUUUAGCUGCUAUAGUUUCUAUAAUAUUAAUUACAUGUUUCUUGGAGAAUUAGUACAGUCCCAUAUAUAAAACUCAGAAACCCUAGCUUGUGUUAAUCAUCUAUAUUUCAUGAAUUAUACUUGCUAGGCAGAUUAGACAGACAAUCAUGCUACAAAAUUUGAAUGCCAUAUCUUUCAGUAUAUGUAUGAUGCAUUCUCAGAUAAUUAUUAGUAUUUUGUUAUUACAGUUACAUUUUUAGCUUUAUAUUCAAUUGGGAGUAAACUUAGCACCAAGAGGACAAAGGAAUGAAGGCUCACCCGUCAGUUUAGGCUGAAACCUUUAGUAGAAAAUCCCUGAGUCCAAGAAUUACGGUGCCACCGUAGGUUUUGAAGGGGUCACCCGUCAGAUUAGGCUUCACACCCUUGGCCCUUGUGGACAUCAGCUAGUGGAUCCACGUCAGACUUGUUCGUACCCUUGGCAAGGUAUGAACACCCUUCCAUCCAAGGUUACAAGUUGGCCCAUAGCUAGCUCAACUUGGGUAUGUCGGUUAAUAAUAUCUCCCACAAUCAGAUUCAUGUUGCAUUGACCAUGUAUUCAAUAUCUAUUUCAGUAUUCAGUUCAACAUGUUACAUUUUCAUGAUUAGUUCUAGGUCAUUGCAUCCAGCUCAGCUUUCAGUUAUGCUUCAGUAUAUCUAUUUCCAUGUUCAGCUUAGCACAUAUUCCGCAUGCUCAGCAUUCAAAGUACUGACACAUACUUUUGUGCUACAUCAUUGUAUGAUGUAGGUUCAGGCGCUCAACAUCCAGACCAUGCUUAGCUCGACUUCCAGUCCGUACACAGCAGAUUCAGUGGUGAGUCCUCAUAGUUCGAAGACAAUAGACAUGCUUUACUUUUGUAUUUACUUUUCAGUUUCAGACUUGUUAGAGUUAGCUGGGGGCAUGUCCCAGCAACUCAGAUCAGUUAAAGCCUUUGAGACAUAGAUUAGAUUCAGCUUGAGUUGUUAGUGUUGUUUUUCGUCAUCACUAUACUUUUCAUAUAUUUUAUAUAUAUUUAGAUAUUUUGGGCUUUUCCCCAUUUCAGAUAUUAAACUGUUUUUAGCUUCCGCAUAGUGCAUGCUUUAAUUGAACUUGUAUAGAUAUGCCAUGCCAUGGGUUAGUUUGGGGUCACUUGACAUUAAGCACCGUGUUGCGUCUAGGGGUAACCUCGGGGAGUGACACUUAGUAUAAGCCUACAACUUUUUGGAUAACACUACGCCCCCAACAUUUUGGUCUAUAAUAUACCAAGCAAUUCAGGAUUUGAGUGACGAAGUAGAGGACUACCAAGAAAACUACAUCGGCAUAUAUGGUUGCUAAAAGCCAGACCCUCUAAACAACAACACUAGAAGGUAACUACCAUUGAUCACAACAAUAUAGGAUCACAAAACAAUCACAAAGAAUUAAGUAAGAAUUACUUUUAUGCUUCUAUAUUCUUUUCGUUUUUUCCUAAAAAAGUUUACCAAUCCAAAAGAAUUUUAAAUUCCAAGACAAUGUGCUGAAGUAAGACCGAAUGCUCUCUUUAUGCACGAACUGCUUGAUCAACCCCACAAAAAUUUGCAAGUUAAGAUCUUUCAACACUCUCUGGAUUUAUAUAUCCUCAAGAUAUAUAAUUGCAUUUUAAUGGGUAAUUCACACACACAACUCCACAAGUCAGUGACCAUCAAAUCCUUCCUACACCCUCGCAGAACCAAGUAACUACAAGAAUUCAGUGCUAAUUAACAGAGGUGGAUCCAUAAGCAUAUGUGUUGGGUUCAUCGGAAUUGAGUACCUUGUAUAUGUGUUAAAGAAGUUGAGUAAAUAAUUACAAAGAUGAGCAUUAAAUUGAUUGGGGAUUUGGUAGAAUAUAAAGUUCAAACUUUGGAUUUGCCUGCUAGCGAAGAAAGGGUUUUGAAUAAAAUUUCGAAACGGGAUGUGUCCAAAAAAGCUACCUAUGACCGAUAUAUGAUAUGUGUUAAAUGAGCAAUUGAGAAAAGAGUAGGUGUUACCUCCAAGGCUUUGGAAGGUUGUAGCCACUGUUGAGGAACCCUAAGAUCUUCAAUUAGCUGCUCAGAGCCAUUGGUUUGAGCAUUUAAAAGCGGGAGUCUUGCUCUAAUUCUAUCGACAGAAAAAAGUAUACAUUGAUGAAGAGAUGGGUGUAUGAUUUCACGACGUGUAAUUGGUUGGAGUUGGACUAAAUUAACAUGAAGUUGUGAGAGGCGAAGACAGUAACAGCCUGAUACUGGAGAGAGCAAUGGCCACGCCAUUUUUCUUCUCUUUGUUUGGAUAAACAACACUGAAAAAGGUUUGGAAAAAAAAUACGAAAACAAACACAUUUUUAUAUUUAAUUUUAAAAUUUAAAAUAUCGUAAAUUAAAUACUAAAACUUUAAGGCACAACGCAAAUAGCUUGCGGGAUUAAAGGGAUAAGGGAAACAGCACAAAAGAAUGGCCGCAAACAGCUGGUUCUCGGUGCUCACCUCCACCGGCGGCUCUCUUACAUCUCACCGUCUCUUUUCAACAUCACUAAGACCCUCUUCUUUCUUCAUUCCUAAAGCUGAUUCCCAAAAUCAAAACCAUAAGAGAAAAGUUCUCAACAAGUCAUCCUCCUCUCCUCCUGAGGUAAAAUUAAUAUUCUACUUGUCAUUCGAUUAUUAUUAUUAUUAUCUUUAUUCAUCCAACCACAAUCGUCGAAUUAGUAUGUCAAUCAAACGCAUUUUGAUUCUUCUUUUCUUGGCCAAAGAUUGCAACUUUUCUAUUGUGUUAGCCCUUAUUUUAUUCUGAAAGUAAAACAAUGUUAUUGAAGUGGAAAAUCUGAUAAAGUAGAGAGUCUACUCAACAAUACGGACAUACAUACUGCACCCAAUCUACUAUACAUACAGCAAACUCAUUGGUGCACCAAAGAGAAACUAACGACAAAAGGAUAAUCCUCAAAUGUACAAAGACAGUUUCAAAUGUAGUCAAGUGGAAUGACGUAACAUGCUGUGCACCUUCUUUUCUGAUAUUAUUUGACCUUUCAAUCUGAUUUUCUGUUUAUAUUGUAAUGGAGUGUUCUCAUUUAUUGGUUGUUUGUCAAUAAUUCUUCCCUGCUUCAUUUUGGUUAGUAAGAAGUAGUCUAACUAAUUAGAUAACAUUCGUAGUGGGUACUGCAGAAUUACACAUAUAUGUAUGUGUUUUUACAUUAUAUAUACACACACAAUUUAAAUUUUUAUAACUAAUUAGAUUACAUUCAUAGCGGCUCUGAUACCAUUAGGCCCAAGGUCUAUUUCAUAGAGGAUAACACCAAUUCAAUUGUUUAUCCGAUGUUGGCUCCCUAUCUUAUAUUGUUCACGCUCUUGUUGUCCAGUCCUAGUGUGCUGGGGGUGUUGAGUCCCAUAUCGGUGGAGUGUGGGUUUUUUGGUCUCCUUAUGUUGUCUUAGGCAGUUCUCACCUCAUGAGCUAGCUUUUUGGGGUUAAGUUAGGCCUAAGGUUCAUUUCUUUAUCAAUGUUGAGUCCCAAAUCAGUGGACUAUGUGUUUCUUUUUGAACAUUUUUUUUUGAACUUUGUGUUUCUUGGUCUCCUUAUAUGGUGUUAGAGAAAUGUUACCUCAUGAACUAGUUUUUGGGAUUGAGUUCCAUUUGUUUGACAUGGUAUUUGAGUAGGAUUCAUCCCAAUUCUCGUUUCUCGAUGUUUGGGCCCCAUAUUAAAUUGUCCAUGAUCCAGAUGUCCAACCAUUGGUGUGAGGUGUAUGUGUGCGUGUGUCACGACCCAAUUAAGGAUCAUGACCGGCGCUAAGGGGGAGAAUCCCAAAGCAAGCCUCACCAGAACUCUACAGAAAAUCGGGCAGAGUUUCCUUUGUUUUUAGGCCUAUCCUGGAUUUUUCCUGUCUCAGAAUUUCACAACACAACUAAUAGCAACUAUAAACCACCAUUUAAUAUCCAUCAAUGAUUAAAUUGUCGCGCAAUAAAACCAAUUCAUCUCCAAAUUUCGNNNNNNNNNNNNNNNNNNNNNNNNNNNNNNNNNNNNNNNNNNNNNNNNNNNNNNNNNNNNNNNNNNNNNNNNNNNNNNNNNNNNNNNNNNNNNNNNNNNNNNNNNNNNNNNNNNNNNNNNNNNNNNNNNNNNNNNNNNNNNNNNNNNNNNNNNNNNNNNNNNNNNNNNNNNNNNNNNNNNNNNNNNNNNNNNNNNNNNNNNNNNNNNNNNNNNNNNNNNNNNNNNNNNNNNNNNNNNNNNNNNNNNNNNNNNNNNNNNNNNNNNNNNNNNNNNNNNNNNNNNNNNNNNNNNNNNNNNNNNNNNNNNNNNNNNNNNNNNNNNNNNNNNNNNNNNNNNNNNNNNNNNNNNNNNNNNNNNNNNNNNNNNNNNNNNNNNNNNNNNNNNNNNNNNNNNNNNNNNNNNNNNNNNNNNNNNNNNNNNNNNNNNNUUAUUCAUAUCAGUAGAUCCCUACUCGAGGGAUAUCAGUAACAGUAUACUAGUUCUACCUUUCCACUAGCAAGGGCUUUAUCAGUAAUCAGAACUACAAGGUGCACCAGGUCUAACGAACCCGCCGUUAGCUACGGGAUUCAUCAAGGUCUACUCCCAUUUAUAUUUUUCUUGUAAUAAGUAAAAACAAUUCAAAAUCGAACAACGCAUUUAAAUCUUAUCAAAUCAUAUCAUUUCAAAGUUUAACAAUCACUUGUCAAAAUACUAUUUCUCAAAUAAGUGUAAAACCUUUUCAAUAUCAGUAAUCAUAUCUUAUACGAAUGAUAUCAUCUCAAAUAAUCUUUUCAGUAUCAUAUCCAGUAAAAGACUUGUCCCACAUGCAAGUUCAAAACAUUCAAUAACACAUUUACUUUAUAAACCAUGUGAAAGUCAUGCAAGUUAUAAAACAUCAAUUGUGGUAAGAUUACUACUCACUGUACUUGUGUUGAGUUACCAAGCUUGCCACUCAAUCACUCCGUACGAAUUCCUUUGGUCAAUCUAUAAUCACAUUCAUAAUAAUUUCGUGUUAACUCCUUCAUUUAGGUAAUUCAUACUACAUUUAAAAAUAAAAUAAAAACUCAGCCCUAGAGGUUUCAUGACUGAUUCGAAAUCUGCCCACUCACUUAAUUAGUGCUUUAAUCACACACAUUAGUCUCUUCUUGGUCAAUUCUCGCUGUAAAAAGAUCAACCUAACCUUACUGCCCAAUUACUCUUAUUGCAUAUAAGCCCAAUACCAAAGUUUAUAGUUCAAAUCAUUGACUAUAUUCACUUGGUUCAUAAGAACGAAAUAAAUUUCCUCUUUUUCUUCCAAACCCAUGUUUCUCAACUUCCCAAUUCCCAAUCUUAUAGUCAUGGAAGAUACAAAUUCAACCUUUAGACUAAGUUAAGAAACUUACCUUCUUCUUGUUCUUCUUCUUCUUCCACCUCUCUCUUUAGUUUGAGAGCUAAGGCUUUCAAUUUAAAUUUAUGUUUCUCCUCGUUCGUUCGCUCACUAUAGAACAAGAAGAGUCCCUUUUUUUUUUUUCUUCUUUUGAUCCCUGAAGUAGCAGCGUUGCUGCUGCUUCUGUUUGGGCUUUCAGCCCUUUUUUUAAAAAAAAAAAUUCUGAUCCUCUUUUUUUAUUUUAAAUGGGAGCUAAAUGACAAUUAUGCCCUUAUUUUAAUAUAGGGUAUUACAGCGUGUGUGAAGAAGACCCACGUCGAUGGUGAAGGGGAUGGGCAGUCUUUUAUAUGGCUUGGGUAAUCCUGACCUCUUGAGCUAGCCUUUGGGGUUGAGUUAAGGCUCAAGGUCCAUUUCAUAAACAAGAGUGACUUUAAUGUUGAAACUUAUAUUUCCUGAAAUUAGAUAAGAAAUGACGAAUGGAGACAAGUCCAGAAAUUUAGGUGAAUGAGAAGGUUACAUCAAUUUUACAGUGCCAAAAAAUGUUUGUGUAUAUUUUUGCUUGUAUUCACUCAUUUAACCUCUUGCAUGCUUUUAAUGAUCCAAAAGAGAUAAUGAAUGUCCCCUGAAAUAGGAAUUAAGAUAAGUUGAAAGCAUAAGUUUGCUGUUUACUGGUUUUGUUACUCGAUGAUAAAGAUUGAAAGAAGUAUUUUGUGAAUCAGACAUCCACACAAGCUUUAAAUAUAACUAUCUCUUACAAUGAAAUCACCUUUUCUUGUUGGUCCUUAAAAAACAUGAUUCAAUUUGAAUUGUUGUUAUCUGCACUGAGUGUUCUUAUGGUUAUGCUCAUUGGAGCAAGUCAUUUUACUUUCUUCCAAUUUAGGGAAAAAGUAUUUCCUUGUUGUUUUUGAACUAAACUUCUAUUAAAUAAGCAAGCCAUGAAUUCAGAAAGUAGCUGGUAAACCGAAGUUUUCACGGAGAUCAAAAAAUGAAGGGCCUUUUGCAAAUGCAGAUGGCAGGAGUAGUACAAGUGAAACAGGACGAUCUCAAUCAGCAGCAAUUAAAUCAUUUGGUCUGCAGAAAAAAGGGAAAGGAAUUCUGUUAGAUUCAAAGGACCAGCAGGUAAGAAACACAACUGCUUCUCUCCUUUUAUUUUGGUGAUUGGCUUAUUUCUUGUCGUUGAGAAAUAUACAGAACAAGGGAAAGGGGGUUAGUCCCGUGACUCUGUGUGGGUGUGGAGGGGGGUGAGGGAAGAAGAACAUGAAAGGCUUGCACUUUUUCACUACAUGGCAAUUCUACAUAGUAAUUUGAGUCCUACAUGGUGUCCUAUGUGUAUUAUGCCACGUAGGACUACUUUUGUUCAACUUUAUAUAAAUUUAAGUGUCUACUUGUGCGCACCCAAAGUUGGAGUGCAUAAAUGUGAAAUGAGGUCAAGUUAAAAGGCACAUAUAUGUAUUAUGCCAAUCAACAAAGAUUGAACACCUCAAAGUUGAGAAUAUUUUAAUUCUGUGAAAACUUAAUCAAGAACCGAUAUGUAACAAAUCAUAAAUAGUAAGCAGCGUCACACAUAUCGUACAUAUUUAACUUAUCAAAGUGUAAGGAGUACCCAUUGAGAAGUGCAUGGAUCAAUAGAUUUAGAUCAUUCCAUCUAAGUUAUGGGAAAAAAUUGAAAUUGGCUUCAUGACAAAUAAGCCGGGGUAUUCUUUUUUUAAAAAAACAAUAAACAAACUAUUUGCUUGGGGUAUUCAUUUUUAAAAAAUAAAAUAAUUUGGGUGAUAAUUAACGAAGGCUUUAUCCAAGAAUUUAAGCUUAUGAACAAAGACUCAUGCCUACUUGUAUGGCCACACCUUAUUUAUCAACCAUUCUGAAGAUACUCACCAGAUACUCUCCCAUUGUUUUUUUUACAACAUCUCCCACAUAAUUAUAUCUCAUUACCAUUGUGUUUACAAAUGCUUGCCAACUGAAUGCAAACAUUGCUGUCAAGUUCUUUGAGUCUAUUAUGUGCCAAAAACUAUUGUUUUCAAUUGUGCUACACCACUGAACCUAAGUUGGUUUUCUUUUCCAGGUAGAAACUGGCAGCAUUCAAGAUGCAGCUUUUCUUAAUGCCGUUGUGAAGGUGAAUAUAUUUUAAUACAUAGCAAUGUUGUAAUUAUGCCAUUUGUUUGGAUGCCUCAUCUUCAAAUCUCAAGGUGAAGGUGUAGAUCAUUUGAAUCAUUAAAUUUUAGCAAAAGGGGAUCCCAGGAAACUAUCAACUUCAGUACUCAUCUUAUCCUUAGUUGCUUAGAAACAGAAAUUCAUGAAAUAACCUCAUGUAUGAUGUAUCCCUAAUGUUUUGAACCAACAGUUGCUCUACUGGGCAUUCGUAAGGUUGUUGUUGUCCCUGUCCCACAUGAAAUUAUUUUCUUAUUGUUUGGUUCUUCCUGUUGAAAGAUAAUAAAAAGUAUACUUCAAUUAUACUUAUGCAGCACUUAGAAUGGUGUACACCCAAUAGAUAGUCUAUCUUACCCAGUUUCAUUUUUGGCAUCAAUAGGUCCGUCAAAAUUGCUUUCAACAUGUCUGCAAGUGCACUUGUGAAUGGCUUUUAAAUGGAUUGCAUGAUAAUUUUAGUAGUGUUUACUCAUUUUCCUCCAUUCCAUGUUGUUUGCUUCAAGGUUUACUGUACACAUACUGCUCCAGAUUAUUCCCUUCCUUGGCAGAAACAAAGACAGUUCACAAGUACUGGAAGGUAUGCUCUUCCUCAUUUCUAUCUACUUAAAAAAUUGUGGGAAAUUUCCUAUGAAGAGUUGUUCUGUAAUGCAAUAUUUACCUUCAGUUUUUUUUUUUUUUUUUUUAAAAAGUAGUUCUGUANNNNNNNNNNNNNNNNNNNNNNNNNNNNNNNNNNNNNNNNNNNNNNNNNNNNNNNNNNNNNNNNNNNNNNNNNNNNNNNNNNNNNNNNNNNNNNNNNNNNNNNNNNNNNNNNNNNNNNNNNNNNNNNNNNNNNNNNNNNNNNNNNNNNNNNNNNNNNNNNNNNNNNNNNNNNNNNNNNNNNNNNNNNNNNNNNNNNNNNNNNNNNNNNNNNNNNNNNNNNNNNNNNNNNNNNNNNNNNNNNNNNNNNNNNNNNNNNNNNNNNNNNNNNNNNNNNNNNNNNNNNUUUUUUUUUUUUUUUUUUGUAAAAAGUAGUUCUGUAAUGCGUUUAUUUUCUGAUAUUGUCUACUAUAUCUGGUAGGCUGAUCCUUUUAAGGUGGGAGGGGGCGGGAUAGCCUACAAGUCUGACUUUAGUUUGAUUCAUACAGUGCUUUCAUGAUUGGUGAUGGGAAGCUCUUGACGAAUGCGCAUUGUGUUGAACAUGAUACACAGGUACCUCUGAGGUUUUAAUCUUCCCUUUAUAAGUAUACAAAUUCUUAUUAUUUAUGCCCCUCUCUCCUCUAAAUUAAAUAAAAGGACGUCUCUAAUAACAAUUUGGUGUCAACCAAUAAUCAGAACAAGUAUAUCAUUAUAAUUUUAGGUUAUUUUAUGAACCUUCAGGUGUGGGUAUACGAAUUUAUCCUUUCCCCUCCCAUUGUGAACAAUGUAUCUUAGUCAUCUAAGACAUGGUCUAUCAAACCAAAGCUGGACGUCCACACUGACCCGAGAAAACAUGCAUUACUACAUUUACGGAAAAAAAAAUCAUUUUAUUUGUACUUUCUUUAAAGGGCGAAGGAGGUCAGAUUUUUUUCUUUUUCUUUUAUUUCAUAAAUGAUUAAUAACAGCUUGGGAUGAGUAUAGAGAAAAGGUAAAUUUGAACUUUGUCAUCCAUAUAUUAAUGGCUUUGCAAUAUGCCAUCCACAGUUUUAGGAUCGGACUCCACGUCCAACUAUUGAAAUUUAUUUCACUGUCAUCCUGACCCUUUCACCGGUGAAAACCUAGUGGGAAGGCAAGACUAACGAUUUGUGGUCAAUUUUUUCCAAAUUAUCUGGACAAGGCUGUAUGACUUCCCAGAUAGGAAACUAGAAACAGAAAGGUAAGUGCAGCUCGUUUACCCUCAUUUUUGUUGUUUUUUUACUAGAAAAAUGUGGAUAGCAAAGUGAAGGGCUGAAGGCUUAGAAACUUUGGACGGCAUUCUGCAAAAUAAAAAAAAGGAGGAUAGAAAAUGCAUCUUUUCCUUCAAAGAAACAUAAUUUUGAUUAUCUAGCUCAUAUCUGAUCCAACCUUACCCAUAAAGAAUUGAUCACCGGCAGUCCAUAUUAGCUAAUCCAAGUCCAUUUUGUUCACUAAUCAAUCCAUUGUGUUUUUGGGAUAAUAUCUAUCUCCACAUUACCACCUGCACUUUUAUGACACACUCAUCUCAAGUGUAUACAUAGUGGCCAACUUUGUAUUCAGUAUUCACUAUUGUUGAAGACCUGCUAUUUAGGUUGUCUUCUAUCACCCAAAUGAGUAACUACAUUUUCUACUCCAUCUGCCUUUCAAAUGCUGGUUUUUAGCUUAAUUAAUAUUUUUGGUGGCAGGUCAAAGUGAAGAAAAGGGGAGAUGACACAAAAUAUGUUGCCAAGGUAUGGUUUUCAUGAUAAGUUUUAAAUGCCUGCAUCACUUAGAAAUCAUUCUAGUAUUAUAAAUAGUAGUUUUAAGGGUGCAACUAUGGUGAGGUAGGUUGACAACUUAGACCAAAGUAACCUAAUUAUGUGGUGCUUAAUUCUCAUCAUGUAUGACAUGUAGGUUCUAGCUAGAGGGGUAGCGUGUGACAUAGCUUUGCUAUCCGUGGAAAGCAAGGAAUUCUGGGAGGGAGCUGAGCCCCUUAGUUUUGGACGGUUGCCUCGUCUGCAGGUACUUCUCAUUUGUCAAUUCCAUUUUUUAAAAAGCUGUCCCAUGGGUAACUUUAUAUAUGCUUUUUUCCCUGAAGACGUACUUUCUCAUUUUCAUGUUGGUCUAAAUUUGCCAAAGAAAUUAGGAUAAGCCAACAACACCCUUUGCAAGUGUUCAUACUGAAUAAAGUUCCCACCUAUCUAAUUGAUGUCUGCUUGCUAUAUUAGUCAAUUGCACGUGAUCUUGGAUAAAUUAAGUUUGUGGAUGUCCUAUCCUUGAGUCGAGAUUUGUCUAUGAUAUGUAUGAUUAUGUGAAUUCUUUAAUUGUAUGGCAGCUUCGCAUUUGAUAGUAAGCUUCUACGGUUGAUAUCCAAGUAAAUGCUUAGCUAUUUCUUCAGUGGGAUUAUACCUUCAAAGAAAGAAUAUUAUAUUUAUUCUACAUUUGUUCUCAGGGAAAAUACAACAACAUAGCCAGUAUAGUCACACACGUGGGGUCUGAGGAGGGUAAAGUCUACACAGACCUUACCUCUACCUUGUCAACCUCUCACACCUUCUUACUGGGGCGUCUGUGCAUCUCCUCCAUGCCCAAACCAUCUCAGUCUAGCCUCCCGCAUCUUGUCCGCCACAGAGGCCAUUUCCACCUUGGCCCGAAUAUCUUUAUUUCCAACCAUAUCUCUUCUAGUAAGCCCGCACAUCCAUCUUAACAUACUUAUUUCCGCAACUGUCAUCUUCUGGACAUGAGAGUUCUUGACUAGCCAACACUCCACCCCAUACAACAAAUCAGUCUAACUACUUUUCUGUAGAACUUAUGUUUUAAGUCUUAUUGGCAACUUUUUAUCACAUAAGACGCCAAAUGCUAGCCUCCAUUUCAACCUCCCCGCACCAGUGCGAUGUAUGCCAUCUUCGUCAAUCUCCCCAUUGCCUUGGAUAAUAGCCCCUAGGUACUUGAAACUCCCUUUCUUGGAGAUGACUUGACAAUCCAACCUCACUUCCACGUUAGCUACACGAUGCACUUCACUGAACUUGCUUAGUCUUAAACCUUUAGGGGUCGUUUGGUGUGAGGGAUAAGAAUAAAUAGUCAUGGGAUAAAAAAAUAGUCCUGGGAUAAUAUUUUGGUUUCUUGUUUGGUUGUCAUGUUUGGGAUAACUGAUACGCUCAAAUUACACCUCCUUACAGAAGUAUAAGCGAUCGUUAUCAAGUAAAGAACCCAACUUGUAGGUUGGGAUCGAUCCCACGAGGAAAAUGGUUUAGACUUUACUUUAACUAACAAUUAUAUUCAAUUAGUCAAGUUAUUUCCAGAAACAGAUAAUAAAAUGGGGGUUGUGUUUGUGUAAAACAAAUAGCAAGAACUUAAUAAGUAAUCAAUAAUCAAACUCAACUUAGGUUGUUAUCAAGAUAAGAGAAAUAACUAGGGUAUACGUGUUCCCCACAAUCUCAUAACGCAGCAAUCCUAGUAACANNNNNNNNNNNNNNNNNNNNNNNNNNNNNNNNNNNNNNNNNNNNNNNNNNNNNNNNNNNNNNNNNNNNNNNNNNNNNNNNNNNNNNNNNNNNNNNNNNNNNNNNNNNNNNNNNNNNNNNNNNNNNNNNNNNNNNNNNNNNNNNNNNNNNNNNNNNNNNNNNNNNNNNNNNNNNNNNNNNNNNNNNNNNNNNNNNNNNNNNNNNNNNNNNNNNNNNNNNNNNNNNNNNNNNNNNNNNNNNNNNNNNNNNNNNNNNNNNNNNNNNNNNNNNNNNNNNNNNNNNNNNNNNNNNNNNNNNNNNNNNNNNNNNNNNNNNNNNNNNNNNNNNNNNNNNNNNNNNNNNNNNNNNNNNNNNNNNNNNNNNNNNNNNNNNNNNNNNNNNNNNNNNNNNNNNNNNNNNNNNNNNNNNNNNNNNNNNNNNNNNNNNNNNNNNNNNNNNNNNNNNNNNNNNNNNNNNNNNNNNNNNNNNNNNNNNNNNNNNNNNNNNNNNNNNNNNNNNNNNNNNNNNNNNNNNNNNNNNNNNNNNNNNNNCCCCAAAAAUGAGGUUUACAUGCCCUAUUUAUAGAAAACAACUCCUAAAUAAAAAGGGAAACAAAUUAAGGAAAGUUUUGUUCAGGUACGCGUCUUCGAUCCACGAGACUGACUUACGGACCGUCGAUGGAUCUACGGUCCGUAAGUCCCUUCCGUCACUCGGGACUUAGAAAAUAUUUAGACAUCCAAAACUCAGCUUCUCUGAAGCAAACGACGGACCAGCAACACGGACCGUAGAUCGACCUACGGUCCGUCAAUCCCCUCCGUAGCUCCAUACUUAGAAUCUUCAAAAAUCAGGUACUGGAACCCUCGCAGUAUCACUCUACGGAUCAACAGUACGGUCCGUAGAUCAGUCUACGGACCGUCAAUGGGCGUCGUGGUUCCACACUUGGUCAGAUUUCCCUGAUUUAUCCUCACUAUCAUGCCUGCUGAUCUACGGUCAUAACCUACGGACCGUGGAUGGAUCUACGGUCCGUAGAUCACCUCCGUGGAUGCCCUUUUUUUGCAAUUCCUUCAGCUGUCUCUACACAUCCGCACCUGAACGUCUUUCCUGCAAAACAUGGUAAAAACACAUCAAAACCAAUAUAAAAAGGCCUUAGACACACACAACUAGUAAGUGAAACAUAUUAGAAAUACCGUAAACUCACGGUAUAUCAAUAACUUAUCCCACCAUUUAUACCAUAGUGAUGGGAUAAGUUAUCCCUGGAUAACUAAUCCUAGGAUAACCUGUUCCCAACCAAACGACCCCUUAGAUUCUAGGGUCUGUCUCCACACCCCCAUCUUGUCGUUAAUCCAGCUACGCGUCUCGUCAAUCAAUACAAUAUCAUUGACAAAUAACAUGCACCAAGACACAUGCCCUUGAAUGUGUUGCAUCAGAAAAUCCAUCACCAAAGCUAAUAAAAACGGGCUAAGAGUCGAUCCCUGAUGCAACCCCAUCACAACUGGAAUGUGACUGGAUUCUCCUCUCACUGCCCUCAUCCGGAUCUUAGCUCCAUCAUACAUGUCCUUAAUAUCUCUAAUGUACAUGAUUGGAACACCUCUGGUUCCAAACAUCCUCGUAGAACCUCUGUCAGAACUAAUUGUAAGUUUUUUCUAGGUCAAUGAACACCAAAUGCAAGUCCUUUUUCCUAUCCCUAUACUGCCCCGCCAAUGGCUUCCGUAGUCGAUCAAGCGUUCAAAUGCUGCUGUCUUUGCCGCCGUCACUGAUUUUCAAUAAAAAUCUUCGAAAGAAAUUUGGGGAAGAGCCAAUUUUGGACUUAUGAUCACUAUAACAUAAUCUUGUUACCUUUUUGUUUGUCAUUUGAUGUUUGUAGAACCUCUGUUACUACAUAUUUUGUGUUGCUGGCGUAAUUUCUAUUUUCCAUGACCAUGACAUAUUAAAGAACCCUUAUCUCUUGCCAAAUCUGAUGAAACACAUAUAGCUUAUAUAUUAAGCUGGUCCUUUUCCUUUUGCAGGAUGCUGUAACUGUGGUUGGCUAUCCACUUGGAGGAGAUACAAUCUCUGUGACAAAGGGGGUGGUGUCAAGAAUUGAGGUUUGUUUAUGUUCACCUCUCAUAGUAUUAGUUUAUUCCUUAGCUGAAAAUGACAGACCUGUAGAUGUUUUUACCUACCUUAAGAAUUUAGAUAGUGCUCUUUGACCAAUGCGGUCCUUUGUCUUUUCCUAGGUAUACUAUAACUUCUUGUUCUCGUUUACUGAUGAAUGGUAUUGUUCUCAUCAUGUCAUGAUCUAUUCAAUAUCAAAGGGUAUUGAUUGCUACAACUUAGAUUAAUAAAUGGAUAGUGUUAGGAAAAGAAACUUGCUUAUCAUGCACGAUAGUCACAACCUUGGCCAAUGCAUGAACUGUUUACAGUUAUAAUGUCUAAUUUUGUAGAUUCUCUUGCCAAAAACAGGAACCUAUACUUAAAGGGGGUUUAUCCACUAUUAAUCAGGGGGAAAAAGGACAAAUAUAUCCCUGAACUAUCGUAAAUAGUAUGCAGAUACCCUCCGUCAUACUUUUGGGACAUUGGUGCCCCUGCUGUCCAAAAACUAGAGCAUAUAUGUCCUUCACUCUAACGGAAGACUAAAUAGGGACAUGUGGCACAAUCUUAUCCGUCGAUAAAUGUCGGAUCGGUGGAUAAGAUUAUGACACGUGUAUGUCCGUUAGUAUAAAGGGUAUAUAUGCUCUANNNNNNNNNNNNNNNNNNNNNNNNNNNNNNNNNNNNNNNNNNNNNNNNNNNNNNNNNNNNNNNNNNNNNNNNNNNNNNNNNNNNNNNNNNNNNNNNNNNNNNNNNNNNNNNNNNNNNNNNNNNNNNNNNNNNNNNNNNNNNNNNNNNNNNNNNNNNNNNNNNNNNNNNNNNNNNNNNNNNNNNNNNNNNNNNNNNNNNNNNNNNNNNNNNNNNNNNNNNNNNNNNNNNNNNNNNNNNNNNNNNNNNNNNNNNNNNNNNNNNNNNNNNNNNNNNNNNNNNNNNNNNNNNNNNNNNNNNNNNNNNNNNNNNNNNNNNNNNNNNNNNNNNNNNNNNNNNNNNNNNNNNNNNNNNNNNNNNNNNNNNNNNNNNNNNNNNNNNNNNNNNNNNNNNNNNNNNNNNNNNNNNNNNNNNNNNNNNNNNNNNNNNNNNNNNNNNNNNNNNNNNNNNNNNNNNNNNNNNNNNNNNNNNNNNNNNNNNNNNNNNNNNNNNNNNNNNNNNNNNNNNNNNNNNNNNNNNNNNNNNNNNNNNNNNNNNNNNNNNNNNNNNNNNNNNNNNNNNNNNNNNNNNNNNNNNNNNNNNNNNNNNNNNNNNNNNNNNNNNNNNNNNNNNNNNNNNNNNNNNGGCAGGGGCACCAAUGUCCCAAAAGUAUGACGGAGGGUAUUUACAUAUCAUUUACGAUAGUUCAGGGAUAUAUUUGUCCUUUUUCCCUUAAUCAGGUUUCAUGAUCCUAAAUUAAAAUAACAAUUGCAUAACCUAGUCAAUGUGAAUAUUGAUCUUCCAUCAGUGACCUGCAAUUAAGCAUGUUGAUUUGCCUUAACGAAAUGCGAGGUACUUUUAUAGAGACAUUAUUCUUUGUUAUUGUUAUUGUUAUCGUUAUUGUUUUUCUUUGUUUUGUUACAUUCAAACCCAUUUACACCCUUAUUAUUCCCACUUUUUAAGGUUGUGGCUACAGUUAAGAGUAUUGAAGCAUAUAGUUGUUCGCUUGAAUUCCAGUCAGUUUAUAUGUUGGAGAACAGUUGAUUAUCACAACUAGACAAUCUUCUGUUUGCUACUAGUGAUAGAUACAGCCUGAUUUUGAUUUCCCAGAUAUUGAUUAAAAGUGCUAACUCAUAGGUUGGUCUUCAUCAAUAGGUUACAUCAUAUGCUCAUGGAUCAUCUGAGCUGCUGGGCAUUCAAAUAGAUGCAGCAAUAAAUCCUGGUAAAUGGAUGUUGAAAUAAGACCGUUACUAUAAUCAGCCCGUAGAAAUUUACUCUUAUCGAUCUUGUAUUAGAACUUAUCCAUGUUUACAUACUCGGAUCUAUAGUUGUAUUUUUUCUUGCUUUAAUAUAGUUGCUGCUACUAAUUGCAAGACUUUUAGGUAAUAGUGGUGGUCCUGCAUUCAAUGAUGUUGGAGAUUGCAUUGGAGUUGCAUUUCAGGUAGUUGCUUGUCAGAUUUGGAUAAUGGUUAUUCAUGUGACCAGAUUCUUGCUUCUUUGGGCUUGCCACUUUAGAUUACACAGAGUCCUCUCUUUUAGGGAACUUCUGUAAUGCAACUAGUUUGAAAUGAUUACUUAAUCACAUAAUUGAAGUAGUUUAUUUUAUCGCUGCUGUUAUCUUCAUCUGUUUUAAAAGACAUUCUGAUGCUAAUUUAAGAGCUCGCCCCAAGGCAAACCAUAAUACUAUCGCUUGGGCCAACUAGGGGUGGUAACAUGCUUAUGGUCAUGAGCUCUAUCAACAGUUCUUCAAAUCACUUUUUGUAUUUGACACUUCUUUUUUUAUUUUGCUUGAUCUAUUUACUGAAUGAGUUCAAUAACUCCUCAGGGUAUAAAAUGUUUUCUAGUGCAUUUGCCUUAAAAACCAUGAUGAUCAGCAUACUGUUCUUCCACUAUGUUUGACAAAGUUAUGAUCUUCUUCAAGAAUCUCAUGUUAUUUGUUUUUUACUUUAUGUGUUGCUUUCAUAUUGGUAUUGCUGACCCAACAACUUCUUUAGGUUUACAGAUCCGAUGAUGCUGAAAAUAUUGGCUAUGUAAUACCUACUACAGUUGUAUCUCAUUUUUUGGAAGACUACGAGAAGAAUGGGAAGUAUUGUGGUGAGUCUGUCUCCUUUUCUGGAAGUAUCUGCUCAUUCAGGCCACCUAAAUGGCUAGGGAUUUGCAAACAGUCUGUUUUGUUUCCAGCUACACAGUUUAACGAAGAUUACUUAUUUCUUGGAUUAGAUUAUGACAACUGACUGAUCUCUGAGAUUAGCUUCAUUUCAAUCUGUUUGGUCCAAAUUCCAUAUAUGUUUUUAAUCUACAUCAAGCUUGGAUUUCUUAAGUUCGAUUUUGUUGCUGGAAAAAUCAAUUAAUAUGCAAAUGUAGACUAAAUAAAGCGUACUUUUGAAUUGCAUGUUAUAGAAAAUACUCAGUUCUAAACUUCAAACAUGUGCUUAUUUUGAAUCUAACCAACUGACCACUCCACCUGCUCCUAUUUCAUUUGCCAAUCAAGUAAUUUUGUUGUUGCCUGUUGGCUUGUCAUGAUGUCUAUCUGUUAUUGUGUAAUGAUAAUGCUUGAUGGGAGAGGGAUUAAGAGAAACAUUUAACUCCAGACGGUGGUUGGGUUUGCUAAUGAGAAGGCGGCUGGACGAAUGGAAACUUCACUGAGCAGCUCAGCCUGUGACCUGAAGGCAUAUGUGGAAGAAGCACGUACACCACUUGGUUCUGUGAAAGGAAAAAGGAGAGUAUAAGGUGUUUCUGAAAUAACUAAAAAAUUGGCAUUAUUAAUGUGUUUAAGAGUCGUGGAAAUAAGGGGUUGGCUGCACAGGGGCUCAUGGAUUUUUGUUGGUGCCUAAGAAUUUUGCUUAUUUUAUUUGCUUCCCUGCUAUCCUUAAUCACAAUAUUGACUUAUGCUUUCAGGCUUUCCUUGUCUUGGGGUGUUGUUGCAAAAAUUGGAGAAUCCAGCGCUACGUGCCUGCUUAAAAGUGCCAUCUAACGAGGUCUGUUUAUGUCCUAUACAGAAUGAAAGUCCUUCAUCUGCUCUUCAGAGUGAUAGUCUUUCUCUGUAUAGUUCAUCAACCCCCCCCCCCCCCCCCCCCCCCCCCCCGCCCCGCGCCGCCCCCCCCCCCCCCCCCCCCCCCCCCCCCCCCCCCCCCCCCCCCCCCCCCCCCCCCCCCCCCCCCCCCCCCCCCCCCCCCCCCCCCCCCCCCCCCCCCCCCCCCCCCCCCCCCCCCCCCCCCCCCCCCCCCCCCCCCCCCCCCCCCCCCC